RNAcentral lists this long non-coding RNA (89449 nucleotides) under Vitis vinifera (wine grape). RNAcentral's name for it is "long non-coding RNA (VVIN_LNC001392)". The record is from RNAcentral. Lineage: Eukaryota; Viridiplantae; Streptophyta; Magnoliopsida; Vitales; Vitaceae.
GUGGUUUCUCUCCCUUGGGAGGUUUACCAAUUGGGGUUGGUGGCUUGUGUUCUGGGAGUGGUUUCUCUCCCUUGGGAGGUUUAGUGGGUGACUUGUGUUCUGGAGGUGGCUUCUCCACCGAAGGCUUGUGCUCCGGUGGUGGCUUUUUGGUUGGAGGGGGCUUGGGGUAAUCAGCAAGAGAUGGGGUGGUGAGAACCACCAGUCCAAGGAACAACACUAGCAAGUAUGUGGGAGACAUUUUUGAGUUUGGGCUGAUCAGAUGAUGCAAAACUAAAGCAUUACGUGACCUUUUAUAGCAAGUAGCUCCCAAUACCUACUUGACACGUGUUACUGUGACCCAUAAAUAUUAUGGGGUCUAUUUGUGCCCUACCGGGUUGAAAACUUGGACAAUUGGGCAAGGACCCGCCUGACUAUGGAGGACUACUGAGGUGUGAUCACAGCUUUAGGAUUUUUCUUCCUCUGCAGCCGUCUUGCCGUUGGCAUGAUUUUCUUAAUCUCAAAUAAAGGCAUAGUUAUAGAGUUGUUUAAUCUCUAAAUGGGAUUUUAUAUAUCUUCAGAUAGCCAUUAAUACAUUUGAUGAAGAAAGAAAGACAAGUGCAUACAACAUGUAUACGACUAGCUUUCAUGGAGUUCAUUUAUGAUCAGUUUUCCUGUACAUGUAAACCAAGAUCAUAUAUGUUUUUGUUCCACAACAAUUUUGGAAUCUUGUUUAUCCGUUUUUAUCAUUAUAAUGUCACAUAGGCUGCCAACUUGGGCGCUAAAUUAAAGAUCCAGUUGGGCAAGUUCGUUUCAGAAUUUCAAUGGUGGAUUCAGGAAUUGUUUUAUAAGAUAUGCAAAAUAGUAGAGGGAUGAAUAGUGUUUCAUUAAGAAAAGAGCCCUGUAAAAAUAUUGUUUAAAGGUGCCAUAGAAACUAUAAUCAAUAAAUAACUUUUUUUCCCCAUGGGUGGUGUUUCUUGUGGGGAUCAGUGACUGGUUUGAGUCAACGCCGUGUCUCUUUAGUCCAGAAAUCAACUAUUUUAUGCAUUGAAUACAUCAACAAAGAAAAUAUGAAAGCCAAAUGACACCUCCCCCGCAAAAACUAAACCCUGGUUGCUAACUUUCUAUGUUUCAGUUCCAUUCACACAAGAAUAUUAGUUCAAGUUUGAGAAAAAUGGCGACUUACCUAGUGAUAACUCGGUCUUGGUUUGCGAUUUGACUUUAACGUCAUGGGUUGAAGCCUCCUACAAUCAUCGUGUAUGCUAGUUCAAAGCUCGUGGAAGAAGUUAUACAGGGAGGGAGAAACCUCCACAGCAAGCUCCAAAAGAGAAUUAUCACAUUGAAAGCUCCAGUUGAACACUGGGUGAAAGCCAUAACAAGAUUGGUUUUCUAUCGCUCUUUUAAGUAAUGGAAGAUUAUUAUCUCUGCUUGUCACUACAACCGUGCAUGCUGCUAGAUCUUUCUAGACACUUCAAACAGUGAAACCAAGUAUGAUUCUUUUUCUCUUGAGUGGGUCCACUUGCAUGCCAAUGAACGAGUUGAAAAGUUGGACAAUUGGCCACAGCGCGCACUUACCUUCUGGAACCGAAGGUCAGUGAAGUGGGGUUCCUUUUGGCCCCUUGUGUUUCUGUUCCAACCUACUCCAGGAACCGAAGUUCAGUGAAGUGGGGCUACUUUUGGCCUCUUGUGUUUCUGUUCCAACCAAACAAAAAUGGGAGGGAAAAAUAGCAUUAUGCUUGUGCUAAAGAUCAACGCAUGAUAGCUGAAUAAGGGAGAAAAAGGCAUUGCUAUCUCAAUUUCAUAAACUUGAUAAGUAGUGACAUUAAUAGUCUUCCUCAUAGAUGGAUACAUGGUUUUAUUUUAUUUAUUUAUUUUUAUUUUUUUGUUUUAUGUCAAUGCUAAUGAAUGAAGUGCAUUAGCUUGUUUUGUGACUAGAACUACAAAUGUCCAAAUUGGAGCUUCUCCAAUAUAUUUCUCAGUGAGUUAUUGAUUAGAACUCUUGGAUUGAGUUCCAAGAUUUGAAUCAGACCCCUCUAGCAGCUUCAGGGGUACGUAGCAACCUAUAGCAUAUUAAUGAAGACUUAGGAUUUAGACUUAGGAAUACAAAUUAAUAUGUACCUCAUGCUCUGACUAGCUUCCCUGCGUAUGCACAAAAUGGAGAUGACUCCCAAAAAAAUAGCAGAAUCGCCUUAGUAUGUUUUUGUGGUUAAGAUGAUUCUCCACUUUAUAUAUCCACAUUGGUUCAUUAUGCAAAUUAAUCAACUAAGCUAUUUUUAUUUUUUCUUAAAUGUGAAAUAGGAGCUCCAAAUUAACCUAACCAUUGGCCUGAUUGAAUUGAUUUCACUUGCAUAAUGUUAUAGUAGAAGUCCGUAAUUUGAAUUUUAUUUUUGCAAAAGGUAACGUAAAUGAAGCAUUGUAAUUAAAUUUAUUUGUAAUUACAAACUAAUUUUAUUUUAUUAAGAAUUAAUUUAAUUACUCAUUUAAAAUAAAAAUCAGUUAUACUUUUACCAAGAUGAUAAUAUUCAUAUUUUUCUAGUUAACAUAUAUAAAAUAGUACACUUUUUCAUAUAAAAAAAUAAUUUAUGAUUUAUUAUAAUGUUACUAUUCACAUUUUACUAAAUUGAUGGUACAUGAUAGUGAGAGAAGGGGGUGUCACACUCAGCUAAAGUUCUUUUCAAAAUAUUGCAUGGUGUUUAAUUUUAUGUGUCGGCGCGCGUGUGAAUGGAACCUGCAAAAGUCCAAAUUGGCGUUUCUCCAUUUUCCACAUAGGAUGGUGACGUUAAUAGACAAAGAUACAAUAUCUGUAGACAUUGCUUAAAAAUCGAUGUGAAGUAUUAGAAAUUACAGGGCACUGUACUGGGGGAGCGGCUGCCCCGCCAAAGGAGGAAGAAUGUAGCAAUUUCUUCUGUUAGCCAGGCCUUAGGAUUUAUGCAUGGGAUGCCUAAUAACAAACAGAGAAAAUAUACUUUUGGGGAAGGUAUCCAACAACAGACACCAUCAUUCAGAUGGUGGGAAGGUAUCCAACAGAUGCCAUCAUUCAGAUGGUAACAUAUAUAUACAUUUAUUAGUGAGUUUUUUUAAUACCUAUAAAAAAAAAUAUACACUUUGAUAUUGUGGCUGAAUCCAUUACAUACUCAACUAACCUUGCUCAUUAGGGAUUUGACUUAACAAGGGCAACGUUGCAGUACAAGCUCAAAACUUUAUGCAGGUGACAUUACAUUUGGUAAAGAAGAGGAAAAUAACGAAAGCCAUCCAUAAAAGCAAAAUUCCACAUGGGAUGAAAUUCACAAGCUUCAUUUACGAUAGAGUCGCAUCCAGGCAAUUAAUUCCACAUUAGACCGCCUGUUGACAUGUGUACCAAUCUUUUUUCAAAAAAUAUUUAUAAAUAAUUGAUACUCACAAAAAUAAUUUAAUAUUUAUAAAGGAUAAAAAAAUAUUUUCAAAUCUAUAACAAUUUAUAAAAUAUUAAUAAAAAAUUAUCUCUUAAACUUAGUAUAGUUUUAUCAGAUUAAACUUUUAUUUUGAACAAAUAAUUUUAAUCUAAGUUUUAAAUUCUAAAAUUAUUUCCUUAAAAUAAAAUUUUAAAAUUCAACACUUCAAUUGAAAUUGUCUUUUUAAAAAAUAUCUUCUUAUUUUAAUCCUUAUAAACUAUAGUUGAUUGAAAAUACUAUUGAAGUUCUCUCUUAAAAAAAAGUCUUAUUUUAAUCUUCAUAAAUUGCCCUUGAUUUGAAAAUAAAUUUUCAGUUAUCAUAUUUUAAAUAAUAUCUAUAUUUAAAAUACUCUAUUUAAAAAAAAAUGAACUAAUUUUAAUUAUAUUAUAUUUUAUUUUUUUAUAUAUUUUUAAUGAUAAACCAAACAUAGAAAAUCAUUUUUCUAAAUAUUUUAAAAUUUCUAAGCAACCAAACAUAAUCUUCAAAAUAAAAGGAAAAUAAGGAGGGACAUUUGAGAAAUGGCGAUUAAAAAAAAGUGUACAAAAGCUCAAUUAAUUUUCUUCUAGUCUUUUAUAUAAAAAAGUAAAGGAAUUGAAAAGUAUUGAUAUGUAAAUUAAUAUUUGGAUUUUAAUAGUAUUUUAUUUGUCUUUCUCUAUCUCAUGUAAAAGAGAAUUUAAGAUAUUUCCUAAAGCAAAGCAUUAGUUAUCUGCAAUCAGUGGUGAUCAUGCCCCAUGUCAAUUUCGGACCCAUAUCUUAAAACUGUAUAAUUUGCAUUCAAACAUUACUGAUUUCUCAGAUGUUUCAUACUCCACAGAAGAGCAUUGUUUGUGAAAGCAUGCAUUUAUGUUGGAUUUUGGAUGAUGUGGGAACUGGGGCAAGGAUCAUAUGGAAGAGUGGUCGAUUUUGUUCUGUACUUUAACAUUUGAAAUAGGAGAAGCUCGGGCAUUUGUGGGGCUUAAUUGAUUUUGAAGCCUGAAAUUGCGUUUCUGUCAUUUUGUAAAAAAUAUGGCAGAUUCCAUGCUCUCAUAUGUUUGGUCUGUGGCCAUGUAUAGAUGCCCCUUAGUGACCAGUUUGUAACUGUCAAUCAUAGUGUUUUGACUCUGGCUCAACAACAUCAGCCAUUGACGGAUUUUCAUACUUGCAAAUCAAAUAGUCUUCUUCCUCCCUUAGGAAUUUCGGUUUAAAUGUUAUUAAGCAUACAUUUGGCUGACAAUUAUUAACCACUUCAUGAUAUGGUUUCUUACCCUUAAUCAAUGGUUUCUAAGUGAAUAUAUGCAGAAGGAAAUCUGAACUGUAGACAGCAGUAUUGAUAACUCUCAAUAUUCUUUAUAUAAGAGAAUAAACAACGUCAUAGUGAUCGUCGCCUACAAGAAAGGUACAUUUCCCAACAAGAUGUAGUUGUGACUGGUACAUGGACGCAAUUAACUCGUACAAAAGAAUAAGACCAGUGCACGGCAGCUCUUAUUUUACAUGCUAAUUAUGCUAACCAAAGUCACUCAGUUGGGAUGGGAGGGAGAUGGAGGUUUGUGCGGUGGCUUGUGGGGCGGAGUUGGUGGCUUCUUUUCAGGAGCUUGUGGCUUUUUCGGAGCUGAAGGAGGCUCAAUCUUAUGAGGCGGCUUGUACGAGUCUUCUUUACUCUCGACAGGAGGGUGGCCAGGGUUGUGACCAUAAUGUGGUGGCUUCUCUCCCUUAGGUGGCUUGCCAACUGGGGUUGGUGGCUUGUGUUCAGGAAGUGGUUUCUCUCCCUUGGGAGGUUUACCAAUUGGGGUUGGUGGCUUGUGUUCUGGGAGUGGUUUCUCUCCCUUGGGAGGUUUAGUGGGUGACUUGUGUUCUGGAGGUGGCUUCUCCACCGGAGGCUUGUGCUCCGGUGGUGGCUUCUCCACCGGAGGCUUGUGCUCCGGUGGUGGCUUCUUGAUUGGAGGGGGCUUGGGGUAAUCAGCAAGAGAUGGGAUGGUGAGAACCACCACUCCAAGGAACAACACUAGCAAGUAUGUGGGAGACAUUUCUGAGUUUGAGCUGAUCAGAUGAUGCAAAACUAGAAGAAUUACGGGACCUUUUAUAGCAAGUAUCUCCCAAUACCCACAUGACACGUGUUACUAUGACCAUAAAUAUUAUAGGGUCCAUUUGUGCCCUACCGGGUUGAAAACUUGGACGCUUGGCCGAGGACACACCUGACUAUGGAGGACUAUUGACGUGUGAUCACAGCUUUUGGAUUUUUCUUCCUGUGCAGCUGUCUAGCGGUUGGCAUUAUUUUCUUAAUCUUAAAUAAAGGCAUAGUUAUAGAGUUGUUUAAUCUCUAAAUGGGAUUUUAUAUAUCUUCAGAUAGCCAUUAAUAUAUUUGAUGAAGAAAGACAAGUGCAUACAACAUGUAUACGGCUUGCUUCAAUCGAGUACAUUUAUGAUCAGUUUUCCUGUGCAAGUAAACCAGUUUUUUGUUCCACAACUAUUUUGGAAUCUUGUUUAUCAGUUUCUAUCAUUAUAAUGUCACAUAGGCUGCAAACUUGGGCACCCAAAGAUCUAGGUGGGCAAAUUUGUUUCAGACUUUCAAUGGUGGAUUCAGUAAUUGUUAAAAGGUGUUUCUUCAUUAAGGAAAGAGUCCGGUAAAAAUAUUGUUAAAAGGUGUCAUAGAAACUAUAAUAAAUAAAUAACUUCUUUUCCCCAUGGGUGGUGUUUCUUCUGGGGAUCAGUGACUGGUUAGGGUCACCCAAAAUGAGUCCAGAUUAAAAUUGGUUCGAGUCAAAGCAGUCUCUUUUGUCCAGAAAUCAACUAUUUUGCGCAUUGAAUGAAUCGAUAAAGAAAAAAUGAAAGCCAAAUCACACCUCCCCUGCAAAACCUAAACCCCGGUUGCUAACUUUCUAUGUUUCAGUCCUAUUCAUAUAGGAAUAUUGGUUCAAGUUUGAGAAAAAUGGCAACUUACCUAGGGUUUACUUGGUUUUGGUUUGCGACUAUUUACGCAACCAACCAUGAGUUUGACUUUAACGUCAUGGGUUGAAGCCUCCUACAAUCAUGUAUGAUAGUUCAAAGCUCGUGGAAGAAAUUAUACAGGAAGGAAGAAACCUCCAAAGCUAGCUCCAAAAGAGAAUUAUCACAUCGAUAGCUCCAGAGAUUCCCAAGGGAACUGAAUCAAAGACAAGUUCCUCACUUUUUCUUCUUUUGAGGCCAAAUAUGAACCAAGGAUCACACGACCUCAUUCAACUUCAUAAGUUUGAUUUCAUGCAGUUGAACACUGGGUGAAGGCCAUGACAAGAAUUGAUUAAAAAAUUCUACCACUCUUUUAAGUAAUGGAAGAUUAUUAUCUCUGAUUGGCACCACAACAGCACAUGCUGCUAGAUCUUUCUAGACACUCCAUGCAAUGAAAGCACAAUGGAUCUUGUAAUGAUAGAAACUAAGCCAUGCUACAGUACUAGAUGAGGGGGUAAAACUAGUAGACAUCUUUCUAGACACUCCAUGCAAUGAAAGCACAAUGGAUCUUGUAAUGAUAGAAACUAAGCCAUGCUACAGUACUAGAUGAGGUGGUAAAACUAGUAGACAUGGCUGGCAGUUGAUUACUACUCAAAAAGUACUCUUUUAUAGCUUGAAACUAACUGUUUUAAACACUUUUGAGUAGUAGUUAAUACCUUUUAACUUAAUUGGCACAUUAAGGAACCUAGCAAGGGUUACUAAUCAACAUUUGGCAAGUUUUGAUGUUUUUGGUAGCUAUUUGAUCAUUGAAACAAGCCAAGAAUGAGGGGGAAUUUUGUGAAGUCCAUGGCAAUGCAAGUUAAAGCUCAAAUACAUGAAGAAUCCAAGCUUUGGAGCACUUCAUAGCCCUUUGCCAAGCCAAUCAAAGAUGCAAGGAAGAAAACCAAAGGAAGAAAUCCAACAAUCAGCAUUUUGGCAUGGCUAUGUGAAAUUUCGCACACCAUGCGAAACCACAAGAGGCAGCCAAAGAAUUUCGCAUGGUAUGCGAAAUCUUCUUGUGCACUGACUCUGUUAGAUUUUUAUCUUCAGAUAUUUUGUGUAAUUUCCUAGUUUCUCCUUGUAACCAACUUAGAUAUUUUCUUUUAUAUCUUUUUUUAUAUUUUUUAGGUAACAUCAUAUAUAAGAGGAGAGACAUAAGGAGGAUAUGGAUGUUUUUCAUAGAACACUUGUAAAUUUUUGGUAGUAAGAAAUAUACAAAGCUUUUUGCUCUGCCUUACCUUCUCAAGGGAUGAGUGGCUAGGUUUUCUUGGAGUGAGGGAAGCUAGGUGAAGGACCUGAAUGCAAAGGUGGGAGUUUUCCUUACUUUAAAUGAAAGUAGUUGUUAAACAUUAAUGGUUUUUAUUUUAAGGUUUAGCUUUAAAUCCCUGAAAAACACCUUGAAUGGCCAAUACUUGGUAAGCUUUUUAGAUUCUAUGGAUGCUUAUUGCUAGAUCCAUGGAUGUCUAUUAGUUAUCAUUUACGAGCCAUUGGAAGGUGAUUCAAGGUGAGGGUCUUUAGUGUUUGAAGCCAUUAAUGGGAAGCAAUUACCAUUUUUUCAUGAAUCCUUUGGAUCAAAUCUUAAUUGCUAAAUAUAAAACCGGUUUCGAGAGAUAACCACCAUCCUUUAUGUUAUUAUCCCCAACGCGAGGAGAAGAUCCGAAAUCUUCCUUUUUAUCUAAGGAACCCGAUCCUAGUGACCUAAAGCUCCAAGAUACCUUUUCUUUGUAGUUAACUUCAUUUAUUGUUUUUGCUUAACUUAAAAUCAAUCUUUGCAACCACAAUUCCAUUUUCUUUAAAAGCUAAUUUUUAUAAGGAAAAACACCAUUUUAUUUCCUUCACUAAGUCAACUGUACGAUGAAAACCCAUCCCUGUGGACGAUCCUAGAGCCACUAUACUAUGUUAGCUAUGCUACCCUAGUGUGAGGUGAUUUAGGUUUUAUAAAUUUUUUUGAUAACACCCAUCUGAGCCAGAAUCAAAUGGCACGACUGAACCAGGGACGAAUCAAAUGACGCCGCUACCAAGGAUGGUGCCAAAGUACAUUGACAUGACUUUUGGUGAACACUUGUGAUCUUCACCACAAGUUUGGUGAUUUUUCUUUUACUAAUUUUUUUUAUUUUAGCUUAUCUUUUAUUUAGUUUUUAGUUAACCUUAAAUUUUUCCUAGAAUUGUAUUUCUUUUGUUUUCUUUGUUUUUGUUUCAGUGAUCUUUAGUUGUGCAUGCCCUAUUGGAUAAGAGAUAUUGAGGGAAUACUUGUGAAGAUUGAAACUCCUCGAGAAACUGAGUUAGAAGUGUGCUUGAACAUCAUGGAUGUUCCACCUGAAGACCAGAAUAGCCAACAUGGUUAAGAGGAUAAUUUCAACACAUACCGAUCCAUGAGGAACCGCAUACAUCCACCUUGUAUGAGUGCACCGUCAGGCAUAAUGCCUCCCACUGAGCAGCUAGUAAUCUGACCUCACAUUGUGCCACUCCUACCUACUUUCCAUGGGAUGGAGAGUGAGAAUCCCUACUCGCAUAUUAAGGAAUUCGAGGAGGUUUGUAAUACAUUCCAAGAAGGAGGAGCUUCAAUUGACUUGAUGAGGCUCAAGCUAUUUCCUUUCACUUUGAAGGAUAAGGCCAAGAUUUGGCUUAAUUCUUUAAGGCCAAGAAGUAUCCAAACUUGGAUUGAUUUGUAAGCCGAGUUUCUUAAGAAGUUCUUCCCUACCCAUAGGACCAAUGGUUUGAAAAGGCAAAAUUUGAACUUCUCAGUUAAAGAGAAUGAGAAAUUCUAUGAGUGUUGGGAGAGCUACAUGGAAGCUAUUAACGUUUGUCCUCACCAUGGCUUUGACACAUGGCUCUUAGUGAGCUAUUUUUACAAUGGUAUGUCUUCUUCAAUGAAGCAACUCCUAGAAACUAUGUGUGGAGGAGACUUCAUGAGUAAGAAUCCGGAGGAAGCCAUGGACUUUUUGAGUUAUGUGGCUGAAGUUUCAAGAGGAUGGGAUGAACCAAAUGCUAGAGAGGUGGGAAGAAUGAAGUCUCAACCUAAUGCUAAGGGUGAGAUGUAUGUUUUGAAUGAAGACAUUGACAUGAAAGCAAAGGUUGCAGCUAUGGCAAGGAGAUUGGAAGAGCUAGAAAUGAAGAACAUACAAAAAGUGCAAGCCAUUUCUGAGACAUCAAUGAAAGCUAUGCCUUGUUCCAUUUGUCAAUCUUAUAAGCACCUAGUGGAGGAGUGUCCUACAAUUCCAGCAGUGAGAGAGAUGUUUGGUGAUCAAGCAAAUGUUAUUGAUCAAUUCAAGCCUAAUAACAAUGCUUCAUAUGGCAACACCUACAAUUCAAAUUGGAGGAACCAUUCAAAUUUCUCUUGGAAACGAAAGCCACCUCAAUACACACAACCUACUCAAGCACCUUAGCAAUCCUCGAAUCUUGAACAAGCUAUUGUGAACCUUAGCAAGGUUGUGGGAGACUUUGUGGGAGAUCAGAAGUCCAUCAAUGCUCAACUGAAUCGGAGAAUUGACAGUGUGGAGAGUACAUUGAACAAAAGGAUGGAUGAGAUGUAAAAUGAUCUGUCUCAAAAGAUAGACAAUGUCCAAUACGUAAUCUCAAGGCUUACCAACCUCAACACAGUGUAAGAGAAAGGAAAGUUUCCUUCUCAACCUCAUCAAAAUCCUAAGGGUAUCCAUGAAGUAGAGGCUCAAGAGGGAGAAUCUUCAAAGGUGAGGGAAGUCAAAGUAGUUAUCACCUUGAAGAGUGGUAAAGAGGUUGAUCAACCCACAUCCAAGCCAAAGCAUAAUGAAGAGAGUGUAGCAGAAAAAGAAAAGAGAGGAAAAUAAAGGAAUUAGAAUAGAGAAAAAUACAAAGAAAGAUGACCAUGAGUCUAGUGUGGAUGAAGAGCCCGAGAGGAUGGUGAUCAAGGAAGAUAUGAUGAAGAAACACAUGCCUCCACCUUUCCCCUAAGCUUUGCAUGACAAAAAAAGAACCAAUAAUACAUCAGAAAAUUUUGAAGUAUUGAGGCAAGUGAAGGUCAAUAUCCCUUUGCUAGACAUGAUCAAACAAGUGUCGACAUAUGAAAAAUUCUUGAAGGACUUGUGCACUGUAAAGAGAGGGUUGAAUGUGAACAAGAAAGCUUUAUUGACCGAGCAAGUGAGUUCCAUCAUACAGUGCAAGUCCUAGUGAAGUACAAAGAUCCGGGUUGCCGUACCAUCUCAGUGAGUAUUGGAAGGACUUGUGUGGAGAAAGCUUUGUUGGACUUGGGAGCAAGUGUGAAUUUGCUAUCCUACUCUGUCUAUAAGCAGUUGGGAUUUGGAGAGUUGAAGCCAAUAUCCAUCACUCUAUCUCUAGCGGAUAGAUCAAUGAAGAUUCCAAGAGGGAUGAUCGAAGAUGUCCUGGUUCAAGUUAACAAAUUCUACUAUCCAGUAGAUUUUGUUGUUCUUGAUAUGGAUCCGGUUGUCAAAUGAACUAAUUAUGUUCCUAUCAUACUUGGAAGACCCUUCCUAGCUACAUCAAAUGCAAUCAUCAAUUGUAGGAAUGGAGUCAUGCAACUCACAUUUGUCAACAUGACAUUAGAGCUCAACAUCUUCCAUUUGUACAAGAAGCAUAUCCAUCAGGAGGAAAAAGAAGGUCUAGAGGAAGUGUGAAUGAUUGACACUUUAGUGGAAGAGCAUUGUGAUCGAGAAUGCAAAAAGAUUUAGUUGAGAAUUUUGGGGAUCUUGAUGAAAGGUUACUUGAACCCUCAGAUUUGCUUGCUACCCUACUCCAUUGGAAGAGAAGAGAAGAAAUUCUACCCUUAUUCAAUGAGGAGGAGACGCAAAGAGCUGCAAAGGAGAAACCCCCAAAACUUAUUCUUAAGCCACUACCCACAGAGUUGAAGUAUGUAUACUUGGAAGAAGACAAGAAGUGCCCUAUUGUUAUAUCUUCAACUCUUACCAUUCAUCAGGAGGAUUGUCUACUUGAAGUCCUUAGAAGAUGUAAGAAGACAAUAAGGUGGCUAAUUUCUUAUUUGAAAGGGAUCAGCCCUUUAGUCUGCACCCAUCAUAUUUACAUGGAGGAUGAAGCUAAGCUAAUUCAUCAACCUCAGAGAAGGUUGAACCCUCACAUGCAAGAGGUGGUUCGAGCUGAAGUUCUGAAGCUACUUCAGACCAGUAUUAUUUACCCCAUAUCAAAUAGCCCAUGGGUGAGUCCUACUCAAGUUGCGCCAAAGAAGUCUGGGAUCAUGGUGGUGCAAAAUGAUAAGGGAGAAGAUGUCUCUACACGCCUCACUACAGGUUGGAGGGUGUGUAUCAAUUACAGGAGGUUGAAUGCAGUGAUAAGAAAGGACCAUUUCUCAUUGCCCUUUAUUGAUCAGGUGCUUGAGAGGGUCUCUGGGCUUUUUUUUUUAUUGUUUCUUGGAUGGCUACUCCGGGUACUUUCAGAUAGAAAUUGAUGUUGAAAACCAAGAUAAGACCAUUUUCACAUGCCCAUUUGGAACCUAUGCAUAAAGGAGAAUGCCUUUCGGCUUAUGCAAUGCACCCGCAACUUUCCAAAGAUGCAUGUUAAGCAUUUUCAGUGAUAUGGUGGAGCGUAUUAUGGAAGUCUUUAUGGAUGAUAUCACCAUUUAUGGAAGUGCAUUUGAUGAAUGCUUGGUCAACUUAGAAGCUGUUCUGAACCGAUACAUUGAGAAAGACUUAGUGCUUAACUGGGAGAAGUGCCAUUUCAUGGUACACCAAGGGAUUGUCCUUGGGCACAUUAUCUCCAAGCAAGGCAUUGAAGUUGACAAAGCAAAGGUUGAACUCAUUGUUAAGUUGCCAUCCUCAACAAAUGUCAAAGGAGUAAGGCAAUUCUUUGGCCAUGUCGGGUUCUAUAGGAGGUUUAUCAAGGAUUUCUCUAAGCUUGCAAGGCCUCUUUGUGAAAUAUUGGUGAAUGAUGUUAAAUUCAUAUGGGAUGAUGGAUUUGAAAGGAGUUUUGAAGAAUUGAAGCUAUUUUUGACAACCGUACCAAUAGUGAGGGCUCCCAACUGGCAACUGCCCUUUGAAGUAAUGUGUGAUGUCAAUGAUUUUGCUAUAGGAUUUUUUCUUGGGCAAAGAGAAAAUGGAAAACCUUAUGUGAUCUACUAUGCGAGGAAGGCAUUGAAUGAGGCACAAAGAAACUACACAACCACCGAGAAAGAAUUGUUAGCUGUAGUUUUUGCCUUGGAUAAGUUUCGCGCUUACUUGGUGGGGUCCUUCAUCAUGGUUUUUACUGAUCACUUUGCUUUGAAGUAUCUGUUGACUAAGCAAGAUGCUAAAGCAAGGCUGAUUAGAUGGAUUCUCUUACUUCAAGAGUUCAAUCUCCAUAUCAAAGAUAAGAAAGGAGUGGAGAAUGUGGUAGCAGACCACAUUUCAAGGCUAGCUAUCGCACAUAAUUCCCAUGCUUUGCCCAUUAAUGACGAUUUUCUAGAGGGGUCUCUCAUGUUGGUGGAAGUUGUCCCUUGGUACGCUCACAUUGCUAACUACCUGGUCACGGGAAAAGUUCCAAGUGAGUGGAAAGCACAAGAUAAGAAGCACUUCUUUGCAAAAAUUCAUGCCUACUAUUGGGAAGAGCCAUUUCUAUUCAAGUAUUGUAUGGAUCAGAUAAUAAGGAAGUGCGUUCCUGAAGAAGAGCAACAGGGGAUCCUUAGUCAUUACCAUGAAAAUGCAUGUGGAGGCCACUUUGCUUAUCAAAAGACAGCCAUGAGGGUGUUGCAAUCGGGUUUCUGUUGGCCAUCACUUUUCAAAGAUGCCCACACCAUGUGCAAGAGUUGUGAUCGAUGCCAGAGGCUUGGGAAGUUGACACGCAGGAACAUGAUGCCUUUGAACCCCACUUUAAUAGUUGAUAUUUUUUAUGUUUGGGGCACUAACUUCAUGGGACCUUUCCCUAUGUCUUUUGGCUACUCUUACAUCUUGGUAGGAGUAGAUUAUGUUUCUAAGUGGGUUGAGGCAGUCCCAUGCAAACACAAUGACCAUAGAGUGGUUCUCAAGUUUCUUAAAGAGAAUAUCUUCUCAAGAUUUGGGGUGCCCAAAGCCAUAAUUAGUGAUGGGGGUACUCAUUUUUGCAACAAGCCUUUUGAAACUCUCCUAGCCAAGUAUGGGGUGAAGCAUAAGGUAGCUACACCUUACCACCCUCAAACUCAUGGACAAGUUGAGUUAGCAAACAGGGAGAUUAAAAACAUAUUGAUGAAGGUGGUGAACACAAACAGAAAAGAUUGGUCAGUCAAGCUUCUUAAUUCACUAUGGGCAUAUAGAACAACUUACAAGACCAUUCUCGGGAUGUCUCCUUAUCGCCUAGUUUAUGGCAAAGCAUGCCAUCUCCCUGUGGAAUUGGAAUACAAAGCUUGGUGGGCAAUCAAGAAGCUCAACAUGGAUUUGAGCAGAGCUGGGUUGAAGAGGUUCUUAGACCUUAAUGAGAUGGAGAAAUUGAGAAAUGAUGCCUACAUCAAUUCAAAAAUUGCAAAAGAAAAAUUGAAGAGGUGGCAUGAUCAGUUGAUUUCCCGCAAGGAUUUUCAAAAUGGACAAAGAGUCUUACUUUAUGACUCUAAACUCCACAUCUUUCCGGGCAAGCUGAAAUCAAGGUGGAUAGGUCAUUUUACCAUUCACCAAGUGCAUUCAAAUGGAGUAGUGGAACUACUCAACUCCAACAAUAUCGAGAACUUCAAAGUGAAUGGCCACCGUCUCAAGCCCUUUGUGGAGUCUUUUUCUCACAACAAGGAGAAAUUCAUCCUCCUUGAUCCACAUCAAGCUUAACAAGACCAAUUUUCUUGAUGGACUUAGUCUUUCUAAAGACUAUCGAGUCCAUAACUUUUUGUUUUAUUUUUUAUUUGAGAUUUUUUCGGUAUUGUUACUUGUUUUGUUUUUUAUUUUUCGUUUUAAUUUUAUUUGGUUUGAUUUAACUUAGGUUUUUGAUGAUCAAUUACAGGGGGGAUUUCAAAUAGAGGAAAAACCAAGAUAAUUCGCACACCCUACGAAAAUUUCGCAAGGCAUGCGAAAUUUAUGGCUUAUUUUGCAUGGGGUGAAAAUUUUCGUACAUCUUACGAACCAAUUUCGAACACUUUGCGAAAAUAAACCAACCCUGCGAAAUCAUUUCGAUUACUCUACGAAAUUUUCGUAGAGCAUGCGAAAAAUUUAGCACACCAAACACCAUUUCGCAUACUAUGCAAAAACCUAAGGGGUCUGCGAAACCAUUUCGCACCUCCAAAUCCAUUUCGCACAUUGUGCGAAAACCAAGAGGCGCUGUGCGAAAAUGAAAAGUCGCCCUGUCAUCCCUUUUUAAACCCCUCGAGCCCUAAAAUCUCCAUUUCGCAAGCACCCCUGUCCUUGCGAAUCCCUCAUUUUCCUCUACUACCUUGCAACCUCGUCCCUUUCCAUUUGAUAUUGUGCCCCGCGCACAUCUCAUUUCAGAGACUCGCACUCCGCGCCCCCUCAAAGCAUGGACUCGAGACCCACCUUCCAUUUCCGACGUGGCACGGACCCAAGGAGCCCUUUCUGCCCCUUCACUAAGACACACACCAAGGCAGAAAGCCUCCUUUGCUCAAGUGCCUAGUGAUUCUCCAUCUUAGGCCUCAGAGGCCUCGGAGGCCCCGUGGAUUCCACCUUCCGAGGGUAGAGCAGCCAUUGGUCCUUCCUCUUCUACUCCUUAGCGUAGAUACGAGACGAGGAGACCACCUACUACACAAGGGGCGACUACUUCGAGCCUUGAGAAUUCAGUACGAUGCCUUCCUGCCAAGAGGGUCAAGACUUCAGGUCCAAGUGAGUCAUCCAGAGCUUCAUAGCCUAAGCCUCCUGUAGAUUCCAAGGUUCCUACUGACAUAUCACCGGAGUCUAUUAUCAGAAGCCCGAUGCUCAUAGCACCGCCCAUUGAGGGCAACUCAGAUUAUAGAGCGAGAUCUUUCCACUUGGAGCUAUAUUUUGAUCAGGAGGCCAUACGACAGCAGCCUGAGCUCCGAGACUCUUAUGGCUUACUGCAGAGGUACCAUCUUGAGGAACUUAUGACUCCUCGUGAGUUUUUUUAUCCCAGAGUAGCACUAAACUUUUACCAGUCCAUGACUACUCGUGGCGUCCCGAGUCCUACCACGAUUCACUUCACCAUUGAUAGACGUCAUGGUAUCCUCAAGGCCAGACAUAUUACAGAGGCUCUACAAAUUCCUUUCGAGCUAGAGGAUCCAUCUGUUUUUCGCUAAUGGUCCCCAGUAUCUCAGAGGGACAUGGUCCGUAUUUUAUCUAGGGGAACAUCUACAGAUUCGAUCUUUCUACGGAAGGAGCUUCGACCUGGGAUGCUCCUCUUAGAUGUGGUGCUAUGCUCCAACCUCUUUCCCUUACAACAUUCGGUACAUAGGUGAUGAGCUAUUUUGGACGCUUUAUUCCGUAUAUCAGAGGGCUUCUACUUUGGCCCGCACCACUUGAUCAUGGUCUCCCUCAUCCACUUUGAGGAGAAGGUUCAUAGGAAGAAGCUUCAGAGGGUGGACACCAUUCCAUUACUAUUCCUGAGGUUACUUUGCCAGGUCUUGGAGUACAUGGGCUUUCCUACUGAGCCUCGGCUCGAGCUUUGCCGCCUUUGUCGAGAGUGAUCCACUCUCGACAAAUGGAAUUAGUUGGCGGGCUAUUCUGCACCUCCAGGAGCCCCUCCCAUGGUAGCACCUCCAAUGUCCCCACAGGCAAAGUAGGGCGAGCUCCCGGCAAAGACUGUACCACCAAUGCCCACACUUGAGGCUAUUUCUGCUGCUCUGCCUAUGACUCCUACUGUUCCACCAGUUGGUCCUUUUACAUCCGAGCCUUCCAUCACCAUCUCGGCUUCGGAGUUUCGCGCCCUUGUGCAUACCUUUCAGACACUCACCACCACACAUACUCCUCUCUUCUAGCAAAUGGUUGAGAUGUGUGCCCAUCAGGACCGGAAGACUACUAUACUCUGCCAAAUUCAGCAGCACCUAAGACUUUUGCCUCAACCUCAACCUAACCAUCCCAUAUCAUCAGAGCCUCUAGCUCCAACUGAGGAUACUAUUCCACCUGAGAACACUACCACAGUAGAGGUCCGGUUUCCACCACCUUAAGAGGCCACCACAGCUACAUCAGAGGAUGUGUCAUCUCCACUUGAGGCUCCCACUACUUGAUCAUAGGACAUAUCUUUAUCUUAUUGUAUUUACAUAUUAUAUUACUAGAGAUUUGUCCUUGUUUUGAUACUUUAUAUUCUGGGAUUGGAUGUAUUGCCUGAUGAUAUCUCAAUUGUACUUUCUCAUAUUAAUAUAUAGACAUCAAUUUUUUUUAGUAUACUUAGCAUUUUUCUAUUUCCUCUACUCAUUACUCUUUUGUUUUUUUUUACUCAUGUGGUUUCUCUUAUACAACUCAGACUCCAUUUCACUCAGGAGGUACCACUUCCUCCCUUUAUUUUCAAUUGCUCUUGAAAUAUUGAGUGCAAUGUUGAUCUUGGUUGGGGGGAGAGUUGAGGAAGGAAGUUUUGUUAAUAAUGCUAGGUUAAUUUGUUAAUUUAGUUACUUUCUGCUUAAUUUUAAAAGUUUUCACUCUACUUUCCAUGGUUAUUAAGGAAAAAUUCUCAAAAUGAAAUGGGAGAAAUCGAAUUCUUGCAUUUUUACUUGAAUCUUAGAAUUUGUAUCAUGCUUAUUAAAGUUGAUGAAUUAUUGAAACUCCUAUUGAAUUCAACCUUAUUUUUUCCACUUUAAUCUUACCACACACGGUGCACAUUAGGUUCCAGUUAUAAGAUAAAAAACUAUCUCACCCCCUAAACUUAGAAAAAUUUACACUUGGUACCUUUGACAUCGUUUUAAUAGUGUUGGGACACCUUAUAAAAGGCCAAUGAGCCUUUAAAAAAAAAAAAAAAAAAAAAAAGAGAAAGAACAAAGUAUUGCACUUGCCUUGAAACCUGAGCAAGAUCCGAGGGGUAUACAGUGAAAGUCUUUAAAACCUGGUGCCCUAAGCCUUGAUUGGUUGGGAGUCACCGACCUCAAUGCUCGUUAUAAGGGUGAAUAGGUGGAGUUUAACAUAUUGUAGGUGCUUGGGUAUUGAAUUUCAAUCUCAAAAGUCCGGGAAAAAAUCUAAGGAGUUAGUGGUCAAAAGAUCCUUAAAGCUUGAUGCCCUAAACCUUGAUUGGUUGAGAGUCAUUGAUGGAUCCCCGCUACAUGGACAUUUUAGAAAACAAUACCUUUAGCAUUGCACGCCUACAAUGAAAAAAAAAUGUGAAAUAAAAGAGGUGCGUUCUUAGCCUAUUGGAGGUUGGUCAGUUUGCUAAAGUUUGAGAAAUCUAGGUUGGGGGGAGAGAAUAGUCCGACAUACUAUAAUAAAAAACUAAUAACCUUAACACUUAGAUUUUUGUGGAAGAGUAAGGAUUGGACCUUUAGGGGUGGAAAUUCUUUUGAUGCUUAAAUUUGCAUAAUGCCUACUCUUUAUAAAUUAUGAUUAGGCAAGAGAUUUGAUGACUCUUGUUCAAAGUUGGGUUUUUCCUCUUUGAUGUUCCAUGAGAGAGUAUAAUCCUCAUCAUGCCACUUGAAAUCUUUUUGGAGUGAUUAACAUGAUUUUGUAAAUUAUUUUACUGUCUAUUUUUCUUUAUCUCUCUUUUAUUGCUAAUGGACUAGCAAUAUGUCAGUUGGGGGGAGUGAUUACUACUCAAAAAGUACUCUUUUAUAGCUUGAAACUAACUGUUUUAAACACUUUUGAGUAGGUGUUAAUACAUUUUAACUCAAUUGGCACAUUAAGGAACCUAACAAGGGUUACUAAUAAGUUUUUGGCAAGUUUUGGUGUUUUUGGUAGCUAUUUGAUCAUUGAAACAAGCCAAGAAUGAGGGAGAAUUUUGUGAAGUCCAUAGCAAUGCAAGUUAAAGCUCAAAUACAUGAAGAAUCCAAGCUUUGAAGCACUUCAUAGCCCUUUGCGAAGCCAAUCAGAGAUGCAAGGAAGAAAACCAGAGGAAAAAAUCCAACAACCAGCAUUUUCGCAUGGCUGUGCGAAAUUUUGCACACCAUGCGAAACCACAAGAAGUAGCCAAAGAAUUUUGCACACCAUGCGAAAUUUCGCAUGGUAUACGAAAUCUUCCUAUGCACCAACUCCGUUAUAUUUUUAUCUUCAGAUAUUUUGUGUAAUUUCCUAGUUUCUCCUUGUAACCAACCUAGAUAUUUUCUUUUAUAUCUUUUUUUUAUAUUUUUUAGGUAACAUCAUAUAUAGGGGGAGAGACAUAAGGAGGAUAUGGAUGUUUUUCAUAAAACACUUUUAAUUUUCUGGUAGUAAGAAAUAUACAAAGUUUUUUGCUCUGCCUUACCUUCUCAUUUUGUUUUCACCUAUCUUUCUAGCCAAACAACCUCUGAGAAUGAUUUCUCAGGGGAUGAGUAGUUAGGUUUUACGUUUCUUGGAGUGAGAGAAGCUAGGUGAAAGACCCAAAUGCUAAGGUGGGAGUUGUCCUUGCUUUAAAUGAAAGUAGUUGUUAAAUAUUAAUGGUUUUUAUUUUAAGGUUUAGCUUUAAAUCCCUUAAAAACACCUUGAAUGGCCAAUACUUGGUAAGCUUUUCGGAUUCUAUGGAUGCUUAUUGCUAGAUCCAUGGAUGUCAUUAGUUAUCAUUUAUGAGCCAUUGGAAGGUGGUUCAAGAUGAGAGUCUUUAGUGUUUGAAGCCAUUAAUGGGAAACAAUUACCAUUUUUUCAUGAAUCCUUUGGAUAAAAUCUUAAUUGCUAAAUAUAAAACUGGUUCGGGAGAUAACCAUCCUUUAUGUUAUUAUGCCCAAUGCAAGGAGAAGAUUUCGAAUCUUCUCAUUUGUCUAAGGAACCCGAUCCUAGUGACCUAAAGCUCCUAGAGACCUUUUCUUUGUAGUUAACUUCAUUUAUUGUUUUUGCUUAACUUAAAAUCAAUCUUUGCAACCACAAUUCCAUUUUCUUUAAAAGCUAAUUUUUAUAAGGAAAAGCACCAUUUUAUUUCCUUCACUAAGUCAACUGUAUGAUGAAAACCCAUCCCUGUGGACGAUCUUAGAGCCACUAUACUAUGUUAUCUAUGCUAUCCUAGUGUGAGGUGAUUUAGGUUUUAUAAAUUUUGUUGAUAACACCCGUCUGAGCCAGAAUCAAAUGGAACCACUGAACCAGGGACAAAUCAACAGCCUAUAUGGGAGGGACACAAGUUUAAUUGAUUUGCAUUUCAGCGUUAUAGAUAAGUAUGUUUUGGAAGAUUUGUUCUGGAAAUACUGCACCAAGUACGAUUCUUUUUCUCUUGAGUGAGUCCAUUUGCAUGCCAAUUAACGAGUUGAAAAGUAGGAGCACCUACCUCGUGCUCAUGGAACCGAAUGUCAGUGAAGUGGGGCUCCUUUUAGCCUCUUGUGUUUCUGUUCCAACCAAGGCGGCGUAGGGAAAAACAACAAUAUGUCUGUGCUAAAUAUCAACGCAUGAUAGAUGUUUUUUUUUUUUUUUUUGGUAUGUCAAGGCUAACGAAUGAAAUGCAUUAGCUUGUUUUGUGACUAUAACUGCAAAUGUCCAAAUUGGAGUAUCUCCAUUUCUCACUUCGGAUGGUUAACUUUAUAAACAAGAUAUAGGAAACAUGUGAACAUCUUGAGGAACAAUUCAAAUUAUUCAUUAGAAGUCCUGGGUUAAGUUCCAAGAUUUAAAUCAGACCCUUCUAGCAGCUUCAAGGGUACUUAGCAACCUAUAACAUAUUAAUGAAGAUUUAGGAUUUAGACUCCGGAAUACAAAUAAAUAUGUAUCUCAUGCUUUGACUAGCUUCCCUACAUAUGCAUAAAAUGGAGAUGACCCAAAAAAAAUAGCAGAAUCUAGCUUCCCUACAUAUGCACAAAAUGGAGAUGACCCAAAAAAUAGCAUAAUCGCCUUAGUUUCUGUGGUUAAGGUGAUUCUCCGCUUAAUAUCCACAUUGACUCAUUAUGCAAAAUCAACUGAGCUAAUUUUAUUUAUUUAUUUAAUGUCAAAUAGGAACUCCUAAUUAACUGAUUACUGUCGAAAAGUGCUAUUUUGUAGACCUAAUUAUAAGGGUUUUAAGCACCUUUGAGUAGUAAUCAUAUUCAUUUAACCUAAUUAAUUCAUUAAGCUCCUUAGUAAUUAGUUCUAACCAUUUUUAGUGGCAAGUUUACAUGUUUUUCAUCAGCUUAUGAACCAAUUCAAGCAUGCCAAUUGAUGGAGGAGCUACUUGGGCGAGUUAAGCAAGGAUUUUGGACGUUUACAGGCUUGAAUUUCAAGUGGAAACACGAGCACAAGCAAUGGGAACACCAUUUCGCAAGGGGAGGCAAUUCACCUUGCCAAAUGACCAAUUUCGCAAGGGGAUUUUCCUCAUGGUGCAAAAUUUGGUCAUUUCGCACCAUGAAGAAACCACCUUGCAAAAUUUCGCAAGGUGGAUUUAGGCACCUUGCGAAAUGCCAAAUUUCACAAGGUGGCUUUUCACCUUGCGAAAUUUGGACCUUUCAUCUUCCCCCCUUGCGAAAUGCCUUUGAAAUCCCCUGUUUUGAGACGCUGUUGAUGAUAUUCCACUGCCGGUUCUCCAAGAUAUUUUGCUUGACUUUUAGCUUUAUAAAUACCUAUUUUACCCUUGUAAUCAACCAAUGAAAAGGUUGCUUUUGUAAUAGCUCUUGUAAUUUAGCUUUUUAUUGUCUUUAAAUAGAGGUGAAGAGCCUCAGACACGAUCAUCUUGUAACCUGUAACUUUAUAAGUUAUAAGAGCACUUUUGUUCAUACGCUUCUUUUCUCUUUUCUUUCUCAUUUUCUUAGUAGCCAAACAUCCUUGGAGGAUGAAAUCCCCAAGGAUGAGAGGCUAAAACCUUUUAGUUUCUUGAAGUAAUGGAUGCCAUGUGAAGCUCCCGUGUCAGGAUGGAGAUUUCCAAGCCAUAAAUGUAAGUAGCUGAGCGUCAUAAAUGUUUUCAUUCAAAGUAAAGCUUUUAAUCCCUCUGACUUGCUUUGAAUGGCCAAUACUUGAUAACCUUUUGGUCUCAAUGGAUUCUUAUUGUUAGAUCCACUGACGUUCAUUAGUUAUCUCCUACGAGCCAUUGUAUUGCAAGUCGAGGAGAUGACCUAUACCAAUAAAAGAGCAUUUAUGAGGUUCAACUACCCUUUUUGUAAGUUUUCAAGGACUAAAACUCAGUUGUUAAACUCAUACCGGUUCGAGAAGUAAGCAUCACCUUAGUUGCUUCCCCAACUCGAGGUGAAAAGUCCCAAAAUCUCCAUUUUUACACAGUGAGUUAAGCAUGGCUAUCCAAAGCUUUAAGAAACUUCUUUUUCCAUCUUUUAACCUAUUUUCAUGUUAGUUUAGUUUACAACACCUUCAUCUUUUUAUGUUUUCAUCUUAACCUAAUUUUUAUUAAGAAAAGUUCACUCCAUCCUCCGAACUUCACCAGUUAAAGUAAAAACCCUUCCCAGUGUUCGAUCCUAGAGCCACUAUGCUAUAGUAGCUUUGCUACUUUAGUGUAAGGACCUUAGGUAUAAAUUUUGUUGAUACCCUUACAUGCCAAGCUACCAAGAGUCGGGUUAUCAUUAACCUAACCAUUGGCCUGUGUAAAUUGAUUUCACAUGCACAAUGUUGUAGUAGAAGUCCAUAUUUUGAAUUUUAUUUUUGUAAAGGUAAGGAAAAUGAAGCAUUGUGUAAUUAUAAAAAUAACUUCAUUGGAAUUCACAAGGUUCACCCAAAAUGGAGCUACAUCUGUAUUCUAUCCUACAGUAGACUAUAUAGAUUGUACAAUAGUAAAUUGCAAAUACAAUUAAUAAGUCUUGUGCUUCCUUACUAAUAAUCCUUUGACAUGAACAUUGCAGCACUAAGGUCCUCUUGGGAAGACACCUUGCACCCAUGAGAGCACUAAGAGGAAGCAAGGCAGAGUCAUGGGUGCAAUGUCAUGACUUGUUGUUGCACCAAGAGAGGCUUGGUGAUGCCAUGGUGUUGCAGUAGCAAGAAUGUUGCCUUGGCAGGGACACGAUCUAGGGAUAGAUGCCAAGAAAGGCUUAGCACUCACAUGAGUUGCACAAAGAUGAAUGUAAUAGAGCAUCAGAGAGACGUCUUGGCAAGUAAAUGAAUGGAUCCAAGAGACAACAACAUGAGGAGUUUCAAAUGGAUAAGGAAUGACUCAAAGACAUUUGAAAGCUACAAGUUGGAUUCUAAUUACGAUUGCAAUUUGAGUUUGAGUAGGAGUUUAGAUUUUGAUUGUAAUUGUAGUAUGAGUUGGACUAGGAUUGCUUAUCCUUAGUCAAUAUAGGAGCGGUUCGUGUCACCCUAUGAAAAGAGUUUGAGUAGGGACUAGGAUUGCUUACUCCUAGUCAAAUAUGGAGUAGGUGGUGCCACACCUAUAAAAAAAAGGGACAACAUGAGAGAGAGAGAGAGAGAGAAAGAGAGAGUGAAUUCACUAAAGAUAUUGUGGGAGUUUUGCUUUGUUACGUCUUGUAUUAUUACUUAGAAUAGGAAUAAAAUACAAGUUGGGGCUAGAGCCCCAUAAUUAAUCUCGUGUGCCUUUGUGGUUAUUCUUUAUUUGUCAUCUCGUGUGGAUUGGAUUAGGUUGACUUAGAGGGCUUCUAAGCACCACCUUUGUGGGUUAUUAUUUAUUUUCCAUCUCUUGUGGAUUAGAUUAGGUUGACUUAGAGGGCUUCUGAGCACCACCUUUGUGGGUUAUUAUUUAUUUUCCAUCUAUUGUGGAUUAGAUUAGGUUGACUUAGAGGGCUUUUAAGCACCACAUUUGUGGGUUAUUCUUUAUUUUCCAUAUCGUGUGGGUUGGAUUAGGUUGACAAGGAGAAAAAUUAUGUGGGAAAUUUGUGUUGGGACACUUACCAUAACCAAGUAAAAUCUACCAAGUCCUUUGUAAUAUCUUCAACAAAUAUUUUAGACUAGUUCUUUCAGUUAGUGUAAAGGAGGAAGAAGUGGUAUUGAUUCUAGAAAUAGGGUGUGUGUAUUUGAACUACAAUCCUUAUGAUCCUUAGGUCUCUAAACCUUCGUGAUGGGCUCCCUGACAUUUCAUAGGUUGUGCUACACAUGCGUUUGAAAUUUAGAGUGCGUUUGACAGUGAUUCCGGGAAGUGUUUUUGGCCUUUCUUACACUUGAAAAUUUUUAUUUUUCAAGUAUUAGAAAUGCUACAAACACUUUUGAAAAUUACUGUCAAACACACUCUUAGGAGCGCACAUAUAUAGUAGAAAACUAGAAAUUGUGGUUUUUUUAGGAUUUACUGUAAUGUCAUUAGGAGGGUAGUAAGUUGAAAUUGAGUAUGAACAAAUAUUUCUUUCUUUGGGAUGUUCUUCUAGUAGGUGCUGAUGAAACUGUUCUUUCUACUGCCAAUGUCACAUAUCAGCCAGAAAUUGAAAAUUUCAGUCAAGGUGUCCUCUGUUUUAGUGGUGAGGAAAGCUAGAAAUUUUAAGGUGAAGUUUUGUUAAAAACCUUAAGUAGCUGGGAUAUCAGGCCUGUUUUGCUUGAAAAAAAAAGUUGCAAGAUAACUCAUAUGCCAAACAGGUUCUGAUAUUGUGAAUCUAUCGGCAGACAUCAGUAAUCUCAUCUUCUGAGAUGGAUGUUGGGGGUGCAUGUGGUGGUGGAGGGGCAAGGUUUCAUUUGGUUUAUUUUGUUGAUGGAUAUUGUCUAGCCACCUGCGCCAAGUUUGAGGGGUGGUGGGUUGUGAUGACCCUACAAUUACUAUUAAUUUCUUCAUCUUUUACCGAUUAAAGUGUCCGAACAGUCGAAGUUACCCUUAUGCAUGUCAACUUGAUCACUUACCUCUUCAAUGGAGUUUAUGCUGGUUCAUUUAGGAACUGAUUUUUAUUGUUAUGUAUUAUAUGCUGAUGUUUAGGUCUCUCCAUCAUCACUAUAUACAAAAAUUCUAGGUUGAUACUAUAGGUUGAGAUUUAUUUUUUAAAUAAAAAAUAAUAAAAAUAAAAAUUAUGGUGAUGUUUAGUUGUUUUAUGGAAAAUUUUAACAAGUAAAAGUUAUUUUUGGGCAAGUUUUCAAACAAAAAGAAAAGUAAAAGUUGUUUUGACAAAAACAUAUAGAAAAAAAAAUCAUAGAAAAUAAAUAAUUUCCCCAUAUUCUAACUUUUUUGAAUUUUUCUCAAUGGGCAAAGGAAUAUCAAAUCAAGUUUGAGUAGGAUUUCUUAAUUUUUAAAAUAACUUACAAUUAAAAAAUUUUGGUGUUUUCAUUUUUGGACAAUUUUUUAUUAAGCAAAUGGACUCUGAGUCAUGCAAGAGAUAUGGUUCAUUAACCGGUCGAACAAUUUUUUUAAAUUAAUUUAAAAGUCAAAUACAUAAUCAAUUUCACAAAAUUUAUAAACAAAAAUAGGUUUAGAGAAGAUCUACACAUAAUUUUACUUUUCUAAUUUUAUUUUAUUUUAUUUUUUGUUGGAAAAUAGUCUUCAAAUCAUGUAAGAUUUAAUAGGUUAAAUUUGUUAACAAUAAAUUUUAAAUUAUAAAAUAUAAUCUGGAACUCAAAAAUCAAUUCAAGUAAUGCUAAAAAAAAAUCAAAUUUGGUAUAGAAUGACUUUGUAAAUUUUUUUACAAAACAAAUGAAUUUUAAAUCAAGUGAGAUUUAAUGCAUUAGAUUUUUAUCAAAUAUAGUAAUUUUAAAAAUAAAUUUGGAACUCAACAAUAGACACAAUAAAUACCAAAAAAUAAUGAACCAAAAUUGGUUUGGAAUAACUCCACAACCUUUUUUUUUUUUUUUUGGUGCACACGAAUUUUCUUACUAGGUAUAUUGCUUUCAAAUUGAGAAAGAUUUACCAUUUAGAUUUUUUUUUAAUGAGUUUAAUGGUAUUUUAAAAUAAUUCAAAAUUUAAAAAAUUGACUAAUUAAUAUUAUAAAUUGAUAAACCAAGACUAUUUCAAAAUGCAUUGGGGGCUAAGGGGGUUGAAAAUAGGGACAAUGGGAUGGGUUUGGGACAUGACACUCAUAUCUCAUUUCCAUUCCAAUUACACAGUUAUCUCCCAUCCUUAUCCCAAACUUGUGUUGGAGCAAGUUGAUUUGUUCCCAUCUUUGUUGACGAAAUGACUAAUAACCUCAUCCCCUCCUUAUCUUAGAUGUACAUUUUGUCAAAUUUGAUCAGGUAUGAUUGAUCCAAGCCCUAACCCUAAUUGGUAAUGAGUGAAUACUACACCUAAUUGCAUUCUUCUUUCAUUGCAAAAUAAUGAGAUUAUAAUAAUCUAGCAAAUAAGAAAAAAUAGUAUGGAAGUUCAAAUUAACACCAUAACUAUCAAUAAUUUUAAGCUUAUAGAUGACUUAAAUGAUUAAAAACUAAUGCAAAAUCCUAAAAAAAAUAAAAAUCAUAUAAAGAAUUCACAAGAGAACAGAAUGAACAAAAACCAAAUAUGAACAUGGGUCAACAUUAGUUAUGGAUUUGGAUUCCUUUCAAGGCCAAUCUUUGAACCAAGACUUCAUCAAAUCAACUACUUCAAAGGCUUUUGUGUUCUUCUUGGGUUGUGCUCUCAAACAAAGACUUCGAGGUGAUGUUCUAGAUGAUUGAAUUACACAUAUUUAGGGUGGAGAGAUUGGAGAAGCUUGAAGAUGCCAACGAUGGGUACAAUUGAGUGGUCAAUAAGAACAAUGUAGCCUAUGACUAGUUUGAUGUCAUGGUACAAGAGUUUUAGGCAUUGAGGUUAAAGCAAGAGCAACAUGGAAUUGAUUUCGGAGUCUUUCAGUUAGUGUAAAGGAGGAAGAAGUGGUGUUGAUUCUAGAAAUAGGGUUUUAAGUGGUGCGUGAUUACUACUCAAAAAGUGCUAUUUGAUAGCCUUUAAUUAAUCCUUUUUAACACUUUUGAGUAGUAGUUUAGGCCUUUUAACUCAAUUGGCAUGUUAAGGAUCCUUUAAAGCAAUUUUGAUCACUUUGUGCAAGUUUUGGUGUUUUUGUUAGUAUUUUGAUCACCAAAGCAAGUCAAGAAUGAGGAGAACUAUGAGGAAUCAUGGGCAAAGCUUAGAAUUCAAUUGCCAAGAGUGAAUCCGGAUUGCAAGGAGAAAAAGCAAAGAGAAUCUGUCAUGAAGCCUAUUCUUGAUGACAGUCGUAGCAGCCACUUUUGGAGCACUUUCUGAAGUCCAAAUGAUGCAAGCUAUAUACCAUUUCAAAGAUCAGGAAGUCAACAAUCCAAUGCUUCAAACGGUGCGCGAUUCGGAGUUGAAACGAAGAAGUUGCAGCCAUUACAAGCCAGUCACUCUAAAGUGUUGCGGAAUCAGCCUUUUGUUGCGAGAAUUUCGCAGCACUUUUGUACAGUAAGGUGUUUCUCCUUCUGACGAUGCACGAACCAUGCCGCGAGAGGGAAGCUAGGAACUUCAAGAUGGAAGCCAACUUUGCAGCCUGGUGAAGAUAGCUUGGUCUUGCGAAAUAAUUUCGCAGCCCUCUUGGGUGUCUGCGAAAUUUCGCAGGCACCACUUUUUUCCUGCGAAAUGGCUCCGGAAGCCUCCCGAAGCUUGCUACCGACAUUGGGAGAUAUUUUCCAUUAGAUUUUUGUUGUCUAAAUUCCAAAAUACUCCUUGUAAACCACCAAUUACAUGAUUCCUUAGUUUUUAAGUUAGUAAAAAGACCAAAUAUCUAUGUAAUAAUUAGUUUUAUAUUAGUUUGCUAUAAAUACCUCUCGGGAGCAUGUUCUCAGAGAGGAGUUCCUUCUGUAACCAUUUUGGUAAGCAAGUAAAGUCUUUUCUUUCUACUGCCUUACCUUCUCACUUUGUAUUUUCAUUUUAUUUCUAAGUUAUGAAUUCUCUGAGGAGCUUUCCCCAGAGAAUGAGUAACUAAACCUCCAAUUCCUUGGAGCUAAGGUUGCCGGGGAAGGUUCCAAGUGCAAGAAUGCAAAGCUCUGUGGUUUUAGCUAGUAAUGAAGAGGAAGUGAAAUCCUUUAGUGAUUUCAAUGUUUUUAGUUAACUUAAAACACCUUGGAGUCACCUGGGCCAACACUUGGUAAGGCAAGUGAUUUCCAACCGUGGAAAUGCACUAGUUUACCCCUUGCGAGCCUCUGGUAGGUGACUUCAAGGUAGGAUUUUCUGGAAUUACCAACACUUGGUAAGCUUUUGGACUCCUAGGAGACAUCCAUUAGUUAUCUCUUGCGAGUUUGUGAAGGGGAAUCCAAGGUUAAAGAUCACCUUGAAUGGUAAGUGCUCGUGAGAGGCAUGAACCAUUGCAAGUUGUAUCAGUGAGAGAAUUAAAGUGAAAUCUAAUUGAAGGAGUCUCUGUACAUCACCGGUUAGAGAAUUGACUAUAAGUUGAAUCUCUAAUGCGAGGAAAUGAACCAUCUGACCGGAGCUAUGUCUUUUGCAUGAGGAACCACCCCAGUGAACCUAAAUCUCCAAGGAAUGCUUUUCUUCCUAAAUUAUUCCAAACUUCUGUUAAGUUAGUUAGUUUAAGUCUAAACCUUUACCAAUCAAACUUUGUGUUUUAUUUCUUAAGCUAACCGUGAAAUGAAACAAAACCAAUUCACUUGGAAUUGGUAUCCUUGAUUGCUUGCAAAUCAUUCCCAGUGAACGAUCCUUAGAGCCACUAUACUAUAGUAGCUUUGUAUUUGCUACCCUAGUGUAUGGUGUUAUAGGUAUAAAUUUUGUUGAUCACUUCCUCAAUCAAGGAACACCAGCUGAACACAAAUCAGCUGAGACACCAAUUGGGCAUGAGUCAAAUGGCGCCGUUGCCGGGGAAUGAGUGUCAAGAUCAUUGUGAUACCAUUUUUGAGCACUUGUGAUUUUCAUCACAAGUUGGUAAAGUUUCUUUCACUUUACUAAUUUUCAUUCUCUCUUUGUUUAUUUACAAUCUAAGUUUAUCUUUUUAAAAUUUAGUCUAGUUUAAUUUUGCUAUUGUAGCCUUGUUUCUCUUGUUGUCCUCUGUUCUUGUUGUCCUCUGUUUUCAUUUUAGUUGCAGCUGAAUACUAGUUGUGUAUGCCAAAGUGGAUACGAGACAUUGGAGGUAGGCUUAUUAAGUGUGAUACACCUCAGAGAGGAGAAUUGGAAGUAAUCUUGAAUAUCAUGGAGGCUGCACCUGAAGAUCAGCAUAGUCACCAAGGUCGUCAAGACAAUCUCAAUGAAUUCAGAUCAAUGAGGGACCGUAUGCAUCCACCUCGUAUGAGUGCACCAUCAUGUAUAGUGCCCCCUACAGAGCAACUAGUGAUCAGACCAUAUCUUGUUCCACUUCUACCAACUUUCCAUGGGAUGGAAAGUGAGAAUCCGUAUGCACACAUCAAGGAAUUUGAAGAUGUUUGUAAUACAUUCCAAGAGGGAGGAGCUUCAAUUGAUUUGAUGAGGCUUAAGUUAUUUCCUUUUAAUUUAAAGGAUAAGGCCAAAAUUUGGCUUAAUUCUUUAAGGCCAAGGAGUAUCCGCUCUUGGACUGAUUUACAAGCUGAAUUCCUCAAGAAAUUUUUUCCUACUCAUAGAACAAAUGGCUUGAAAAGGCAAAUUUCAAACUUCUCAGCUAAAGAGAAUGAGAAAUUCUAUGAGUGUUGGGAAAGAUACAUGGAAGCUAUAAAUGCUUGUCCUCACCAUGGCUUUGAUACUUGGCUACUGGUGAGUUAUUUUUAUGAUGGUAUGUCCUCCUCAAUGAAGCAACUCCUCGAGAAAAUGUGUGGAGAAGAUUUCAUGAGCAAAAAUCCAGAGGAAGCUAUGGAUUUCUUGAGCUAUGUAGCUGAUGUUUCAAGGGGAUGGGAUGAACCAACUAAAGGAGAAGUGGGAAAGAUGAAGUCUCAGUUGAAUGCUUACAAUGCAAAGGCUGGGAUGUAUACUUUAAAAGAGGAUGAUGACAUGAAAGCAAAGUUGGCAGCUAUGACAAGAAGAUUGGAGGAGCUGGAGCUGAAAAGAAUGCAUGAAGUGCAAGCUGUUGCUGAAGCACCAGUGCAAGUGAAGUUGUGUCCCAAUUGUCAAUCGUUUGAACAUUUGGUAGAGGAAUGCCCUGCAAUUUCAGCUGAAAGGGAAAUGUAUAGAGAUCAAGCAAAUGUUGUUGGACAAUUCAGGCCCAAUAACAAUGCUCCUUAUGGAAAUACCUACAAUUCAAGUUGGAGGAAUCAUCCAAAUUUUUCAUGGAAGGCCAGAGCAACUCAAUACCAACAGCCGGAUCCACCAUCUCAACAAUCUUCAAGUAUUGAACAAAUAAUAGCUAAUCUCAGCAAGGUAGUGGGAGAUUUUGUGGGAAAGCAAGAAGCCACCAAUGCUCGAGUGGAUCAAAGAAUGGACAGAGUGGAUCAAAGAAUGGACAGAAUGGAGAGUAUGUUGAACAAAAGAAUGGAUGGAAUGCAAAAUGAUAUGAAUCAAAAAUUUGAUAACAUCCAAUAUUCAAUUUCAAGGCUUACAAAUUUGAAUACACUGCAAGAAAAGGGAAGAUUUCCUUCUCAACCUAACCAAAAUCCCAAAGGUGUCCAUGAAGUGGAAAGCCAUGAGGGAGAAUCAUCACAGGUGAAAGAUGUGAAAGCUUUGAUCACUCUAAGGAGUGGUAAGAAAAUUGAGCAGCCAACACCCAAGCCACAUGUUGAGAAAGAAGAAGAGAUGAAGAAAGGGAAGGAAAUGGAAGAUAAAGGCAGUGAGAUCAGUGAAGAAAAGAAGGACUCUGAUGCAACAAUGAAAGUAAUUCCAGAGAAGGAGCUUCUGAAGGAAGAAAUGCUGAAGAAAUCAACUUUUCCACCUUUUCCUCAAGCAUUACAGGGGAAAAAGGGGGUUAGAAAUGCAGCUGAAAUCCUAGAAGUAUUGAGGCAAGUGAAAGUUAAUAUUCCACUGCUGGAUAUGAUCAAACAAGUUCCAACGUAUGCAAAAUUCCUAAAGGACUUGUGUACUAUCAAAAGAGGGUUGACUGUAAACAAGAAAGCCUUCUUGACUGAGCAAGUAAGUGCAAUCUUACAGUGUAAGUCUCCUUUGAAGUACAAAGACCCUGGAAGUCCUACCAUUUCAGUCAUGAUUGGAGGAAAGGUAGUGGAGAAAGCCUUGCUAGACUUGGGAGCAAGUGUGAAUUUGCUUCCAUAUUCUGUCUACAAGCAACUGGGACUUGGAGAGUUGAAGCCAACAGCAAUCACUUUGUCUCUGGCAGAUAGAUCAGUGAAAAUUCCAAGAGGGGUAAUUGAGGAUGUAUUGGUUCAAGUAGAUAAUUUCUACUAUCCUGUAGAUUUUGUUGUUCUUGAUACAGAUCCUACUGUAAAGGAAGCUAAUUUAGUUCCUAUCAUCCUUGGAAGGCCAUUUCUUGCAACUUCAAAUGCAAUCAUCAACUGUAGAAAUGGGCUUAUGCAACUCACUUUUGGUAACAUGACACUGGAUCUAAAUAUUUUCUAUAUGUCUAAAAAGCAAAUCACUCCAGAAGAAGAAGAGGGUCCAGAAGAGCUAUGUAUUAUUGAUACUUUGGUGGAGGAGCACUGCAAUCAACAUAUGCAAGAUAAGUUGAAUGAAAGUUUUGUGGAUAUUGAGGAAGGUUUUUCUGAAUCUCCUAAUGGGCUUGCUACUCUACAAAGUUGGAGAAAGAUAGAAGGAAUUCUACCUUUGUUCAAUGAAGAAGAGGAGGCAGCUGUUGAAAAAGAAAUUCCAAAACUCAAUCUGAAGCCUUUACCUAUGGAGCUGAAAUAUACAUAUCUUGAAGAAAAUAAUCAAUGUCCUGUCGUAAUAUCUUCAUCUCAAACCAAGUCUCAAGUGAAGGAUGCAAGCUUCAAAUGGGAUCCGGGCAAACUGAAUCAGGAAGGGCAAAAAGUUUUGAUGUAUGACACAAGACUCCAUAUCUUUCCUGGGAAGCUCAAGUCAAGGUGGAUUGGUCCAUUUGUUAUUCACCGAGUAUAUUCCAAUGGAGUGGUGGACUUAUUGAAUUCCAAUGGCAAGGACAGCUUUAGAGUCAAUGGAUAUCGUCUUAAGCCGUUCAUGGAGUCAUUCAAAUCAGAAAAGGAGGCAAUCAACCUCCUUGAACCUCAAAAAGCCUAAGUGAAAUGGGUUUGCUGGACGUGGUUUUACCACAGUCCAAAAAUUUUUGUAAAUUUUGUAAAUUUUCAAGUUGUUUCCAUGCUUUUAAUCUUAGUUUUUGAUUUUAAAUCAUGUUUUUAGGUGUGUUUUAAUCGUUUUAUAUGAUCCCAGGCGGAAGAAAUUUCAAGGGGAUUGAAAAGAAAAAAAUCGGGUCGAAAUUGGAGCCGAAACAGAGCAAAAACAGGGGAAAAACAGAGCUCUGCGAAAUUUCGCAGGGUGAAGGAAACUUCUGCGAAAUUGGCAUUUUGCUGCCAAACCAUUCCGCAGCACUGUAGAAGCCUCUGCGAGUGUAUUUCGCAAUUGCGAAAGUGGAUUUGGCACACGAGUGCCACUUCGCAGCACAGUGACAUCAAUUUCGCAGCUGCGAAACUCACUGCGAAGUUGCUGCGAAAAUGGCAAGUUGCUGCGAAAUUGGCGUUUUGUUGCGAAACGUAAUCUGACCCCUGGGCUUCCGUUUUUCCUAUUUAUACCUGUCAAAAGUGCUGCGAAAAAGGUUUCAAAAAUUAGAGCACCAUUCUCGCAGCCCUUUCAUCUUCUUCGCCAAGCCACGCCGUCCGUUUCUCCGGUCGUCUUCUCCGUUUAGCAGCGCCGGCCAAAGAUCGAUAGCCCAAAAAUGGCACGAACGCGAGGGGCAAAGUCUUCAUCCCCUUCGAACCGCAAAAGGAGUCUGCGAAAGGAGCCAAGUUCAGGCUCUGUUCCAGAACCUGCUCCAAAGCCUUCGCCGUCGAGACCACAACCUUCUCCAGUGAAGCCGGCGCCACCAAAGCCGCCGGCAAGGCGAUAUUUAACCAGGUCAGGUGGUCAGCCAUUGAAGAAGAAAGCCAGAGUUGAGAGCUCUGAACCAAUCGAUUUGACUGAGCAAUCCCCUGAGAAAUCACCAAAUCCUUCACCGGUACAAAUUCCAGUGCCAUCACCGGUUCCCUCGCCAAUUCCCUCACCAGAAGCAACUCCAAUUCCAUCGCCGGUACCAUCUCCGGCACCCCAAGAAAAAGCUCAGGAGCCUCAAGCGCCAAUUCCAGAGCCCCAAAUUGCAGCUGAAGCACCUCUGGAAGAAGUGAUCCGAAGGCCAAUGCUGCCUCAGCCCCCAAUCGAAGGAAACCUGGAUUGCCGAACUCGGGCAUUCCAUUCUGAGCUUUGCUUCGAUUUAACAGCAUUCAGAGUGAGGCCAGAGCUUGCCCAAUCCUUCCAACUGCUGAGGAGAUAUCAUAUGGAGCAUCUGCUAGCUCCAAGGGAUUUUUUCUAUCCCCGGGUAGUCACGGAUUUCUACCAAACCAUGACAACCAAAGAAGUAAGAAAUCCAACUCUGAUUCAUUUCAUAAUUGAUGGAAGGCAUGGUAUUUUGGGAGCAAGACAUAUUGCUGAAGCCCUGCAAAUUCCUUUUGAGCCAACUCAAUUCGACAAUUUUAAAGCUUGGACAAAUCCUACUGAGUUAGAGAUGGUUAGCACACUAACCAGAGGAGCUGCAAAUCGAUCGCAUUUGUUGAGGGGGGAGCUACCUCCAGUUAUGUUUUUGAUUGAUGCCUUUUUGAGGCAUAAUAUCUAUCCCCUGCAGCAUUGGACCCAAAGAAGGGGAAUUCUCCUAGAAGCCUUGUACAAAAUGUCUGAAGGAUUCUUCUUUGGGCCUCAUCAUCUGAUCAUGGCAGCCCUUCUAUACUUUGAGGAGAAGGUUCACAAGAAGAAGCUUCAAAGAGCAGAUUGCAUUCCACUCCUCUUCCCAAGGCUGCUAUGCCAAGUUUUGGAGCAUCUCGGAUACCCCUCUGAGCCUCAGCAGGAAAGAAAGAGAAUAUGCCGUGAGCCUUUUACCCUUGAUAAAUGGAAUAAUAUGACGGCCUACAAAAUUGAUCAGCCUGGGCAGCCUCAGCCAGCAGCAAGGAGAGUCUCCCCAAGACAUAUACCUGAAGGUAUAACACUUGCUACUCCUGCCAUCCCUCGAGCUCCACCAGCUGCACCUGCUCCAUCACAGCCAUCCACAUCAGCUGAGCCGAGGAUGGCCAUCCCUAUAUCCGAAUAUCGAGAGCUGUGCCGUGCAUUGGAGACUCUUACAGCUUCUCAGAGCAAUCUUGCUCAGGAGUUGGCAGCCAUUAAAGCAUGCCAGGAGCAGAUGUUAGCCUCUCAGACUCAACAAGCUGCCAUCCUAAGGCAGCUUCAAGUCCAUUUCGAUCUGCCACAAGCUGUAGAGCCCUCUAUUCCUACUCCACCAGAGCCACACUCUCAGCCUUCAGAGUCUCAUCCUCCAGAACCCGAAGCACCAGCUGAUCCACCUACUGAGGAGGCAGAUCCUUCUGCCUAGCACCAUCACCCCCCUCAUCAGACAUUAUAUAUAUAUUUGCUGUUUAUGUUUUUAUGCAUGUUUGUUUUGUUUUAGUUGAAAAGAAAUCCCAGUAUUUUGGUACUAUAUAUGGGAUUCCUUGUGUUACUUGUCUUUAGUAUUGUAAUCACAUGAACUCAAAGUAAUACAAGUUGACUAUUUCUUGUUAAAAGUUAGCAUUAAAGUUUCCUUAUUUCCUUUUCUCACAUAUUCUAUUCUUUUUGAAACAUGUGGUUUUCCCCAAUCAAUAUUCGAAUUUGAUAUCAGCAUGGAGGUACCACUUCCUCCCUUUUAUUACAGUCACUCAAAUCACAUUGAGGACAAUGCUCAGUUCGGUUGGGGGGUAUGAGGAAGGAAGUAUUCUAAACCUUUUUGGUAUUGCAAUUAUAUUGGUUAAUUAGUUGUAGAUUUUACUUUUUACUAGUGUUACUCUAUUCUCCAUGAAUUUUGAGGAAAAAUUUUCAAAUUAAACCAAGAGAAAUUGAACUGUUGUUUUUCACUUGACUUAGAGUAUGGAUUAUGCUUACUAAAGUGGUUCAAUUGUUGAAACUUCUACUGAAAUUGAAUUGAGUUCUUCCACUUUAAGCUAUCCACACACUGUGCACAUUAGUUUCCGAUUAUAAGAUGAAAAGCUAUUUCCCUCUUGACUUAGUAUAUUUUUGGGACUUGGUAUAUUUGACCUCAUUUGAUAAAAAUUGAAACACCCUGCAAAAGGCCAAUGAGCCUUUGAAAUAAAGAAAGUUGUUUGCUUGCCUUGAAACCCGAGCAAGGUCUGAGGGGUAUAUGGUGAAAAUCUUUAAAGCCUGGUGCCCUAAGCCUUAAUUGGUUGGGAGUCACCGACCUCAAUGCUCGUUACAAGGGUGAAUAGGUAGAGUUAGCAUAUGGUAGAUGCUUGGGUAUUAGAAAUUCAUUCUUAAAAGUCCGGGGAAAAAUCCGAGGAGUUAGUGGUUGAAAGAUCCUUAAAACUUGGUGCCCUAAACCUUAAUUGGUUGGGAGUCAUCGAUGGACCCCCAUUACAUGGACAAGUCAGAAAGAGUACCCCAUAAAGCUACCUUAAAAAAAAAAAAAAAAAAAAAAAAAAAAAAAAAGAUGAAAGUGUGUUCUUUUCUUAUUGAUUUUGGUCAGUUUGCUAAAGUGUUGAAAAGAGAUAGGUUGGGGGGUGAGAUUAGUAGCAUAUUAUUCUCGGAACCUAAGGAACCAAUACACAUAGAUUUUUGUGGAAGAUUGAAGUUUAGUUCUUAGAAAAUGAAAUGAUUUUAAAACUUCAGUUUGCAUAAUGCACUCCCUUGAUUGACAGUGUUUAGCAUAGGUGUUAUGACUCUUGUUGAGAUUUGGGUUUGUAUUUCUUUAAUGAUUCAUGUGAGAAAUAGAUCAUCAUGCCACUUGAGAAUUAUUUUCCUUUUAGCAUGAUGUUGUAAAUUUUAGAUUAGUUUGCUAUUUAUUUUUUAUUUUCUCUCCUAUAUUGCUAAGGGACUAGCAAUAUGUCGGUUGGGGGGAGUGAUUACUACUCAAAAAGUGCUAUUUGAUAGCCUUUAAUUAAUCCUUUUUAACACUUUUGAGUAGUAGUUUAGGCCUUUUAACUCAAUUGGCAUGUUAAGGAUCCUUUAAAGCAAUUUUGAUCACUUUGUGCAAGUUUUGGUGUUUUUGUUAGUAUUUUGAUCACCAAAGCAAGUCAAGAAUGAGGAGAACUAUGAGGAAUCAUGGGCAAAGCUUAGAAUUCAAUUGCCAAGAGUGAAUCCGGAUUGCAAGGAGAAAAAGCAAAGAGAAUCUGUCAUGAAGCCUAUUCUUGAUGACAGUCGUAGCAGCCACUUUUGGAGCACUUUCUGAAGUCCAAAUGAUGCAAGCUAUAUACCAUUUCAAAGCUCAGGAAGUCAACAAUCCAAUGCUUCAAACGGUGCGCGAUUCGGAGUUGAAACGAAGAAGUUGCAGCCAUUACAAGCCAGUCACUCUAAAGUGUUGCGGAAUCAGCCUUUUGUUGCGAGAAUUUCGCAGCACUUUUGUACAGUAAGGUGUUUCUCCUUCUGACGAUGCACGAACCAUGCCGCGAGAGGGAAGCUAGGAACUUCAAGAUGGAAGCCAACUUUGCAGCCUGGUGAAGAUAGCUUGGUCUUGCGAAAUAAUUUCGCAGCCCUCUUGGGUGUCUGCGAAAUUUCGCAGGCACCACUUUUUUCCUGCGAAAUGGCUCCGGAAGCCUCCCGAAGCUUGCUACCGACAUUGGGAGAUAUUUUCCAUUAGAUUUUUGUUGUCUAAAUUCCAAAAUACUCCUUGUAAACCACCAAUUACAUGAUUCCUUAGUUUUUAAGUUAGUAAAAAGACCAAAUAUCUAUGUAAUAAUUAGUUUUAUAUUAGUUUGCUAUAAAUACCUCUCGGGAGCAUGUUCUCAGAGAGGAGUUCCUUCUGUAACCAUUUUGGUAAGCAAGUAAAGUCUUUUCUUUCUACUGCCUUACCUUCUCACUUUGUAUUUUCAUUUUAUUUCUAAGUUAUGAAUUCUCUGAGGAGCUUUCCCCAGAGAAUGAGUAACUAAACCUCCAAUUCCUUGGAGCUAAGGUUGCCGGGGAAGGUUCCAAGUGCAAGAAUGCAAAGCUCUGUGGUUUUAGCUAGUAAUGAAGAGGAAGUGAAAUCCUUUAGUGAUUUCAAUGUUUUUAGUUAACUUAAAACACCUUGGAGUCACCUGGGCCAACACUUGGUAAGGCAAGUGAUUUCCAACCGUGGAAAUGCACUAGUUUACCCCUUGCGAGCCUCUGGUAGGUGACUUCAAGGUAGGAUUUUCUGGAAUUACCAACACUUGGUAAGCUUUUGGACUCCUAGGAGACAUCCAUUAGUUAUCUCUUGCGAGUUUGUGAAGGGGAAUCCAAGGUUAAAGAUCACCUUGAAUGGUAAGUGCUCGUGAGAGGCAUGAACCAUUGCAAGUUGUAUCAGUGAGAGAAUUAAAGUGAAAUCUAAUUGAAGGAGUCUCUGUACAUCACCGGUUAGAGAAUUGACUAUAAGUUGAAUCUCUAAUGCGAGGAAAUGAACCAUCUGACCGGAGCUAUGUCUUUUGCAUGAGGAACCACCCCAGUGAACCUAAAUCUCCAAGGAAUGCUUUUCUUCCUAAAUUAUUCCAAACUUCUGUUAAGUUAGUUAGUUUAAGUCUAAACCUUUACCAAUCAAACUUUGUGUUUUAUUCCUUAAGCUAACCGUGAAAUGAAACAAAACCAAUUCACUUGGAAUUGGUAUCCUUGAUUGCUUGCAAAUCAUUCCCAGUGAACGAUCCUUAGAGCCACUAUACUAUAGUAGCUUUGUAUUUGCUACCCUAGUGUAUGGUGUUAUAGGUAUAAAUUUUGUUGAUCACUUCCUCAAUCAAGGAACACCAGCUGAACACAAAUCAGCUGAGACACCAAUUGGGCAUGAGUCAGUGCGUUAGAGGAUCAAGAAGAAGAAAAAGAAGGAACUGUUGGAAUUAGUAUGAGUGUGAAGAGAAAAGUAUAUAAAUAAGGGGAAGUAAAAGCAAAGUUCAAAAAGCUAUAUUUUUUUAUUGUUGGUGUAUGGUUGCAUGAUUAUCCCUAUAAAUAAUAGGAGUUUUUUGGUAUUCUACUAGUAGUUGAAGCAUAAUUUCAUAAAUUAAUAUUUAGAGCGGGGUGGGGUGAGUUGUGACAAAAUUCAUACCCGUCCCAAACCUUGGUUCAGAUUUUUAAAAUAUUCUCAAACUUAUCAUAUACCCAACUUUUAUAUUUCAUACUUGUCCUAAUAGAGGCACGUUAGGCCGGGUUACUUGAGUAACCUACAUAAUUGUCAUCCCUAGUUGAAAUACACUUUUUGGCAGUGGCCACCAACUGAGCUAGAAGCUUGAUUGAUUGACCUACAAGAUUAGUUCUCAUCAUUUUAAAAAAAGUUCUGGCUUUGGUUGUGAGUGCAAUUGAAUCUAAACUGGCAUUUGCUUAAUGCAUCUACUUCAAUCCUAAACUUCUUACUUCUUAAGCCUCAAUUGUUGUUAGGAUUUUGGAAAACCCAUUUCCUUAAAUUGUAAAUUUAAGAUAAAAUAAAAUAAAAGUGAGACAUUUCUUGAUUGAAUAUUGUUAAAGGUCCCUUGGCAUUAAGACUUGGUUGAAGCCUUGGAAGAUUAGUGGAACUCUCAACAUGUGUUUGAAUCUUGAGGAGAGUGGAUGUAAGCCAAAAUUUUGUCAAACCAUUAUACAAAUUGAGUUUGAAUCCUCAUUUCUUGAUUUCUUAUUUAUUUGCUUUUUCUUAUUAUUACUUGAAUUGUCAUUUGCAUUCAUUAAUGUUAAAAUUGGUUAUAAUUAACCAACACUAAUUCUCUUUCCCCUUCCCUUUCUUGGGUGUAAACCUAGGUUGGAUUAACUAGAUAAAUCUAUUAAGAUGGUAAAAGAAUAAUUAUUCUUAACAUACAUAAGAUCAUCUUCAAUCAAAUGACUCAUUGGCUAAUAUGUUGAAUUUGCUUAUUACUUGCAACUCAAAAUUGUGUUCUAGUUGUGUCAAGUCCCCAGUGUAUGGACAUUAAAUUUGUAGUACGUGAUGAGUAAUUAGAUGGUCCAACUCCAAGAAAGUGAUUGAAAAGUAGUUCAAGAAAGGUGCAAAAGGGAAUUGUUUUGGUAUUUUCGUUUUUAUUCUUGAAGGUGGCAGAGCUAAAAUUUGAGAAAUCAAGCAAAACAUACUGAAAUUACAUUGAAAGAAAGAAGAUGGGAGUUAAUGUCUUGCAGUACAUGAUAAGGACUUCAUGCAUGUAGUGUGACCCAUGUCUUGGACUGAUGCCAACUCACGGUUACACUUAUACCCUUGGUUCUCUCUUUACUACCUUGGCUAACCUAGAUCAGGCUAUGAGAUAGGCUCCUCACCACACCAUUACUUGCCCAUUAAUUAGAGACAUUUUCAAGCAAUGAGGUAACAUGGUGACACCAAGAGGGUCUAUUCCUCGCCCGGAACAAGUCUAGACUUGGUCUCAAAAAAAUGGAGAAAAAUGAGGUGUCGUUAUGUAGAAAUACAACAACCAUGCCUUCCUCAUUACUUAGAUUCAGAAUGUGAAGGUGAAAUUGAGAAACAGAAACUCUUGAAACCAAAAUGAAAAUUGAUACUUUUACGAAGAAUUACAACAACAUUAGAGGAAGACUACAUUCUUCCUCUUUAUUCCUACAUUUCUACACUACUUCUACUCCACUCCAUAUUUCUACAUACAUCUUUAAUCAGUCUUCCCUCCUUUAUAUAGAGCCAUCUUCACACAAAUUUCGCAAGGUAGAAAAGAGGAAUGAAACUUGGAGCAAGGUUCGACUACUGGUUGUAGCUUGUCAAGGCUGGAAGUGAACUUUUCUUGGCUUUCUGGGCAUGGGUAGUAACUUGUGGGUUCCUGUUUGGCAUAAAAAUGGCUAGAACAUGUGGCACUAUCUUGUUGGAUGAUGUGUCAAGCAUGUGGCAGCCAUCUAGUGGCGAUUAUGUCAAUUUUGGGAUGGAGAGUUGGCAUCCAAUUGCAAAGAAAUAUGACGUCUACCAACAUGCAAUGUAAACCUAUGUAGAUCAUAUGAAGAUAGAGAGGAAAAAUAUAGAAAUGGAUAUAUACCUAGAACUAGCUUUUUAUUAAAUGAAACGGAGAGACAACAAUGAAGGAAAAUAAAAUUUUUUGGCUUAUAUCAAAGAGUUCACAUUGUGUUACCCUAGGUUUUCUUAAAACUUACUUUUAUGAUAACAAAAAAGAAAAAACCAUUAUUGUUUAAUCCUUUGUUUUAAACGCAUGUAAGGUGUAAUUAAGUUAGUUCAAUGCAUUAAUUUAAGAAACUUGACCUAUCAAAAGUACAAAAUUAGAUGAAAUCCAUUUCAAUGGUUAAAAUGAUCAAAAUCAAACUUUUUCUAAGUAUUUUUUAAAAGCAUCAAUAGUGAAAGACAAUUUUAUAUUUAGUCGGAGUUUGGACAAAACUGAAAAACACACAAAAUCCAAGCGACCAUCUCUAGCUUGGAUGGUCGCUUGAUCCCACCUAGAGAUGUGCAUGAGUAAAAGGAUUUGAAAAUGGAAAUUGACUAUGUAGUCGAUCAAUUAACUUUGCAACAUCAUAUGCAAUCCUAAUUGCUAGUCAUCUAAUCAAUUAGGUAGUCAAUCAACAGGCCAAAAAUAUGUUUAUAAUGACUAUUUUGUACAAAAACCACCUGUAUAGUUAAAUAUAAUGCAUUUCAUUUAUAAAUCUUCUAAUUCUUGAAUAACGAUCCUAUCAUCCUUUGAAAGUUUUUAUUACACUUUUUUUACUUUUGUUCUAAAACUUACACAUCACCCUUAAUUGUACCAUGAGAACCUAGCUAUUUUUUAUUUUUUUUUUUGUAAUUCAUCAAAGUUAGCUUUUGUAUUCAUUGUUGUAUUAUUUUUAGUAUAACUUAGAAAGCUAGUGUUUUCAAGUGAGUAAAAUUAACUUGUAAAUAUUGUAAAGAUUCAUCGACAUGUAUCUUAAACUAAGUGUACAAGUUAAAACAUUUGCUAGUAGAUUUUCUCAAAAUUUAGAAUAGAGCUUGAGACUAUUGAAAUAGGUGGGGUUGCACCAAACCACAUCACAUCGUUGUUUGCACCUUUUUUCACUCUCUUUUACUUAGUUGCUCUAUAUUUGUUGUCUAGUAAUAUCCUAUAGGCUUGAUGGGUUAGGGAGCAUCCCUUUGUGAAAAAAUUUUAUUCAAUCCUUAGUUGUAUCACGCAUAUAUAAAAUGCCUCAUUGUUUUAAUGGUAUUCAGUCGUGGCAUCACAGAUAUGGGCAUCUAAAUUUUAAAAGUUUGAAACUUUUAUCUAAAGAAAAUAUGGUGCUUUGCCUUUUUGUAAAGCAUGUUGAUGAAAUCCAUGAGAAUUGUGUACUUGGGAAGCAACACCGAGAUGACUUUUUUUUUUUUUUUAUAAUAUUGUUUGUCCAAAUUCCCUACAAAUUAGGCCACCAGAUGUUCAUAAUUCUCCCUUCUUGAAUUUGAAAACUCGGACAAUUGGACAAUGCGACACCUAAGUCCGGUUUCUAAAUGCUAAAGUGAAAGGGUAGGUAUGGACCAUUGAAAUGUGAUCACAACUUUUCUCUGUAGCCAUGUUGUCUCUUUUUUCUUUUGCAUGAUUUUCUUACCUUAACAGAAUCAUAGACUUGUUUAGUCUCUAAAUGGGAUUAAUUUCAUCCAGCUUUAAGCUACUAUAUUAUAUCUAGGUGGAGGACUUUUAAGAGUGCAACCGACAUAGAGCACAUGGAAGUGGGUAUAUGGGACAUGAAAUUUCUUCUUAUAAAGAUUGCAUGAUUUUUAUAUUAGAGUUGUUGAGGCGCUAUGUAUUUAGCUUGUUUUGCAGUUAAAUUAAUUGGAUAAGUAGACAUUGGCGUUUCUAAAUCUACUGUGAAGUGCUUCAUGUACGUGUGAAGUAUUAGAAAUUUCUUUCUUGGCAACUUGUUUUUCUUUGCGGUCUACUGAUAGGUUUGACUAAAAUUAUAUUCCCUGUCAUGCUAAUUAAUUUUCACGUGCAUGCUCAAAAGAAAAGUAUGACCUUAGUGCACCAAAAUCACUUUGAUUAAUUUGUGAUAGGUUUUUGUGCAUCAUGACAUUAGCCUUAUUCAUUUAGAUAAUGUUUAGUUUUUAGAAAGUAUUAAGAAAAGGAAAAUAAAUAUUAAGAAAAAUAUUCUUAUAUUUGAUUGUAUUAUGAAAAAUAUCAUAAAAAAAUCAAAUAUAAUUUAAAUUAAUUAAUAAUUUAUACAUUUUCAAAUUAUUUAAUCUUUAUAUUGAAGAUAUAAUAUAAAUGAAAUGAGUUUUAAGUAUUAUAUAAAAGUGAUUUAUUGAUCUUACAUAUAUAUAUUUCUUUUUUUUUUCCUUCUAUUUUUUCUCUUUAUUUUAUUUUCCUUAUGUUUUCCUCAACAUUUUCCGGAACCAAACAUAGCCUUAGGAAAUCCACAAUUACCUUCAACUGAGUAGAUUCUGUUGUUUUAGCAAUGUUAGGCUGCUAACUUGUGUUGGUACGAACCUAUUAAGCCUAAAGAUGUAAUUAGUUAGGAUAUUCUUUUCCCUCUAGUCUUGUAGCUCCACGUGUACAGUUGGUUAGGACCUCAUUGUAUAUAAUGCUUGCCCUGUUAUUGUAGAAGACAACAAAGAUAAAUAAUAUUAACAUUUUUCCUCUCAUCUCUCUCUGUUUCCCUCUGUUUUCAUCUCCUCUCUCAUCUUGGUAUCAGAGCCUCCAUGGCUUCUUUCAAAGAAACCUCCGAAUCACCUUCUGCUAGCAUUGUUAAUGUGCAAAACCCAUUAUCUCAAUCAAACAACCUUCCUUCACCAGUAGCCACACCCUCUUUUUCUUUCUCGUCUAUGAAUCAACCUCUCACAGUGAAGCUGGAUAAUGGGAACUACCUCAUAUGGAAGAAUUAGCUUCUAAAUGUCAUCAUUGCUAACGGACUCGAUGAUUUCAUUGACGGAUCUCGACCCUGCCCUCCUCGAUUUCUCGAUCUGCAACAACAAACCCUCAAUCCAGAGUACUCAGCUUGGCAGAGAUACAAUCGACUUCUGAUGAGUUGGCUGUACGCAUCCUUGUCCAAAGAUAUAAUGGCUCAGAUUGUUGGGUAUUCAACAGCUAUGGAGAUUUGGAAUGCCCUUAAUCAGAUUUACUCUGCCUCUUCUAUGGCGCGGUUUACUGAGCUUCGCACCAAGCUUCAAACGCUCAAGAAAGAUGGACUCUCAGUUGGUGAAUAUAUUCAAAGGCUCAAAUCCAUUUGCAAUAGUCUUGCAGCAAUAGGAGAACCAGUUUCUGAGAAAGACCAUCUUAUCUAUUUGUUCAAUGGAUUAGAUUGUGAGUAUUAUUCUUUUGUUACCUCCAUUCAAAAUCGAUCUGACCAACCAACUAUUGACAAAAUCCAUAGCCUAUUGCUUAGCUAUGACUUCCGGCUUGAACAACAAAACUCUGUUUCUCUCCAUUCUGCCCAAGUCCAUAUGGCUCAUCUGAACAAGAAACCUUAUAAAUCAACUCCUCAACCUACAUUCAAUCAUAUUCACAUUCAACCUAGAUACUCUUCUCCACCUUUUAAGCCAACCACUAGUCAAUAUCAACCCAACAUUUUGGGCAAACCACAACCACAACCAUGACAGCCUCAACCUCAAUGGAAACCACAUUUUUCAAUCUAAAAUCAAAAGCCUCAGCGCCAAAUUUGUGGUAAAUUUGGACACACUGCUCUUAUUUGCUUCCAUCACACAAAUUUGAACUAUUCACCCCAACCUUCUCCUAAAUCUUUCAAUACUGUUCUCACCACAAAUUCCCAGCUCCCUAAUCCUCCAAAAUUUUCUUACCCUACAAUGGCUCAUCCUGCUGCUACGCAUAACACGGUUCCCGAUACAAAUUGGUACAUGGACUCAGGUGCUACACAUCACUUUACUCUGGACAUCAACGUGCUUGACACUGUGACACCAUUUAGUGGUUCAGAACAGGUGACAGUUGGGAAUGGUAAGCAACUCUGUAUCUCACAUCUUGGUACUGCAAAACUACCAUCUUCGUAUUCUCCUCCUGUUCUACAUCAGGUAUAUCACACUCCAAAAAUUUCAAAUAAUCUUAUUAGUGUUAAAAAAUUGUGUUCUGAUAAUAAAGUUUUUGUUGAAUUUUAUGCCACUCAUUUUCUUGUCAAGGAUCAGGUUUCGAAGAGAGUUCUCCUUUAGGGUCAACUUGAUAAUGGCUUAUACAAAGUUCAGUCGUCAUGCUCUCCUUCUGCUGUUUCCUUUCCUCCUCAAGUUUUCAUAGCCAACAUCAAGUAUCCAAAUCUGUGGCACAAGAGACUAGGCCACCCAGCUUUAUCUGUUGUUAAUCAAAUCUUGGAUUCUUGUAACAUUGCUCGAACACAGAAAAUUUGUUUUAAUUUUUUAAAUUCUUGUCAAUUAGCAAAGAGCCACAGGCUUCCUUUUUCUCUGUCUCCAUCCAUUGCAGAAAAACCUUUUGAGUUAAUUCAUACAGACCUAUGGGGUCUUUCGCUCGUUCGCUCUAUUUCUGGUGCUCUUUAUUUUUUACUUUUCAUUGAUGAUCAUACUCGUUUUACUUGGUUUUAUUUGCUCAAAACAAAAGAUGAAGCAUAUCCUACUUUUCUCAAGUUUCAAGCUCUCAUUGAAAAUCAAUUUAAUACCAAGAUUAAGGCUGUCCAAUCUGAUUGGGGAGGUGAGUUUCGAUCUCUCUCCAUACCGUUUUCAAAUAUGGGCAUUGUCUAUUGUUUAUCGUGUCCAUACACCUCACAACAGAAUGGGCGAGUUGAGCGAAAAAAUCGCCAUGCGAUUGUCCUUUCUUGCUUGCUCUAUGCCCUUAUCUUAUUGGCCUUAUGCCUUUCAAACUGCCACUUACCUUAUUAAUCGUCUCUCUACCCCUGUGCUGCAUCAUCAAUCCUCUUACUUCGCACUCUAUCACAAACUCCCAACUUAUACUCAUCUUAAGGUCUUUGGUUCCUCUUGUUUUCCGUAUUUGCACCCUUAUAAUACCCAUAAACUCCAAUACAGGUCACUAGAGUGUGCUUUUCUUGGUUACAGUUCACACCACAAAGGUUAUCUAUGUCUUGACAUUCAUUCUAGCAGGGUGUAUAUUUCUCGCCAUGUGAUUUUUAAUGAAGAUUCUUUUCCAUUCAAGAAUUUGAAAUCUUCUCUCUCUCAGUCUAUUUCUUCUUCCUCUUCUUUAUAAGUUCCUCUGUUCAUUCUCUUGCCUCCCCUUUCCCCAUCUCCUCUUAUUUCUUCAUCUAUACCUCAUUCUUUUCCCUCUUCUUCUUCUACCUCUAGUACUUGUUCCCCUCUCGUUGCUCCUACCUCUCUUCCUUCCUCUUCACACUCUGUGUCUCCAUCUAUUCCACCUCCUUCUCCACCUUCUCCGAGUGUGGACCUGCUUGCACCUUGUGUGAAUACAAAUUUACAUACUUCUUCUCGCACUCACAAUAUUCAUCCUAUGGUGACUAGAUCUAAGGUUUGUAUCUAUAAACCUAAGUUGUUGUUGAGUGUCUCCAUAGGUUCUCUCACUAAGCCUACUUCCUUUCUUCAAGCUAUUAAAGAUCCUUCAUGGAAGCAAUCCAUGGAAUUCGAGUUUGCUACCCUUCAACACAACAAGACCUGGCAUUUGGUUCCUUCACCUUCCUCAGGCGAAGUAAUCGGUUGUAAAUGGGUCUAUAAGCUAAAGCUUCAGCCUGAUGGCUAAAUUGAGAGAUACAGCCUGCUUAGUAGCUAAGGGUAUCAUCAAAUUGAAGUAUGGACUACUUCGAAACAUUCAGCCUGAUNNNNNNNNNNNNNNNNNNNNNNNNNNNNNNNNNNNNNNNNNNNNNNNNNNNNNNNNNNNNNNNNNNNNNNNNNNNNNNNNNNNNNNNNNNNNNNNNNNNNAGCUUCAGCCUGAUGGCUAAAUUGAGAGAUACAAGGCCUGCUUAGUAGCUAAGGGUUAUCAUCAAAUUGAAGGUAUUGACUACUUCGAAACAUUCAGCCUGAUUGUCAAGCUUUCUACUAUCUGUAUUGUGCUCAGUCUUACUUUUUCCCAGAAUUGGUGUAUUAGACAGCUGGAUGUUCAUAAUGCCUUCUUACAUGGUGACUUAGCUAAAGACGUUUUCAUGGAACAACUGCCUGGAUUUGUUGAUCCUCUCUAUCCUACUCAUGUCUGCAAGUUGGAUAAGUCUCUCUACUGUCUUAAAUAGUCACCUCGGGCUUGGUAUACUAAGCUGAGUACUUCUCGCUACACUUGGGAUUUGUUACUUCUAAGAAUGACUCUUCCUUAUUUAUUUGUCAUUCGUCUCAUGGGUUACUUCUUGUUCUUGUCUAUGUGGAUGAUAUAAUCGUCAUUGGGAGCCACUCUCCUCAGGUUACUCACCUUAUCCAACAGUUGCAUCAUUAGCUUUCUUUAAAGGAUCUUGGUCCUUUACAUUAUUUUCUGGGCUUGGAGGUUCAUCACACCCCUACUGGUAUUCACCUCAGCCAAGCAAAGUAUAUCACUGAUCUCCUUACCCGGGCGGCUAUGUUGGAUGCCAAGCCAUGUCCCACUCCUAUGUCCUCCAACACAUAUCUCUCUUUUCAUGAUGGAGUGGCUCUUGAAAAUGGUUCAGAUUAUCGAAGUUUUGUUGGUGCCCUUUAGUAUUGUACCAUGACACGCCCAGAUAUAGCUUUUGCAAUAAAUAAAGUGUGUCAAUUCAUGCACCAUCCCUCUAAUGUUCACUGGCAGGCUAUAAAACGUAUUCUCCGGUACUUAAAGGGCACAUCUCAUUUUGGUCUCUUCCUACAGCCUUCCUAUGACUUCAACAUCACUUGCUAUACAAAUGCCGACUGGGCUUCCUGUCCUGAUGACAAGUGUAGCACCAGUGGCUACUGCCUCUUUCUUGCCUCUAAUCUGGUUUCUUGGUCAUCUUCCAAACAAAAAGUGGUCUCCCGCUCCAGCGCCGAAUCAGAGUACCGAGGGGUAGCAAAUGGGGCUGCUGAAAUUGCUUGGACUGAAUCUCUUCUUUGUGAACUUUCCAUUACUCCCCCUCCCCUCAUUCUCUGUGACAAUAUCAGUGCCACGUACUUAGCUGCCAAUCCUAUUUUGCAUGCCCGCACCAAACAUGUGGAAAUCGACUAUCACUUUGUCACGGAACGUGUUCUUCAAUGCUCUCUUUUUGUCCAGUUUACACCUUCUGAUGAUCAACUUGCUGAUUGCAUGACCAAGCCUCUCUCCACCCAACGUUUCAUCACUCUACGCUCCAAGCUCACUGUUCUCACUAGACCAAUGAGCUUGAGGGGGGAUGUUAAGCCUAAAGAUGUAAUUAGUUAGGAUAUUCUUUUCCCUCUAGUCUUGUAGCUCCACGUGUACAGUUGGUUAGGACCUCAUUGUAUAUAAUGCCUGCCCUGUUAUUGUAGAAGACAACAGAGAUAAAUAAUAUUAACAUUUUUCCUCUCAUCUCUCUCUCUGUUUCCCUCUGUUUUCAUCUCCUCUCUCAUCUGAACCAAAUGAUCCAUGUUAACCUUGGCUUGGUUUGAUUUGGCUCUAUCUUAGAGAGCUCAAGGAUCACGUCAACUCUGGUUUCUACUAUUCAGGUCCAUUCCCAUAUGAACUGGUUCAAAUUUGAGAAAAUGGUAACAGACCUUUAGUGAUGUUGGUUUGGAGCCAGUUGCCAAACCCGCCCUGAGCUUUACCACUAAUGUCAAGGGAGAAAGCCAUUUGAACAAAAACAAUAGCUUCAAGGGACUGAAUCGUGGAUGAAAUCUGAUCCACAUUUCUUCUCAUUUUGGAAACAAAUGAGAACUUAACUAAGAAGAUUCUACGGCCUCAUAGUGCUUUUCCUGAUCUAAGGUUGGUUCGUUUCCCAAACUGUGAGAUGCACGUGCCAGACUUCAGAACUCUCACGCUCAGGAGUGUAUCCACGUGGUGGACAUAAGAUGGUGGCUUAAGAUCUGGUGUCGGUGGCUUUACUUUACUAGGAGAGUAGUGUGUCUUCAUCUCAUUCACUGCCGGAGGGUGGCGUAAGCAGUGACGCUAAGGUGGGGCACAGUCAAUAUCAUUUGCAUUUGACCAUUAUAGUUUUCUCCCGGCUUUAAAGUAACCUUAUCGUGAUAAAGGAUUACUAGCACUAGUUCAGAUGAUAGUCAUGUUAAAUUCGGACCAUGUUUGUGUCACAUUAUCAGCAACCAUGUGUUUAUGGUUCAUGCUUUCUGCAACUAAAAUUGAUAUAUAACCAGGUGAACUUCAAUCUAAAUUCUGAAAGUACUCAUGUGAUAGAUGGUGCCCGUCUGCAGAGUCCAUCAAUUGAAAAAUGGAGUGAGUGUAUCUAUAAGAGGGAAGGCUUGGAAAAUGUUCAGUUUUCUGGGAAUUCAACAAGGAUCUAAAAUAGAUUGUUUUCUUUGCUGAUUUCAAUGGUUGAAAUUUGAGAAGAUUGUGUCCACAUAACACAACUAUUACUGGUCCUUCUGUUGCAAUUUAUCCUCUAAAGCUCUAGCAUGUCUUCCAAUUCCCACUUCCCUGUUACUCCAGGAAAGCUAUUUCUGUCAUUGUGAAGAAGAAAAGAGAAUGUACAUAUCGAUGCUUUUAAGUGACUGGAGCAUUUAUAUCAGGUGGUCUGCAGCCAUAUAUGCCACUUUGUGAAGAUUGGAACAGUCAAUCACUAGGCUAUAUAUUAGUGUGGCCCAGCCACUUUAAUCAAGGACAAGUCUUCAUACUUAAAGUCAAAUUCUGCCUUUAGUCUCAUUAUAAAUUUCUGUUUAAAUAUUAAGCAAACAUUUGUUUAAUGCGAUUAAGACAGUACUAACUCAAUACCUGUUCUAUUUUUGGAUGCAAAUGCUUGAUGGUUUCAUCAUUGGAUGGGAUAAAGGUGCAUUCAUGAUUAGGAAUACUAGUAGUUAUAUUUUAAUUCUCUUUUUUCUCAAUGAGACUUGUUGGCACAAUUUUGCUGUUGAGAAACCUACCUCUCCAUGGAAAAUAAGUUGUGAUUGAUAGUACUGGAUAUAUUCAAGAAAUCUAAAUAUAGAUAGCACAAAAUAUUAUCGACAUAAAUAGCAUUAACAGCGUACGUAUGUCUCAGUGCUCAUCAGCUAUAAGCAUGGGGCAAACACUUACUAUGAGCAACUUACGUCAAAAUUCCAGAAUAGGACAUAGAAGUGACAGAUAUAGAACAUUGCAUAUGAGUCACAAGAAAGGAAAUUACGGGUGCAUAGCAGCUCUUAUUUUACAUACUACUACUCAUACUGAUCAAAGUCACUCAGUUGGGAUGGGUGGGAGUAGGAGGUUUGUGGGGUGGCUUGUGCGGAGGAGUUGGCAGCUUCUUUCCAGGACCUGGUUGCUUCUCUGCUGGAGUUGAAGGAGGCUUAAUCUUCCGAGGUGGCUUGUAUGAGUCUUCAGCAUUCUCAGCUGGAGGGUGACCAGGGUUGUGACCAUAAUGUGGUGGCUUCUCUCCCUUAGGUGGUUUGCCAACUGGGGUUGGUGGCUUGUAUGAGUCUUCAGCAUUCUCAGCAGGAGGGUGACCAGGGUUGUGACCAUAAUGUGGUGGCUUCUCUCCCUUAGGUGGUUUGCCAACUGGGGUUGGUGGCUUGUGUUCUGGGAGUGGCUUCUCCCCCUUGGGAGGUUUUUCCAAUGGGGUUGGUUUGUGUUCAGGAGGUGGCUUCUCCACUGGAGGCUUGUGUUCAGGAGGUGGCUUCUCCACCGGAGGCUUGUGUUCAGGUGGUGGCUUCUCCACCGGAGGCUUAUGCUCUGGUGGUGGCUUCUCGAAUGGGGGAUGCUUAGGAUAAUCAGCAAGUGAGGGGGCGGUGAGAACCACCAGGCCAAGCAACACCACUAGCAAAUAUGUAGGAGACAUCUUUGGGUUUGGGCUCAGAUGGUGCAAAACUAGGAGAAUUGGCUAGCCUUUUAUAGCGGAUCGUACCCAAUAAUGAAAUGACACGUGUCAUUAUGACCCAUGUGUAAUGGGGUCGAUUUGGGUCCUACAGUGUUGAAAACUUCGACAUCCACUUUUGGCCUUUUGCUUUCUCUACAGCCGCCUUGCUUUUUCCCUCUUUCCUUUUGUUUUCCUCCUGCCCCAUUCUAUCAACUAAACACAAUUAUGUAGUUGUUUAAUUCUUAAAUGAGAUAUUAUCCGUCAAUCGUAUUAUAUUUUAUCAAGAGAGAACGGAGUGCAAUGUGGCUGUAAUUUUAUCGUUUAGUUUUAUCUCUUGGACCACUGCAUUUUUGUUAAGAGGUGCAAUAAUACACGUCUUUAUCUGCCAUUCAAUAUUUACAGUAAAGAGAGGGCACAAAACUCUUCACUUCGCACCAUAAUUAUUUUGUUUUCUGGACACCCCGGGGCCCUUUGGUUGGUUUGGGGGUCAGAAAGUGAACAUCAUAGGGGGUUUUUCCCUUAUGUGCAUUUGUAUCUGAUGGCUUUAACUCGCCUUGUUACUACAAAGAAACUGUCACAGAUAGGAACUUAUUCCAGGCUGAGUAUCUCCUCAUAGACCCUAUAAAAGAAGACAAGUCAUAAUGAACAUCUAACCUUUGUUCAAUUUGAUUCAAUGCCCCCAUUGUGUCCAUCUCACAAAUCUGAAUUAUUAUAUCCAUUGAAUACAUAAAUUAAUGAAGAAAAUAUGAAACCCAAGAUACAUCUCUGCACAACCUCAACCCUGGUUGCUAUGUUUCCCUUCUAUUCACAUGAUUUGAUGCUAAUUGCCAAACUUGCAACAAGCCCUGAGUUUGACACCUAGUAUCGAUGGGCGAAUUUAAAGUCUCCUCCAAACAUAUAUUCCACAGCUUGAAGCUCACAGAAGAUGUUACAGGCAGGGAAAAACCUUCAGAGUUCGCUACCAAAGAUAAUUAUUAAGGAGAUAUCACAAAGAGAAUUCCAAGGGGUCUGAAUCAAAGACAAAUUGGUCGUUCGUGGGGGUUCUUACUUUCUUUUGGGUAUAACUCACUGAGGGCACUGUCUUUGUUAUUUGCAUUUCACAUUUAGAGUUCUGUUCUGGAAACAUAUAAAAGGAGCAUCAUUUUGUUCUUGGGUAACCCAUAGUCGUGAGUGGGUCCAUUUGCAUGCUACUUAGUUGAAAAGUUGGACCAUUUGCUCCGACGCCUACCUCCCGGAUUCCAUGCUCGGAUAAAACAAGAAUAAAAAAAAUAUUUAUAAUUUACAAAUGGGGGAAAGAAAAAAAUGUCAACAACAAACCAGGAAAAAAGAGUAGUAAAAUUCAUGUCACAUGCUAGUGAGAGAAGGGGUUGUUACACUCACUCGAAGUUCUUUCCAAAAUAUCGCAUGGUAUUUUAUUUUAUGUGUCAGCGCAGUUGUGAAUGGAACGUGCAAAAGUCCAAAUUGGCGUUUUUCCUUUUCCCGUGUAGGAUGGCGACCUUUAAUAAAUAUUUAAAACAAAAAACGAAAAAAAGGAGGGAAAAGGGAUCAGAAAAGAUAAAACAAUGUGUACAAGAGCUCAAUUAGUUUGCAAAUUACUGUUUGGAUUUUGAUAGUAUUUUAUUUGUCCAUCUAUAUUUGAUGGAAAAGAGAAUUUAAGAUAUUUCUGAAACAAAAGCAUUAGUGUAAAACUAAAUUAAGGUAUAAUUAAGUUAGUUCAAUGCAUUAAUUUAAGAAACUUGAUCUAUCCAAAGUACAAAAUUAGAUGAAAUCCAUUUCAAUGGUUAAAAUGAUCAAAAUCAAACUUUUUCUAAGUAUUUUUUAAAAGCAUCAAUAUUAAAAGACAAUUUUAUAUUUAGUCGGAGUUUGGACAAAACCAAAAAGCACACAAAAUCCAAGCGACCAUCUCUAGCUUGGAUAGUCACUUGAUCCCACCUAGAGAUGUGCAUGAGUAAAAGGAUUUGAAAAUGGAAAUUGACUAAAUAUUUAGUUGAUCAAUUAAAUUUGCAAUGUCAUAUGCAAUCCUAAUAGCUAGUCAUCUAAUCAAUUAGGUAGUCAAUCAAGUGUUUGUAAUGACUAUUUUGUACAAAAAACCACAUGUAUAGUUAAAUAUAAUGCAUUUCAUUUAUAAAUCUUCUAAUUCUUGAAUAACGAUCCUAUCAUCCUUUGAAAAUUUUUAUUACACCUUUUUUACUUUUGUUCUAAAACUUACAUAUCACCCUUAAUUGUACCAUGAGAACCUAGCUAUUUUUUUUUUUUUUGUAAUUCAUCAAAGUUAGCUUUUGUAUUCAUUGUUGUAUUAUUUUUAGUAUAACUUAGAAAGCUAGUGUUUUCAAGUGAGUAAAAUUAACUUGUAAAUAUUGUAAAGAUUCAUUGAUAUGUAUCUUAAACUAAGUGUACAAAUUAAAACAUUUGCUAGUAGAUUUUCUCAAAAUUUAGAAUAGAGCUUGAGGCUAUUGAAAUAGGUGGGGUUACACCAAACCACAUCACAUCGUUGUUUGCACCUUUUUUCACUCUCUUUUACUUAGUUUCUCUAUAUUUGUUGUCUAGUAAUAUCCUAUAGGCUUGAUGGGUUAGGGAGCAUCCCUUUGUGAAAAAAUUUCAUUCAAUUCUUAGUUGUAUUACGCAUAUAUAAAAUGCCUCAUUGUUUUAAUGGUAUUCAGUCGUGGCAUCACAGAUAUGGGCAUCUAAAUUUUAAAAGUUUGAAACUUUUGUAAAGCAUGUUGAUAAAAUCCAUGAGAGUUGUGUACUUGGGAAGCAACAUCGAGGUGACUUUAUUUUUUUUUCCUUUUAUAAUGCCACACCUAAGUCCGGUUUCUAAAUGCUAAAGUGAAAGGGUAGGUAUGGACCAUUGAAAUGUGAUCACAACUUUUGGCCUUUUCCUUUCUCUGCAGCCAUGUUGUCUCUUUUUUCUUUUGCAUGAUUUUCUUACCAAAACAGAAUCAUAGACUUGUUUAGUCUCUAAGCUACUAUAUUAUAUCUCGGUGGACUUUUAAGAGUGCAACCGACAUAGAGCACAUGCAAGUGGGCAUAUGGGACAUGAAAUUUCUUCUUACAAAGAUUGCAUGAUUUUUAUAUUAGAGUUGUUCACGUGCAAUGUAUUUAGCUUGUUUUGCAGUUAAAUUAAUUGGAUAAGUAAACAUUGGCAUUUCUAAAUCGACUGUGAAGUGCUUCAUGUACGUGUAAAGUAUUAGAAAUUUCUUUCUUGGCAACUUGUUUUUUCCUUGCCAUCUACUGGUAGGUUUGACUAAAAUUAUAUUCCCUGUCAUGCUAAUUAAUUUUCAUGUGCAUGCUCAAAAGAAGAGUAUGACCUUAGUGCACCAAAAUCACUUUGAUUAAUUUGUGAUAGGUUUUUUUGCAUCAUUUAGAUAAUGUUUAGUUCUAAGAAAAAUUUAUAUAAAAAUGGUUUAUUUAUCUUACAUAUAUAUAUAUAUAUAUAUAUUUUUUUUUUUUUCAUUUUUUUUUCUUCUAUUUUAUUUAUUUAUUUUAUUUUCCUUAUGUUUUCCUCACAUUUUCCGGAACUAAACAUAGUCUUACGAAAUCAACAAUUGCCUUCAACUGAGUAGAUUCUGUUGUUUUAGCAAUGUUAGGCUGCUAACUUGUGGUGGUACGAACCAAAUGACCCAUGUUAAUCUUGGCUUGGUUUGAUUUGGCUCUAUCUCAGAGAGCUAAAGGAUCACGUCAACUCUGGUUUCUACUAUUCAGGUCCAUUCCCAGAUGAACUGGUUCAAAUUUGAGAAAAUGGUAACAGACCUUUAGUGAUGUUGGUUUGGAGCCAGUUGCCAAACCCGCCCUGAGCUUUACCACUAAUGUCAAGGGAGAAAGCCAUUUGAACAAAAACAAUAGCUUCAAGAGACUGAAUCGUGGAUGAAAUCUGAUCCACAUUUCUUCUCAUUUUGGGAAAAAAUGAGAACUUAACUACAAAGAUUCUACUGCCUCAUUCAUAGUGCUUUUCCUGAUCCAAGGUUGGUUCGUUUCCCAAAUUGUGAGGUGCACGUGCCACUCUCACGCUCAGGAGUGUAUCCACGUGGUGGACAUCAGAUGGUGGCUUAAUAUCUGGUGUCGGUGGCUUUACUUUACUAGGAGAGUAGUGUGUCUUCAUCUCAUUCACUGCCGGAGGGUGGCGUAAGCAGUGACGCUAAGGUGGGGCACAGUCAAUAUCAUUUGCAUUUGACCAUUAUAGUUUUCUCCCGGCUUGAAAGUAACCUUAUCGUGAUAAAGGAUUACUAGCACUAGUUCAGAUGACCGUCAUGUUAAUUCGGACCAUGUUUGUGUCACAUUAUCAGCAACCAUGUGUUUAUGGUUCAUGCUAUCUGCAACUAAACUUGAUAUAUAACCAGGUGAACUUCAAUCAAAAUUCUGGAAGUACUCUUGUGAUAGAUGGUGCCUGUCUGCAGAGUCCAUCAAUUGAAAAAUGGAGUGAGUGUAUCUAUAAGAGGGAAGGCUUGGCAAAUGUUCAGUUUUCUGGGAAUUCAACAAGGAUCUAAAAUAGAUUGUUUUCUUUGCCGACUUCAAUGGUUGAAAUUUGAGAAGAUUGUGUCCACAUAUCACAACUAUUACUGGUCCUUCUGUUGCAAUUUAUCCUGUAAGGCUCUAACAUGUCUUCCAAUUCCCACUUCCCUGUUACUCCAGGAAAGCUAUUUCUGUCAUUGUGAAGAAGAAAAGAGAAUGUACAUAUCGAUGCUUUUAAGUGACUGGAGCAUUCAUAUCAGGUGGUCUGCAGCCAUAUAUGCCACUUUGUGAAGGUUGGAACAGUCAAUCACUAGGCUAUAUAUUGGUGUGGCCCAGCCACUUCAAUCAAGGACAAGUCUUCAUACUUAAAGUCAAAUUCUGCCUUUAGUCUCAUUAUAAAUUGCUGUUUAAAUAUUAAGCAAACUUUUGUUUAAUGCGAUUAAGACAGUACUAACUCAAUACUUGUUCUAUUUUUGGAUGCAAAUGCUUGAUGGUUUCAUCAUUGGAUGGGAUAAAGGUGCAUUCAUGAUUAUGAAUACUUGUAGUUAUAUUUUCAUUCUCUUUUUUCUCAAUGAGACUUGUUGGCACAAUGUUGCUGUUCAGAAACCUACCUCUCCAUGGAAAAUAAGUUGCGAUUGAUAGUACUGGAUAUGUUCAAGAAAGCUAAAUAUAGAUAGCACAAAAUAUUAUCGAUAUAAAUAGCAUUAACAGCGUACGUAUGUCUCAAUGCUCAUCAGCUAUAAGCAUGGGACAAACACUUACUAUGAGCAACUUACGUCAAAAUUCCAGAAUAGGACAUAGAAGUGACAGAUCUAUAUAUAUAGAACACUGCAUAUGAGUCACAAGAAAGGAAAUUACGGGUGCAUAGCAGCUCUUAUUUUACAUACUACUACUCAUACUGAUCAAAGUCACUCAGUUGGGAUGGGUGGGAGUAGGAGGUUUGUGGGGUGGCUUGUGCGGAGGAGUUGGCAGCUUCUUUCCAGGACCUGGUUGCUUCUCUGCUGGAGUUGAAGGAGGCUUAAUCUUCCGAGGUGGCUUGUAUGAGUCUUCAGCAUUCUCAGCUGGAGGGUGACCAGGGUUGUGACCAUAAUGUGGUGGCUUCUCUCCCUUAGGUGGUUUGCCAACUGGGGUUGGUGGCUUGUAUGAGUCUUCAGCAUUCUCAGCAGGAGGGUGACCAGGGUUGUGACCAUAAUGUGGUGGCUUCUCUCCCUUAGGUGGUUUGCCAACUGGGGUUGGUGGCUUGUGUUCUGGGAGUGGCUUCUCCCCCUUGGGAGGUUUUUCCAAUGGGGUUGGUUUGUGUUCAGGAGGUGGCUUCUCCACUGGAGGCUUGUGUUCAGGAGGUGGCUUCUCCACCGGUGGCUUGUGUUCAGGAGGUGGCUUCUCCACCGGAGGCUUAUGCUCUGGUGGUGGCUUCUCCACCGGAGGCUUAUGCUCUGGUGGUGGCUUCUUGAAUGGGGGAUGCUGAGGGUAAUCAGCAAGUGAGGGGGCGGUGAGAACCACCAGGCCAAGCAACACCACUAGCAAAUAUGUAGGAGACAUCUUUGGGUUUGGGCUCAGAUGGUGCAAAACUAGGAGAAUUGGCUAGCCUUUUAUAGCGGAUCGUACUCAAUAAUGAAAUGACACGUGUCAUUAUGACCCAUGUGUAAUGGGGUCGAUUUGGGUCCUACAGUGUUGAAAACUUCGACAUCCAGUUUUGGCCUUUUGCUUUCUCUACAGCCGCCUUGCUUUUUCCCUCUUUCCUUUUGUUUUCCUCCUGCCCCAUUCUAUCAACUAAACACAAUUAUGUAGUUGUUUAAUUCUUAAAUGAGAUAUUAUCGGUCAAUCGUAUUAUAUUUUAUCAAGAGAGAACGGAGUGCAAUGCAGCUGUAAUUUUAUCGUUUACUUUUAUCUCUUGGACCACUGCAUUUUUGUUAAGAGGUGCAAUAAUACACGUCUUUAUCUGCCAUUCAAUGUUUACAGUAAAGAGAGGGCACAAAACUCUUCACUGCUCUGCAUGUGUCCCAAAAAUGCGAUUGGACAAAUUAUGAUUUGCAUGCUAAAAAGAGGCAAAUGAGGUUAAUUCGCACCAUAAUUAUUUGGUUUUCUGGACACCAUAAAAAGAUGUUAUACAGGCAGGGAAAAACCUUCAGAGUUAGCUACCAAAGAUAAUUAUCAAGCAGAUAUCACCAAGAGAAUUCCAUAGAGUCUGAAUCAAAGACAGAUUGCUCGCUCGUGGGGGUUCUUACUUUCUUUUGGGUAUAACUCACUGAGGUCACUGUCUUUUUUAUUUGCAUUUCACAGUUAGAGUUCUGCUCUGGAAGGUUUGUUCUGGAAACAUAUAAAAGGAGCAUCAUUUUGUUCUUGGGUAACCCAUAGUCGUGAGUGGGUCCAUUUGCAUGCUACUUAGUUGAAAAGUUGGACAAUUUGCUCCGACGCCUACCUCCUGGAUUCCAUGCUCGGUAAAACAAGAAUAAAAAAAAAUAUAUAAUUUACAAAUGGGGGAAAGAAAAAAUGUCGGAAAAAAUAGUAAAAUUCAUGUCACAUGCUAGUGAGAGAAGGGGUUGUUACACUCACUCGAAGUUCUUUUCAAAAUAUCGAAUGGUAUUUUACUUUAUGUGUCAGCGCAGUUGUGAAUGGAACGUGCAAAAGUCCAAAUUGGCGUUUUUAUUUUUCCCAUGUAGGAUGGUGACCUUUAAUAAAUAUUUAAAACAAAAGACGAAAAAAAAAAGGAGGGAAAAGGGAUCACAAAAGAUAAAAUAAUGUUUACAAAAGCUCAAUUAGUUUGCAAAUUACUGUUUGGAUUUUGAUAGUAUUUUAUUUGUCGUUCUAUAUUUGAUGUAAAAGAGAAUUUAAGAUAUUUCCGAAGCAAAAGCAUUAGUUUGCUCUGUGAUGUCCCACAUCGAAUAGGGGAGAAAGUUUCUGGCGCUAUAUAUGUAGAGGCUCCUCUUAACCAAGUAGAUGCGUUUUAAAACCAUGAGGGCCCCCUUAGGUCCAAAGCGGACAAUAUCUACAUGAUUGGGUGUAAGUCAUUACAAAUGGUAUCAGAGCCGAUCCCCGACCCCGGUGUGGGGGUUUGUUUGGCCCUGUAAGGGGUGUUUGUCUGUUUGACCCCACAAUCCCAUGGGACACAACGAGGACGUUGUGUCUGCAUGGGGGGGCGUUUGUGAUGUCCCACAUCGGAUAGGGGAGAAAGUUCCUAGUGCUAUAUAUGUAGAUGUUUCUCUUAACCAAGUAGAUGCAUUUUAAAAUUGUGAGGGCCUCUUUGGGCCCAAAGCGGACAAUAUCUACAUGGUUGAGUGUAAGUCAUUACAUGCUCCAUGUCAAUUUCAGCAUUUCUCAUAUGUUUCACACAUACACAGAAGAGCAUCGUUUUUUAAAGCAUGCAUUUAUGUUGGAUUAAUUUGGAUUUUGUGGGAACUGGGGCAAGGAUCACAUGGAAGAGAGGUUGACUUUUUUCAGUACUUCAAUGGUUGAAAUAUGUGAAGGCUUGAUUGAUACUAAAGCUUGAAAUUGCGACUCUGUCAUUUGUAAAAAAAUAUGACAGCUUCCAUGCUCUCGUUUGGUUGCAUUGUCCGGUCGAGAGGUGCAAAAAGCAUUCUCUCUCUUCUAAUAGUCUUUUCGUUUAAAUCAAGGGAUUUGCCUUCCCGGUCGAGGUCCAAUAGAGGGUAACGGUCACCUACUAAACAUUAAAUGCUCCAACAACUAGUGAACUGAUCGACCCCAGCUCGACUAGUUGAGGUUACUUUUUGGUUUUCUUGUCUCCCGAGGUUAGAAACCUAUAAAUAGAGAGCUUCACUUCAUUUAUGAGUAAGAGAACACCUAAAUUUAUUUGUUUACCUACUUGUUUUUGCCAUAAAAGCUCUCAUUUCUUUUCUUGGUGUAUUAAAUCUCCAUUUGCAUAUCCUUUAGUGCACCUUUGUGAUUCAUUCUAGCCUUGAGUUGUAUUUAAGCCUUUGUUGAGCUAGGUUGAGAGUUUCAUACUUGUUUAUUGAGUGUUAAAGCCUUCAAGUGAGUUAAAACUUGAAGAGAUUGUGUAAGAGCCCAUUGGAGUCGGAAUCCAAGUGUAAAGGUGAUUAAAAGCUUGGUUGAAGCUUCAAGUUAGUGGAACUCUCACUCGGUUAUGAGCUUGAGAAGAGUGGACAUAGACAAGGCAGUGUCGAACCACUAUAAAAUCUGAGUUUGAUUUCUCUAACCUUAUCUCUUUAUAUUUGCUUCUCUUGUGCUUAAAUUUUUUGUGUUUAAAAAGAAUUUUUAAAAACUCAAUUCACCCCCUUCUUGGGAGUUUUUCUCUUUUAAGAUCAGCUUUUAUUUUCUCAAUUGGUAUCAGAACUAUGCCUCUUGUUUAAGACUUAAUCGUCUAAGAGGAAAUGGCUAAUCCAUCAAGUUCAUCUCACAUUGAAAGUUUUGCAACCAAUAGACUUCUUUUUUUUUUUUUGCGGGAACUGAUUAUCCCUAUUGGAAAACUAAAAUGACUUGGUUUUUACAAUCAAUUGAUUUAGAUGUAUGAGAUGCCAUUGAAGAUGACCUAACUUUUCCUUCAAAACUAGUUGAUGGAGUCAUGGUUCCAAAACCUAAGCAAGAAUGGGAUGAGCGUGAUUGAAGAAAUUUUCAAUUAAAUGCUAAAGUCGUUUAUACUUUGCAAUGCUCUAUGGACAGAAAUGAAUAUAAUAGAAUAUGUCAAUGCAAAUCGGUUAAAGAAAUUUGGAGAUUGCUUGAAAUAACUCAUAAAGGAACAAAUCAAGUUAAAGAGUCAAAAAUCAAUUUACUUGUUCAUAGAUAUGAAUUGUUUUUUAUGAAAGAUAAUGAAACUAUUGUUAAGAUGAUCACUAGGUUCACCAACAUUGUUAAUGGUCUUAAAGCCUUGGGAAAGACCUACAAGGAAUCCGAAAACGUGAUGAAGAUCUUGAGGUCACUUCCAUCAAAGUGGCAUACCAAGGUCACCGCAAUUUAAGAAGCAAAAGACUUGAUCAAGCUACCUUUGGAGGAGUUCAUAGGGUCAUUGAUGACAUAUGAAAUCAAUUUGGCAAAGAAGUAACAAAAAGGUGAAGACAAAAAGAAGAAGAACAUAACUCUCAAAGCUACAACUAAGGAAGAAGAAGUUGAAGAAGAAAAACAAAUUGAAGAAGAUGAAGAUUUAGCCCUCAUCACAAGAAAGUUCAACAAAUUCAUGAGGGGUGAAAGGUUUAGAAGAAGAAGGUUCACUUCUAGAAGAGACUUUUCUAAAAAGGAAUCUUCAUCUAAUGGUGACAAAAAGAGAUGGGAAGAGAAAAGAGACUUGGUGUGUUUCAAGUGCAAGAAACCGGGACACAUUAAAUAUGAUUGUCCUCUCUACAAAAGUGAAGUCAAGAGGAAAAAGAAUAAGGCAAUGAUGGCCACUUAGAGUGAAAGUGAAGAUGAAUCAUCCGAAGAAGAAAAUGAGAAAGAAGUGGCAAACAUGUGUUUCAUGGCAAUAGAUGAACUUGAUGAGGUAAAAUCUAACCUUAGUGAUUAAGAUAUACAUGAUGCAUUUGAAGAAUUGUAUGAGGAUUUUUAAAAACUUAGUUUGAAAAAUAUUUCUCUUAAAAAGAAAGUUCAACAACUUGACAAAGAACUUAGAGAAGUAAAAGAAAAAUUUUCAAAUGUUAAAGUUUCUAAAACUCAUCUUGAAAAAGAAAAUGAGAUUCUAAGAAAGAAAAAUGAAUAGUUGAACUCCUCUCUUUCAAUCUUUUCUUCUAGACAAAAAUCUUUUGAAAUGAUUCUAACUAGCUAAAAAUGUGUUUUUGACAAACAAGGGUUAAGAUUUAAAUCUUCAAAAAAUCAAAAGUAUUUUAAAAACUAUUUUGUAAAGGAAUCCACAAGUGCAAGUCCUUCCACUACUUGCAACUUUUGUGGAAGAGAAUGGCACAUUAGUAGUACGCCCUUUAAGAAAUGGUUCUCAAAAGAAUUUAAAUGCAAAAACUAAAAAAGAUUUGGAUUGAGAAAUCCAAGGUCACUAACCCUCAAGGACCCAAAAAGAUAUAGGUACCUAAAUCAACUUGAGUUUUAUGUUGUAAGGUUCAAAGAAUGAUAAGUGGUUCUUAGAUAAUGGUUGCUCAAGACACAUGACCGGAGAUGAAUCCAAGUUUGCUUUUCUUAAAAAGAAAAAUGGAGGAUAUGUUACCUUUGGAGACAAUGCAAAAGAAAGGAUGAUUGGUCAAGGCAACAUUGGUAAUGGCACAUCCUCUCUCAUUGAAAGUGUUUUAUUAGUAGAUGGUUUCAAACAUAACCUUUUAAGCAUUAGUCAAUUUUGCGACAAAGGUUUUUAAGUGAUUUUUUAAGCAUCUCAUUGCAUCAUCAAGGAUAUUCAAAAUGAUAAAACCAUUUUCAUGGGCCAUAGAUGUGAUAAUGUUUAUGCUAUAAAUAUUUCAAAAUAUGAUGGCCAUGAUAGAUGUUUUUCAAGCAUGCAUGAUCAAAGUUGGUUGUGCCAUAGGAGAUUGAGACAUGCUAACAUAGACCUCAUUUCCCAACUCAACAAAGAUGAACUUGUUAGAGGCCUUCCCAAAAUAAUUUUUUAAAAAGAUAAAGUUUGUGAAGCUUGUCAAGUGGGAAAGUAAAUCAAAAACUCUUUUAAAAACAAAAACUUCAUUUCCACAUCUAGGCCACUUGAGUUGUUGCAUAUGGAUUUAUUUGGUCCCUCUAGGACACCAAGUCUUAGAGGAAAUUCUUAUGCAUAUGCUAUUGUGGACGACUUCUCUAGAUACACAUGAGUCUUGUUUUUUAGUCAAAAGAAUAAAGUUUUUUAUGAGUUUUCAAAGUUUUGCAAUAAGAUUCAAAAUGAAAAAGGUUUUUCAAUUACUUAUAUAAGAAGUGAUCAUGGGAGAGAAUUCGAAAAUAUUGAUUUUGAAGAGUAUUGCAAUGAGCAUGGAAUUGACCACAAUUUUUUGGCUCUUAGAACUCCUCAACAAAAUGGGGUAGUUGAAAGGAAAAAUAGAACUCUUCAAAAAAUGACAAGAACCAUACUAAAUGAAAACAACUUACCAAAAUAUUUUUAGGCCAAAACGGUUAACACUUCUUGUUAUGUUUUAAAUAGAGUAUUAUUGAGGCUCAUACUUAAGAAAACUCCCUAUGAGCUUUGGAAAAACAAAAAACCCAACAUUAGUUAUUCCAAAGUCUUUGGAUGCAAUAUUUUAUAAUAAACACCAAAGACAAUCUUGGAAAAUUUGAUGCAAAAUUGGAUGUUGGAAUUUUCCUUGGUUACUCAACUUCAAGUAAAGCUUUUCGAGUUUUAACAAAAGAACCAUGGUUGUAGAGGAGUCCAUCCAUGUUAUUUUUUAUGAAUCUCCAAGAAAGAGAGAGGAUUGAUGAUGAUUUAGGUUUGAAGACCUCUAUAGGAAGAUUGCAAAUCGAAGAUAGAAGACAACAAGAAGAAAAUGGAGAGAAUCCAAAGAAAGAAGGAUCACCAUUGGCACUACCCCCUCAUCAACAAGCGCAAGGUGAAUCAAGUCAAGAGCUUCCUAAAGAAUGGAAGUUUGUCAUCAAUCACCCACAAGAUCAAAUUAUAGGCAAUCCAUCUAGUGGGGUAAGAACUAGAUCCUCUCUUAGAAAUAUUUGCAAUAAUCUAGCUUUUAUCUCUCAAAUUGAGCCUAAAAAUAUAAAUGAUGUUUUAGAUGAUGAAAAUUGGAUAAUUGCAAUGCAAGAAGAGUUAAAUCCAUUUGAAAGAAGUGGAGUAUGGGAAUUAGUACCAAGACCUUCAAAUCAAAGUGUUAUUGGAACUAGAUGGAUCUUUAGAAAUAAAAUGGAUGAAAAUAGCAUAAUUGUUAGAAAUAAAGCAAGAUUGGUAGCCCAAGGUUUUAAUCAAGAAGAAAUGAUAGAUUAUGAAGAAACCUUUGCCCCCGUAGCUAGGUUGGAAGCCAUUAGGAUGCUACUUGCCUUUGCAUGUUUUAAAGACUUUGUUUUAUAUCAAAUGGAUGUGAAAAGUGCUUUUUUAAAUGGUUUUAUAAAUGAAGAAGUAUAUGUUGAACAACCACCCGGUUUUCAAAGUUUCAACUUUCCUAACCAUGUUUUUAAACUUAAAAAGACACUUUAUGGUUUGAAACAAGCACCUAGAUCAUGGUAUGAAAAAUUGAGUAAAUUUCUUUUGAAAAAAAUGUUUUAAAAUGGGAAAAAUUGACACAACUCUUUUUAUAAAAACCAAAGAAAAUGAUAUGCUCUUAGUUCAAAUAUAUAUUGAUGAUAUCAUUUUUGGUGCUACUAAUGUCUCUCUUUAUGAAGAAUUUUCUAAGUGCAUGCAUAGUGAGUUUGAAAUGAGCAUGAUAGGAGAACUCAACUUCUUCCUUGGACUUCAAAUCAAGCAACUAAAGGAAUGAACCUUCAUCAAUCAAGCAAAGUAUAUAAGAGAUCUUCUCAAAAGGUUCAACAUGGAAGAAGCCAAAACAAUGAAGACUCUAAUGAGCUCAUCCAUUAAGCUUGAUAAGGAUGAGAAAGGUAAAUCCAUUGACUCUAUUAUGUAUAGAGGCAUGAUAGGUUCUUUGCUCUAUUUGACCACUAGUAGACCUUACAUUAUGUAUAGUGUGUGUUUGUGUACUAGAUUUCAAUCUUGUCUUAAAAAAUCUCACUUAAGUGUCGUGAAAAGAAUCCUCAAAUAUUUGAAAGGGACAAUGGACAUAGGCUUAUGGUAUCCUAAGAGUGAUAACUUUGAAUUAAUUGGUUUUUUGGAUGCUGAUUUUGUCAGUUGUAGGGUUGAAAAAUAAAACACUAGUGGCACUUUUCAUUUCUUAAGACACUUACUUGUCUCAUGGCAUAAUAAGAAGCAAAAUUUGGUAGCUUUGUCAACAGCAGAAGCUAAAUACAUAGCAACUGGUUUAUGUUGUGCACAAAUCCUUUGGAUGAAAUAAACACUUAGUGAUUUUGAUUUAUCUUUUGAGCAUAUUCCUAUUAAAUGUGAUAAUAGUAGUGCCAUAAGUAUAUCAAAAAAUCUCGUGCAACACUCUAGGACUAAGCAUAUAGAGAUUAGACAUAAUUUUCUUAGAUAUCAUACACAAAAGGAUGAUAUAACACUUGAAUUUGUAAGCAUAAAAGACCAACUUGCCGAUAUCUUUACAAAACCUCUAAGAACAUUUUGUUGAUAUUAGAGGACAAUUAGGAGUGAUUUCUUUAUGAUCUAAUGUGAUGAAUUCUUGAUGAAUAUACUUUUUGAUUGCAUGAAUUUCAUGUCAUAUAUGCAUCAUAUAGAAAUAUACUUAGAUAAUGGUCAAAUUUCGACCAAAAAUCAAAAUUCCCAUGGCAUUAGGCAUAAAAAUUUUGGAAUUUCAACUGAAAAUGGUAGGAGGAGGAUCACAAAAUGAGAAAGUAUGCAAAAAUUGAAAAAUCAAAACGUUGACCAAGCGGUCAAUCGGACUAGACCGAUCGACUAGUUUGUCGAGAUUUAGGAUUUUUAAGAGACUCCAACGCUUCAAUUUUUGCACCGUUCUCCUCUAUUUCUUCACGGUUUCUCUGAUUUUGUCUUUUAGAGACUAAUUUGAGUGCGUUUUGGAUCAAUUGAAGCAUUUUGGAUUGGAUUUUAGGAAGAUUGAAAGUUAAGGUUUCGGAUUUGGGUCGCCUUCUCUUCCUCUCGCGUGUCACAAUCAGCUUUAGCAUUGUUCUCUUUCCAUUUUCACACACCUAGGGUUUCAGUUGUGAGCAUCUCUCUCUCUUUACCAACCACUACUCCCUUGCUUCUUCCAUAUGGCUCCUAGGCGAGAGUCCGCUACUUCUAGGGCACAAGGCAAGCACCCAACUGAGUCGUCUCAGUCAAAGGCACGUCGAAAAGUGAGAUUUGACAUUGCCUUGUUCAGUUCCAUGGAGGACUACCAACUAUACAAGCAACACUUUGCUUAGAGACGAGUAGUUCCCAAGAGAAAUAUUAAUUUUCCUCAACUUCAGCAUUUCGAAUUUAAGGGUCUAUUUACUAGGAUGGUUGGUUGUCUAUUGUCACAAUUUCGGAGCCGGUUUUCCUGACCUUAGUGCGAGUUUUUUACUCGAGGGCGACUUAUGGCAUGGGUGGCAUGAUCAUUUCUACUGUUGGAGGAGUUGAGAUCUGUCUGGACCCAGAGAGCAUCUGCCAUAUUUUCGAUAUUGCUCUGGUUGGACUCAAAGUAUACAAGUCCAAAAUGUGGCCCAUUGUGCCAGGAUUUGAGCUUAGAGAGGUCAUUCAGAGGAUUUGUGAACUUCCAGACGCCCAGGAGAUGGGCAAACCAUUGCCACACAGUUUGACGGUCAUCAACAGGGUGCUACACCAUAUAUUGUGCUCUAUCUUUCUACCACGAAGUGGACAUUGAGAUGAGGUCUCUUAUUAUGAGGCAUUCCUUAUUGACUCCAUUCUAACGGAGAGACGAAUUCAUCUACUAUGUCAUCAUUCACUAAGCCUCCUCACAGUGACAUACCACCUCAUCAGGCACCUCUUGCUCCUGACCAUGCUCCAUUGAUGGAUUUAUUUACUCAUAUUAGCUCUCUAGGCACUCGCAUGAAGGAGUUUGUUGUAGUUAGUGAUACAUGGUUCUACUCCAUAGAGGAUCGCAUGGAUCAGUAUCAGACUGGCUUCACGUCACAGUUUGAGUAUCUCCAAUAGAGGAUUGAGCAUAUUGAGGAUCACUUGAGCAUGAGAAGAUGAUGGCUUUUCUAUGCUCUGUGUUUCCACCUCCACCUCGUCAACCUUGAUUUCUUAGAGACCCAUUGUUUUCAUUUUGUAAUGUUGCCAAAAGGGGGAGAUAUUUAGGAUCUAGGACUCUAUAGGAGACUUACAUGCAUAUCAUUUUCAUAUCAUUGUUUGGAUCGUACAUAUUGGAUAGUGAUACUUUUUACUUAUAUAUGAUAUGCCUAUAUGUUUCAUGUCUUACAUUGUUUCUUAUUGCAAAUUAUCUCUAACAUGUCUUGAUUAUCUUUUUUUUAACUUCAUAAAUUUUGAUUGUUAACCCAUGAUUGGUUUGAGGGGAAGAUUCUUCUUCUCCUAGAUAACCAAGGUUUGUCAUCAUAAAAAAAUUGGAGAUUGUUAGCCCAAGGGUUCUCCUAAUCAUGUUUUGAUGAUAACAAACCAUGCUUAAGUUACUAAUUGGUUUGAAUUAUAAAGAAUUUCAAGUGUUAAUUUGAAAAUUCAUCAAAGAACCUAAUGGAUGCAAGAUCAAGAUUUUUGGAAGACCUUUAAUCAUAAGAAACAUAUGUAAGAUGAAUGCAUGGGUGCACUUAAGAUUUGCAUAUCAUUUCAUGCAUAUUUGGAAAACACGGUUUAUGCUUUAAAGUUACAUUUCCAUCAAAAUUUGAGAUCCAUCAAAUGAACCUUAGGAAAAAUGUUUUAAAAUUGGCAUAUAAUUUUACCUAAAGACCUUGCCUAAGUGUUAGAAGCAAAAGGACAAAAAAAAUAUAGGUUUUCUGGUCAAAAAUGGUGAACCAGUCAAGGCAUUGUCUAAAUCAGCUCAAUCGGCCAAGGUACCGGUCGAUCGGUUUCCCUUUCCCUGUCGAGAUCUAGUCAAGAGGUACAAAAAUCACAAUCUCUGUCUCUUUCUCUCUUUGUCUAUCUUCCAGUAGUCUUUCCUUCCCGGUCGAGGGAUUUGCCUUCCCGAUUGAGGUCCGAUUGAGAGUAAUAGUCACUUGCCAAAUAUUAAAUGCUCCAACAGUUAGUGAACUGGUCGACCCCCACCUUGCCCAGUUGAGGUUACUUUUUGGUUUUCUUGGCUCCCGAUGUUAGAAACCUAUAAAUAGAGAGUUCCACUUCAUUUAUGAGCAAGAGAACACUUGCAUUUAUUUGUUUACCUACUUGUUCUUGCCUUAAAAGCUCUCAUUUCUUUUCUUGGUGCAUUAAAUCUCCAUUUUGAUAUCCUUUAGUGCACCUUUGUGAUUCAUCUUAGCCUUGAGUUGUAUUUGAGCCCUUUUUUUAGCUAGGUUGAGAGUUUCAUACUUGUUAAUUGAGUGUUAAAGCCUUCAAGUGAGUUGAAACUUGUAGAGAUUAUGUGAGAGUCGAUUGGAGCCGAAAUCCAAGUGUAAAGGUGAUUAGAAGCUUGGUUGAAGCUUCAAGUUAGUGGAAUCCUCACUCAAUUAGGAGCUUGAGGAGAGUGGACGUAGCCAAGGAAGUGUCGAACCACUAUAAAAUUUGAGUUUGAUUUCUCUAACAUUGUCUCUUUAUAUUUGUUUAUCUUGUGCUUAAAUUUAUUGUGUUUAAAAAGAAUUUUUAAAUACCCAAUUCACCCCCCUCUUGGGUGUUUUUCUCUUUUAAAAUUAGCCUUUAUUUUCUCACAAACUAUUGUAGUAUAGUGGUUUUUAGGUGUCAUCCAUUAGGAUGAAUUGUUCUCGGUAAUUAAGGCGUGAAUGAGAGGAGAAUUAAUGAUUGUGAUUAAGUAAAAUUGAUUUGAAAAUUCAUGGUGAAAAAUCAAUUUAACAAUGGUUUCUAAUUGAGAAAAACAAUGAAAUGUGAAAUAAAAUAAAAUUAAUAGGAAAUGAAAUUCUCGAAGUUAGAAUUUUCUAAAAAACAAAUUCCAUGGUGAAUGGAUGUUGAGAUCUAAUUUUCAUCAAGUUAGAUUGAAAACCGAAAUUUUCAUAUAAACUGAUUUUUUAUUUAGUUUUAGGUCUAGAUUUAAUUUCCCUUAAAAUUAGGUUAUUUAAUCCAAGAAAUCAAUUCAAAUCAUAUAUUCAAUUCAUCUUAAAUUAUCUUCCAAUUAUUCACACAAUGCAACUAUUCAAUCUCAUCAAAUCUAGCUUUUAAGAAUUUAAUGAAUCUACCUAGUUUGCAUUGUAAUAGUCAUCCAUGACAAUUUGAAGAGAAAAAUAAUUCAAUUAAUCAAUCACUUGGAUCAAAUUACCUUUGCAAUUAAAGUUCAUUUCUCUAAUUCACCACAGAUUUUGUCUCUAGAUCCUCCUUUCUCAAAGAAAAAUGAGAUUUAGCCACACAUGAUUGGAGAUUUGGUCUCAUAAGGCAUGUUUAGCUAGUGAUAAAAUGAGAGAAAAUAAAGAAAAAUAGAGAAUUCGAUUAAGAAAGAAAAUCUAAAAAAUUCUACAAUUAGAAAUGUCCAAAAAGCUUUUUCAUGAGAAAAUCAAGUUUCUAUUUAUAGGCCAAGGUCAAGUGGACACUUGACAUCAUCUAAGAGGUCUUCCGGAAGCUUCUUCAUCAAGAAAUCUGGAGUUUAAUAAUAAAAUGGUCAUUUCACAAGAGCUCAAACAAUUUCGCAUGAUUAUGUGAAAUAAAAAAUGCAACAACAGCAAUUUACAUCUUCUUGGAGCAUUUCGCAUGACUGUGUGAAAUUUUCACAUGAUCAUGUGGAAUCGACUUGACAACUCUCAUUUAGCCUACAACAUAAUUCCACCUUUUGGUCCAUUUUUCAUAGUCAUGCGAAAUGGAAAUAUUUGAUUUUUAAGUUUUCUUUUGUCAUUUCUUUCAUUUCCUUCUCUUGAUUCCACUUCAACUACCUCCGAAUCCUGGUCCAAACCAAUUGCAUUACUUCUUUCAUUAUGCAUUUGGAUCAUCAUCAACAUUAUUUGUUCUCUUCAAUUUGAUUCAUCUCUUUUGUCACCAAUUUAUCAAAAUCAUACCUUGAAAUGACUCCAAAACUUCAUAAAACUUGUUAGUAACUCUUGCAAGGGCAACAACAUAUUAAUUAAGUGUUUUAGGCAUAGUUACUACUCAAAAGAUGCGAAACUCAUGAUAAUUAUUAUAUAAAAUAUGCUCUUUUUGAGUAGUAAUCAACUUUCUUGCAUAAGCAGACCUUUUAGGGUGGAGUACUAAAGACCAAUAUGCUUGUCCUUGUUGUAAUAAAGAAACUUGCUCUUAUUGAUUGCACCAUGGGAGAAAAUUUUGCUACAUGAGUUAUCAUCAAUUUCUUCCCACCAAUCAUAGAUUUAGACGUGACAAGAGGCCUCUUAAUGGCAAGGAGGAACUGACACUCACACUUAUACAAUUAUCGGGCAUUGAUGUGUUGCAACAAUUAGAAUAACUUACACCAAUUAUGUUGGGGAAGUCACAAAAGGCAAACAUGAAAACUAAAAGGAAAAAAGAAAAAUGUUACAUAUCACCACAACUGGAAAGAAAAAAGUAUUUACUUUCAUUUGCCAUAUUGGAAAGCACUUAUUUUACAUCAUAAUAAUUUAGACAUAAUGCAUAUUGAGAAAAAUGUGUGACAAUAUAAUUGAGACAUUGUUCAGUAUUGACGAAGAAACAAGGACAACCUAAAUAGUCAUCUCGAUUUACAAGCUCUAACUAUUAGAAAUGAGAUUCACCCAAUAGAAAGCAGGACCAAAUUUAUUUUGCUUGCAACAUGCUACUCACUCACCCCAAAUGAGAUUAAGGAAUUUUGCAAGUUUUUGAAAUCAAUAAAGGUCCCCAAUGGCUAUUCUUUCAAUAUCUCUCGUUAUGUGCAACUCAAUGAAAGGAAGAUAUAUGAGCUCAAAUUGUAUGAUUGUCAUGUCCUAAUGCAACAACUUCUCUCACUUGUAGUUCGUGGAGUUCUACAUAAGAAUGUUUGUGGAGUUAUCAUAGAAUUGCGUAAUUUUUUCAAGCAAUUGUGCUCAAAGGUGUUAGAAACAAAUCACUUACACCAACUUGAGAACAAUAUUAUUGUCAUACUAUGUAAAAUGGAGCAAAUAUUUCUUCCAUCAUUCUUUGAUAUUAUGGUGCAUUUACUUGUGCAUCUAGUAAGGCAAAGGUUGCAAGACUUGUGCAAUAUUGUUGGAUGUACCUAAUUGAACGAUAUUGUUAUAAUUUCAUAUGAAUCAUUUAAUUUUAUUUUAUAUUAUGUUCAGUUCAUUAACAUGUACAUUGGUCUACAUAUGGAUGAUGAUAGGUACCUAAGCACUUUAAAGUCAUAUGUGCGUAAUAGAACUUUUCUAGAAGGUUCUAUUGUAGAAAGGUACCUUGCAAAAGAAUGUACAACAUUUUAUUCUAGGUACUUGAAUGAUGUGGAAAUAAAGUAUAAUCACAAUGAUAGAAACUUUGUUGGUUUCAACACUAGAGGAGAUGAAAGGGGUUAUCUUUAAACAUAUUGGACAUGCAUUGGGAAAGCCCAUAUUUCAUUAACUUAGUUCAAAAGAGUGGUCACAAGCACAUUUAUAUGUGUUGACAAAUUGCGAAGAUGUCAUACCAUUCAUUGAGUAAAAAAUUUAUUUGAAUUUUAAUUAAAGCUCUAGUUUAUAUCCUUAAUCAAUGUUUUUUAAAUUCACAAGGAGCACAAGCAAACCAUCAAGGCUAGACCACAUAUACGUGUUUGAGACGUAGAUUUAAUUCAUAACAAGGAAUUUAUCAAGUGGUUUGAAAGACAUGUAAGUAUAUUCCUUAUUAUAAGGGAUUUAUUUCACAUUAUGUUUAUAUUGAAUCCAAACCUAUUAUUGAAUUGUAGGUUGAACAAUUACAUAAUGAAGGUCAUAUAUCUGAACACCUUCUCACAUUAUCAUGUGUUCCAAAUUCAUUAGUUACAUGCUUCAAAUGAUAUAUUGUCAAUGGAUUUAGAUCCCACAUUAAAGAACGUGAUAAAAAAGUUUUUAAAAAAAGACUCAGAAUAAUGGAAUUGUUGUAGUUGCAAAAACGUCAAGCUUUACAAGUGCAUGUGAUAUGAGUCCAAUUAUUAGUGAUGCUCUCUACUAUGGUGUUCUAACUAAAGUUGUUGAGUUACAUUAUCUUGGUGAAAAUAAGGUUGUUUUAUUCGAGUUUGAUUGGUGGGAUGUUACAAAUAUUGGAAAAUUGAUAAAAGAUGAUGAGUACAAUUACACAUUUGUUAACUUUGCAUGAAUUCUAACCACGAACGAACGAUUUGUACUUGCAUCUCCAGCAAAGUAAGUGUUCUAUGUGAAGAAUGCGAAUGAAUCAGAUUGGCAUACUAUCAUGGAGAUGCAACCUCAAGACCUCUAUAAGAUGAACGGGAUAGGAUCCAAUGGUGAUUUUGAACCAUUUCAACAAAGUGAACUACAUGAUCACUAAUAUAUCUCAGAUUUAGUUGAUGAAGAUAUAAUCAAGUGGAACAAAAGUGAUGUUUUAGGACUAAUCAUCCUAAAAAAUAUUGUAGUUUCUUAAAAAAAAAAUGAAAAUGAAGAAGAUAAUUGAACCUUUGUCAUACUUUAAAAAGCAACUAUGCAUUGUUCAUUUUGUAUGUUUUGGUUUUCUUCAUUUAAUUUCCUGAUUUUUGUGAUUCAAUGUCAUAUUAUUGAUCUUGAAAUAUUUUUCUAAUUUUUCAUUCUACGAUGGUUUCAACAAGGAUGACAUCAAGUCAAAAAAGGAAAUGUGGUCCCACACACAAUAUUGCAUUACAGGGAUUAAGGUCAGGGAAGAAGGUAAAAGUUGCAUUUAAUGAGUACAAUCAAUUGGUUAAACAGAAAAAUGGAAAACACUUAUCGAGCUACAUAGGGACACUUGUAUCUAACCAACACAAUGUACCUCUCCAAGCUAGUGAUUGGAAAAAUGUUCCAAAUGAUGCAAAAGAGAAAGUAUGGCCUUUGUUUUGGUAUGUUGUAUUUCUCACUAUAUGAUGUCAUUUCACUGUUAUUCUAUUUUGUGACUAACGUUUGAAUCAUAUGUAAGAAAAAUUUGAAGUAGAUAAAGACUGAAAAGAUUACAUGUUGGGUAUAGCCUCAAAUAAAUAUAGAAGCUAUAAAAAUAUGAUGAAUGCAAAAUACUAUGACCCUUGGCAUAAGGAUGCAUGAGGAGAGGUUAAUACAUAAAUCACCAUUUGUCUCUGAUGUUGAUUGGAAGUGGCUUGUCUCUGAUGCAUAAACCAAAUCCCCCACUGAAUGUUUGAUAUUUGAUAGCAGGAAAAACACACCCGCAGCUAUACACCUCCAUCAUUCAGAUAAUUAUAGUGGGGGAGAUGAUUCAUGGUUGCCCUUAUACCCUUUAUUUGCACCAUCUAUUGAGAUUCUUUAUCAUGGCCAGGUUUUACUGCAGCAAUAAGAUAUGGUGGCAACAAUUUUAUCUAUAGGUGCGGUUCCAGACCGCCUCCAUAGGUGCGGUUCCUGACUGCCUCCAUAGGUGCCUCUUCUUGUAAUGUUUGUUCUGGGAAUUACACUUGAAAGCCUUAUCGUGAUAAGGGAUUACAAACACUAGUUCAGAGGACAGCCAUGUUAAACUUCCACUAUGUUUGUGUCACAUUAUCAGCAGCCUAGUGUUUAUUGGUCAUGCUAUCUGCAACUAAUAUAACCCGGUGAACUUCAAUCUAAAUUCUGAAAGUACUCAUGUGACAGAUGGUGCCUUUCAGCAGAUAUCAUCAAUUUAAAAGUAGUGUGUGUGCCUAUAGGUGGGAAGGCCUUGGCAAAUGUUCAGUAUUCCGGUAAUUCAAGAAGGAUAUAUCUAAAAUAGAUUUUCUUCUUGCCCAUUUCAAUAGUUAAAAUUUGAGAAGAUUGUGUCCACAUCACACAAAUAUUAUUGGUCCUUCUGUUGCAAUUUACCUCUGAACAUGUCUUCCAAUUCCCACGGUCCUGUUACUCCAGGAAAACUAUUUCGGUCAUAUUGAAAAAAAAAAUAUUAAAGAAGGUACACAUGCUUUUAAGUGGACUGGGGCAUUCAUAUCAGGUGGUCUGUAUCCACAUAUGCCACUUCGUGAAAGGUGGAACAGCCUAAUCACUAGGCUAUUUAGUGUGGCCCAGCCACGUUAAUCAAGCACAAGUCUUCAUACUUAAAGUCAAAUGGUGUCUUUAGUCUCAUUACACAUCGCUAUUUGAAGAUUAACUCAUCACUAGUGUAAUGCGAUUAAGACAGUCCUAACUCAAUAUUUGUUCUAGUUUUGGAUGCAAAUGCUUGCUGGUUUCAUCAUUGGAUGGGAUAAAGGUGCAAUCAGGACUAUGAAUACGUGCAGUAAUACUUCAUUCUCUUUUUUCUCAAUGAGACUUCUUGGCACAAUUUUGCUGCUCAGCAACCUACCUUUCCAUGGAAAAUCAGUUGUGACUGAUAGUAAUGGAUAUAUUCUAGAAAGCUAAACAUAGAUAGCAUUCAAUAUUAUCGAUAUAACAUUAACAGCGUAUGUCUCAAUGCUCAUCAGCUACAAGCAAUGGACAAACACUUUGAGUAACUCACAGCAGUCAAAAUUCCUAAACAGGACAGACGUGACAGAUCUAUAUAUAGAACACUGCAUAUGAGUCACAGGAAAAGAUAAUACGGGUACAUAGAAGCUCUUAUUUUACAUAUUACUCAUACUGAUCAAAGUCGCUCAGUUGGGAUGGAUGGGAGAAGGAGGUUUGAGGGGUGGCUUGUGCGGGGAAGUUGGCAGCUUCUUUCCGGGAGCUGGUUGCUUCUUUGCUGGAGUUGAAGGAGGCUUAAUCUUCCGAGGUGGCUUGUAUGAGUCUUCAGCAUUCUCAGCAGGAGGGUGACCAGGGUUGUGACCAUAAUGUGGUGGCUUCUCUCCCUUAGGUGGUUUGCCAACUGGGGUUGGUGGCUUGUUUUCUGGGAGUGGCUUCUCUCCCUUGGGUGGUUUGCCAACUGGGGUUGGUGGCUUGUGUUCUGGGAGUGGCUUCUCCCCCUUGGGAGGUUUUUCGAAUGGGGUGGGUUUGUGUCCUGGUGGUGGCUUCUCUCCCUUGGGAGGUUUACCAAUUGGGGUCGGUGGCUUGUGUUCUGGGAGGGGCUUCUCUCCCUGGGGAGGUUUAGUGGGUGGCUUGUGUUCUGGAGGUGGCUUCUCCACCGGAGGCUUAUGCUCUGGUGGUGGCUUCUCGAAGGGGGGAUGCUCAGGGUAAUCACCAAGUGAGGGGGUGGUGAGAACCACCAUGCCAAGCAACAACACUAGCAAGUAUGUAGUAGACAUCUUUGGGUUUGGACUCAGACAGUGCAAAACUACGAGAAAUCGCUAGCCCUUUAUAGCGGCUCGGACCUAAUACUGACAUAAUAUAAAAUAAAUAUUAUAUUUUAUCAAGAGAGAACAGAGUGUAAUUUUAUCAUUAAUACCGAUCGAGGCCAAAGAAAGAAGACCCAUAAUCCAUUUCCCACAAGCAUACACAAUGCAGCUGUAAUUUUAUCAUUUACUUUUAUCCCUUGGACCACUGCAUUUUUGUUGAGAGACACAAUAACACAUUUUUAUCUGUCAUUCAACAUUUACAGUAAAGAGAGGGCACAAAACGCAAUUAGAUAAAUUAUGUUUUGCCUGCUAAAAAGAGGCAAAUAACUUUAUUUGCAACAUAAUUAUUUUGGUUUCUAGUGACCCCGGGGCCUUUCGGUUGGUUUGGGAUCGGAAAAUGAACAUCAUAGGGGGGGUUGUGCCCUUAUGGGCAUAUAUAUCUGAUAGCUUCAACUGGCCUUGUUCCUAGAAAGAAAUUGCCAAAGAUAUAAACUUAUUCCAGGCUGAAAGUAGAUGAGAGUCAUAAUGAACAUCAACCUUUGUUCAGUUUGAUUCAAUGCCCCCAUAGUGUUCAUUUCACAGAUCUGAAUGAUUAUAUCCGUUGAAUACAUAAAUUAAUGAAGACAAAUAUGAAACCCAAGAUACAUCUCUGCAUAACAACCCCAACCCUGGUUGCUAUGUUUCCCUUCUUCUAUUCACAUGAGGAUACUGGUUAUAAUUGUCAAACUUGCAACAAGCCCUUUGACACCUAACGUCAAUGGACGAAUUAAAAGUCUCCUUCAAACGUCUAUUUCACAGCAUGAAGCUUAUAAAGGAUGCUGACAACCUUCAGAGUUAGCGACAAAAGAUAAUUAUCAAGGAGAGAUAGUUCCAUGAGAAUUCCAAGGAGUCUGAAUCAAAGACAAAUUGCUCACUCAAGGGUUCUUAUUUUCUUUUAGGUACAAAUCUCUUGAGUGUUGUUAAAGAAACACGUCACUGUCAUUUUGAUUUGCAUUUAACAUUUCACUUUUGUUCUGGAAGGUUUGUUCCGGAAACAUAUCAAAUGAGCAUCAUUUUCUUCUUCGGUGACACAUGGUCGCGAGUACGUGGGUCCAUUUUCAUGCCACUUAGUUGAAAAGUUGGAAAGAAAAAACAUGCCAACAAGAAGAUAGUGAGAGAAGGGGCACUUCAAGCCUUUAACAUGAACAAACAGUAAAUAAAAGAUGUUUCUCCACUCAUAAAAGUGUGUUAGAUAGCAAUAUAACGAAUCACAUCCAAAAUCUUUACUAGGCUCAAACAUAAAGAAGACUCAUUUUUAAGAAAAGAUAAAAAUGGCAUUGUCUGAUAGUAUCCAAUACACGAGAUGGCACUUAAUUUGUACAAGAUCUGUCAAUGCUGACGCACAUUUUCUGAUUAAAAAAAAACUGAUCAGUCAAAAGCAAUGAAGAGAAGUGAUGACAAUGAAUGAUGCUUCCAAUAUUUUCACCCCUUAUAGUGUUCUUCAUGAUUCAGAUAUAUAAUUGGAAAUAGAACAACCCUAUGCCAUACAUUCGUCUAAGUAUGGUGUCUAAUUUUUUGUGUCAGCGGUUGCGAAUGGAGCGUGCAAAAGUCCAAAUUGGCGUCUCUCCAUUUCCACAUAGGAAGGUGACCUUUAUUGACAAAUACCCAAUAUUUGUAGACAUUCCUUAAAUAUCAUAACUUCUUGUUGAUUUGAAAAUCAUUUUUCAACUACCAUGUUUUAAUAAAUAUUUUUUAAAAUGUAUUUUUAUCAAAGUCCACCAUGAUGGAUAAUAUUCACCAUGCAAUAAUUAAUAAAGUACAAACUAAGCGAAAUGAAAAGCAUUUUCUUUGCUUUGAGUUGAUUUUGGUUGCAUUGAGUUGAUUUUGGUUUCAUGGUUUUUUCAACUCUUAUUUUGAUUGGAAGAUGUCAAGAAAAGAAAACAUAAAGAAAAAUUAAAAGGGAAAAAAGAAGAAAAAUAAAAAAAAAUAGAUUUAAAAGUUAAUAAAUUAUUUUUUAUAUUUAUUUUAAUUCAUUUCACUUAUUUUUCUUUUACUAUAUAAAAUUUAAAUAAUUUAAAUUUUAUAAUUAAUUUAAUUACAUUUCAUUUUCUUCUAUAUUUAAAUAUUGGAAAAAUAUUUUACUUAAUAUUUUUUUCUUUAAUUUCUUUGGCAUUUUGGGAACCAAACUUAGCCUUUAAAAUAAAAAACAAAAAAAAAAUGAAAAUAAGGAGGGAAAAGUGAGAAAAGAUAAAAACAAUAUGUAAAGGAUUUGAAAAGUAUUAGUUUGUAAUUACUAUUUGGAUUUCAAUAGUAUUUUAUUUGUCUUUCUAUAUUUCAUGUAAGAGAGAAUUUAAGAUAUUCCCCAAGGCAAAGCAUUAGUUACCUGCAAUCAGUGGUGAUAAGGCUCCAAGCCAAUUUUGGGCCCCAUAUCUUAAGACAGUACAAUUUCCAUUUCAACAUUUCUGAUUUCUCAGAUGUUUCACAUACCACAGAAGAACAUUGUUUGUGAAAAUAUGCAUUUAUGUUGGAUUUUGUAUGCUGUGGGGACUGGGGCAAGGAUCAUAUGGAAGAGUGGUUGACUUUUUCUGUACUUUAACGGUUGAAAUAGGAUAAGCACGGGCAUUUGUGAGGCUUAAUUGAUUUUGAAGCCUGAAAUUGCGUUUCUGUCAUUUUGUCAAAAAAAUGGCAGAUUCCAUACUCAUAUGUUUGGCCUGUGGCCAUGUACAGAUGCCAUUUAGUGACCAGUUUGUAACUGUCAAUCGUUGCGUUUUGACUCUGCCUCAACAACAUCUGCCAUUGACGGGUUUUCAUACUUGCAAAUCAAAUAGUCUUUCGUCCCAUCAGGAAUUUCGGUUUAAAUAUUAUUAAGCAUACGUUUGGCUGACAAUCAUUAUCCAGUUCAUGAUUUGGUUUCUUACCCUUAAUCAAUGGUUUCUAAGUGAAUAUAUGUAGAAGGAAAUCCGAAGUGUAGACAGUAGUAUCGAUAACUCUCAAUAUUCUCUAUAUAAUAGAAUAAACAGCGUCAUAGUGAUCGUCGCCUACAAGCAAGGUACAAAUACCAAAACGAGUGACUCACAUAGACAUCUCCCAACAAGAUGUAGUAGUGACUGACACAUGGACACAAUUAACUCGUAGAAAAGGAUAAGACCAUUGCACAGCAGCUCUUAUUUUACAUACUACUUAUGCUAACCAAAGUCAAUUAGUUGGGAUGGGUGGGAGAUGGAGGUUUGUGCGGUGGCUUGUGGGGCGGAGUUGAUGGCUUCUUUCCAGGAGCUUCUGGCUUUUUCAUCGGAGCUGAAGGAGGCUCAAUCUUAUGAGGCGGCUUGUAUGAGUCUUCUUUACUCUCGACAGGAGGGUGGCCAGGGUUGUGAUCAUAAUGUGGUGGCUUCUCUCCCUUAGGUGGCUUGCCAACUGGGGUUGGUGGCUUGUGUUCAGGAAGUGGUUUCUCUCCCAUGGGAGGUUUAGCAAUUGGGGUUGGUGGCUUGUGUUCUGGGAGUGGCUUCUCUCCCUUGGGAGGUUUAGUAGGUGACUUGUGUUCUGGAGGUGGCUUCUCCACCGGAGGCUUGUGCUCCGGUGGUGGCUUCUUGGUUGGAGGGGGCUUGGGGUAAUCAGCAAGAGAUGGGGUGGUGAGAACCACCAGUCCAAGGAACAACACUAGCAAGUAUGUGGGAGACAUUUUUGAGUUUGGGCUGAUCAGAUGAUGCAAAACUAAAGCAUUACGUGACCUUUUAUAGCAUGUAGCUCCCAAUACCCACUAAGUAUUGUGGGGUCCAUUUGUGCCCUACGGGGUUGAAAACUUAGACAAUUGGGCAAGGACCCACCUGACUAUGGAGGACUAGUGAGGUGUGAUCAUAGCUUUAGGAUUUUUCUUCCUCUGCAGCCGUCGUGCCGUUGGCAUGAUUUUCUUAAUCUUAAAUAAAGGCAUAGUUAUAGAGUUGUUUAAUCUCUAAAUGGGAUUUUAUAUAUAUCUUCAGAUAGCCAUUAAUAUAUUUGAUGAAGAAAGAAAGACAAGUGCAUACAACAUGUAUACGACUAGCUUUCAUGGAGUUCAUUUAUGAUCAGUUUUCCUGUACAUGUAAACCAGGAUCAUAUAUAUGUUUCUGUUCCACAACUAUUUUGGAAUCUUGUUUAUCAGUUUUUAUCAUUAUAAUGUCACAUAGGCUGCCAACUUGGGCGCUAAAAGAACCAGUUGGGCUAGUUCGUUUCAGAAUUUCAAUGUGGAUUCAGGAAUUGUUUUGUAAGAUAUGCGAAAUAGUAGAGGGAUGAAUAGUGUUUCAUUAAUAAAAGUGUCCUGUAAAUUAGAAGGUGUCAUAGAAACUAUAAUCAAUAAAUAACUUUUUUUCCCCACGGGUGGUGUUUCUUGUGGGGAUCAGUGACUGGUUUAGGUUCACCCAAAAUGAGUUCAGACUAAAAUUGGUUUGAGUCAAUGCCGUGUCUCUUUUUUCCAGAAAUCAACUAUUUUAUGCAUUGAAUAAAUCAUACAAAGAAAAUAUGAACGCCCGCAAAACCUAAACCCUGGUUGCUAACUUUCUAUGUUUCAGUUCUAUUCACGCAAGAAUAUUAGUUUAAGUUUGGGAAAAAUGGCAACUUACCUAGUGAUUACUUGGUUUUGGUUUGCGACUAUUUACGCAACCAACCAUGAGUUUGACUUUAACGUCAUGGGUUGAAGCCUCCUACAGGAAGGGAGAAAGCUCCACAGCUAGCUCCAAAAGAGAAUUAUCACAUUGAUAGCUCCAGAGAUUCCCAAGGGGACUGAAUCAAAGACAAGUUCCUCACUUUUUCUUCUUUUGAGGCCAAAUAUGAACCAAGGAUCACACAACCUCAUUCAACUUCAUAAGUUUGAUUUCAUGCAGUUGAACACUGGGUGAAGGCCAUGACAAGAAUUGAUUCAAAAAUUCUAUCACUCUUUUAAGUAAUGGAAGAUUAUUAUCUCUGAUUGGCAUCACAACAGCACAUGCUCCUAGAUCUUUCUAGACACUCCAUGCAAUGAAAGCACAAUGGAUCUUGUAACGAUAGAAACUAAGCCAUGCUACAGUACUAGAUGAUGAGGUAAAACUAGUAGACACGGGUGGCAGCCUAUAUGGGAGGGACACAAGUCUAAUUGAUUUGCAUUUCAGCAUUAUAGAUAGGUAUGUUUUGGAAGAUUUGUUCUGGAAAUACCGCACCAAGUAGGAUUCUUUUUCUCUUUAGUGGGUCCACUUGCAUGCCAAUUAACGAGUUGAAAAGUAUGAGCACCUACCUCGUGCUCGUGGAACCGAAGGUCAGUGAAGUGGGGCUCCUUUUGGCCUCGUGUAAACUUGAUUCAGAAGUGAAGUUAAUAGUCUUCCAUUCAGAUGGAUACAUGGGAAUUUUUCUCUUUUAUUUAUUUAUUUAUUUUUUUUUUGUGUGUGUAUGUCAAAGGAUAAUGAAUGAAGCGCGUUAGCUUGUUUUCUGACUGGAACCGCAGAUGUCCAAAUUGGAGUUCCUUCAUUUCUUACUUAGGAUUGUUACAUGUAUAAACAAGGUAUAAGAAAUAUGCCAACGUGUCUUGAGGAGUUAUUGAUUAGAAAUAACAAGUCACCCGACUGUAGAGUUCCAAGAUUUGAAUCUUCAGACCCUAUAGCAGCCUCUGGGGUACGUGGCAUCCUAUAGCAUAUUAAUGAAGGCUUUUUCGAUUUAGACUUCACAAUACCAAUUAAUAUGUAUGCACAAAAUGGAGAUGACCCCAAAAAAAACAGAAUCGCCAUAGUUUAUGAGGUUAAGGUGAUUCUCCACUUAAUAUCUACAUUAGCUAAUUAUGUAAAUCAAAUGAACUUCUAUUUUUCCUUUUUUUUUUUGGUUUAUGUCAAAUAGUAGCCCAUAAUUAACCCAACCAUUAGCCUGUUUGAAUUGAUUUCACAUGCACAAUGUUGUAGUAGUUCAUAUUUUGAAUUUUAUUUUUACAAAGGUAGUUAAGGAAAAUGAAGUAUAAUAAUUAUAAAAGCAGACUAUAUACACUACAAUAAUUGUUAGAAUGGUAUCUCAAAUUCUAAUUUAAAAUAUUAUUUUUUGUAAAAGAAAUAUUAUAUAGAAUAUUUCCUAAUUUUAUAAAUGAUUAUAAUUAGAUCUUUAUAAAAUAAGGAAAGUUGGUAAGAAUAUCUUUAUAAAUAUUUUAGGUCAUGAGAGAAAGAAAUGGGAUAAAAAUGUGAUGAAGAGGUGAAAUAAGAGAGUUGAUUAGGAUAUAGAUGUGAAGAAGAAAGGGAUUCAAUAUAUAUAUAUCUUUCAAUUACCACAUUAAAACCCUGUGAACCUUUUAUAUGGUUUACUUUAUUUUUAUAUUCCUCCUUUAAUAUAUUUACAUUAAUGCUUCCAUUGGCACAACAAUAACGAAUUACAAAUACAAGCAACAAGUCCCAUGUUUUAUUACCAAAAGCAGGUAAAAUCCACCUAAUAUAUUACAAUAUAUUCAUCCAAUAUUUUAGACCAAUUCUUCACCAUAAAUAUCAUAAUGUGGCUUUUGUUCUUUCUUAAAUUUAAAUUGAAUUGUCUUAUAUCAAUUUGUUUGUGAUUUUUUCAUUAACUUCACUUUCAUUUGGUUAUCUUUGGUUUUUGAAAAGUAUUAAGGAAUUAAUUAACAAAAUAAUGUUAAGAAAAAUAAUUUUCUCUCUUUUGAUUUUGAUUUUGUAGUAGAAAAAUAUAAUUAAAAUUAUUUAAAAAGUAUGUAAUUUUAAAUUAUUUAAUAUUUAGAUAAAAAAAAUAAGUCUAAUGAGUUUAAAAUAACAUAUAAAAAUAAUUUAUUUAUUUUAAAUUUAUUUUUUAUUUUCCAUUAUGUUCUCUUUCUCUUUUACUUUUUCAUAUUUUUUCUUACGAAGAAUCAAACACAACCUCAUAUUAUAUGUCAAGUGUUUGUCUAUAUUUGAGCAAUGUUAGAUACGGCCAUGGAUUCAUCAAACUAAACUGAUUUUAAUAGAUACUUCACAAAUUGAUUUAUACACUAAAUCAUUGGAUAGCAAUGAUGCAUUGGAAUUAAACGUAGGAUGAAGCUCGAAGAACACUGUUUGUGUAACAACAUAUUUAUGAAAUUAUGCAAAGGAUGAGCUUCGGGGUAGUAGUACAAGGUCAUUAAUGGAGAGCCGUGUUAAACCUUGAUUGUGAUUGGAUUCCGUUAUCAGCAACAGCAACCUUGUUUGUAACCUUGAAAGUCAUUCUGUCCACAUCGAAACUCCAAUUUGACGUUUGUAAUUACCAUUCCUGGAGUGUUCCUUGAUUGAAAUUUAAAUAAUAAUUGCGGCCCACAAGGAAUAUUUUCGAUUCUGUGGGAAUUUGACAAGGUUUGUUAGAGAAGACUGGUGACAUGUUGACUUCAAUGGUUCAAAUAGGAGACGUAUGUGGAUUUGGGGGGUUUAAUUGAAACUGAGUCCCUAUGGCUUUUUAAUAUUUGCAUUGAGCAGUCUCCAUGUGACUUCCUAAUUCCCACCAACCCUCCUGUCCAUGCUGUGAAACUAAAUUGUAAUUUAUCAGCCUUUGUCAAUGGUUUCUAAAUUAAAGAUAUAGACCAUGCAUGUACUUUAAUAAAAGCAAAUCUAAAGUGUAGAUAGCAGCAAUGGUGACACCCAAUAUUCUCCAUAAAAUAGAAUUAGAAUAAGCAGUGUUACAUUGUUCAUGAUCACCUACAAGCAUACAAGAACUUCCAUGAAUAACUCAUAGCAAUUGCCAACAGGGCGUCGUAGAGACUCAUACAUAGAACACUAUCCACCCAGAGGAAAGGACAAGACCAGUGCGCUGCAGCUCUUAUUUUUCACAUGUAUACCACCACUCGUAAUAACCAAAUUCACUCAGUUGGGAUAGGUGGGAGAUGGUGGUUUGUGGGGUGGCUUGUGGGGAGGAGUUGGAGGAGGCUUUAUUUUCUGAGGCGGCUUGUAUGAGUGUGCAGGAGGAUGCCCGGGAGUGUGACCAUAAUGUGGUGGCUUCUCUCCCGUAGGUGGUUUGCCAAAUGGGCUUGGUGGCUUCUCUCCCUUAGGAGGUUUACCAAUUGGGGUUGGUGGCUUGUGUUCUGGGAGUGGUUUCUCUCCCUUGGUAGGUUUGCCAAUUGGGGUUGGCGGCUUAUGUUCUGGGAGUGGCUUCUCUCCCUUGGGAGGUUUGCUAAUUGGGGUUGGCGGCUUAUGUUCUGGGGGCGGCUUCUCUCCCUUGGGAGGUUUGCCAAUUGGAGUUGGCGGCUUAUGUUCUGGGAGUGGCUUUUCUCCCUUGGGAGGCUUGCCAAUUGGGGUUGGCGGCUUAUGUUCUGGGGGUGGCUUCUCUCCUUUAGGAGGUUUGCCAAUUGGAGUCGGCGGCUUAUGUUCUGGAAGUGGCUUUUUUCCCUUGGGAGGUUUGCCAAUUGGGGUUGGCGGCUUAUGUUCUGGGGGUGGCUUCUCUCCCUUGGGAGGUUUGCCAAUUGGAGUCGGCGGCUUAUGUUCUGGGAGUGGCUUCUCUCCCUUGGGAGGUUUUGUUGGUGGCUUGUGUUCUGGAGAUGGCUUCUCCCCUGGAGGCUUGUGCUCCGGAGGUGGCUUCUGAAAUGGCGGGGGCUUGGGGUAAUGAGCAAGAGAUGGAGUACUGGUGAGAACCACCAUUCCAAGCAACAAUACUAGCAAGCAUGUGGGAGACAUCUUUGAGUAGUUGUAGCUAAGAUGGCGCAACACUGUAGGCAUUGGGUGGCCUUUUAUAAAGGGCUGGACCCAACAGCCAUAUGACACGUGUCAUGAUGACAAAUGAAGUUGAGGGGAUCCAGAUGGGUCCUACUGAGUCGAAAACUUGCACUAAUUGAUCUGGUGAGAUGACUAUUUCUGUCCUUUUGCCCUUCUCGGCCACCCUGUGCUGUUUUCCUUUUGCACGAUUUUCGUUGCCAAACAAGCAAAUAAUAUUUCGCCAAGAAAGAGGAGAGUGAAUGUGGAAUGCAUCAAGUCCCAUCAAGGAUGGCAGAGAAGAAAUAGAAGAUUGCCCAACUGUGAUAAACAUAGCAUACACGUAGCACCAGGAACUUCAUUUACUUCCAUCUAAUGGAACAUAACAAUCUUCUAAAGUUUUUGCAUGAUUUUGUUAUAUGUCUCUUAGCCUAAAGUUGGAAAUGCGCAACAAAUUUUGUCACUUCUCUAUUUCCCACUGAUGAUGUUAAUUAGCCUUCAUAGAUAUCAUCCUUUCUACAAAGUGCUUCAUUUGUGUGUUAUUGUAAAGUGUAAGAAAAGUAAUUGAACAUGUUCUUUUUCCUUUCAUAGAUGACUUUUGAUGUGCAUUUUAAAAGCAGCGCUGUGAGUCGGUGACCUUGAUUCACACGGAAACUAAGGCUCCUAUAGGACCCACUUUUAGCUGGUUAGGGGUGAAGAAAAUAUCAACUUUUCAGAGUGAUUUAAGUCAAGGCCAAGCCUCACUGUGUCAUUACUCGUGUGAAUUUUAUAUGCACAUACAUACAUAAAUAAAGUAUGAGACCCAAAUAACACCUUCCCUUUACAAACUUAACCCCAGCCGCUCUCUUUCAAUUCUUUUCACACAAGGGUAUUGACUCUAUAAAGGUCAAGAAAAUCAUAAUUUCCUAGGGUUUACAAGGUAAUUGGCUUAAUGCUAAUGUGAAAACAUAAAAGAUAAUAGUAUAUUGUAAGCUAACGAAUAUUCUAUAGUUAUAAUUAUUUGUGAUGUGCAUAAAUAAAUCUUCAUAUAUAUAAUGGAACAAUGAAUAAAGAACCAAUGAAAAAAUACUAUAUAUCAUUGCUUGGCAUUUAAACCGUAUAUGCUGCUCUUUCUAGCUACUCCAUCCACUGAAAGACAACAAGGUAAUCCAUGUUAUAAUGAUAGAAGAUACUGUCUCUAGGCUUUUUGUGAUGAAAAAUAUAAGAUAUGGGUAGGGUUGACCCUUGUAUGUUUGUCCUAUAAACACUUCAAAGUAACAUAUUUUUCUUCUUUAGCAACUCAUAAUGAUGGGGUUCAUUUGCAUGUCACUGAGUUGAAAAGUUGGACAAUUGCCCAUGUCGCCUUCCUCCUAGAUUCCGUAGUUCACGGGAAGGUAACUCAAGUUUGACAUAUUUUGAAUUCUUUUCACUCGGACGUCUUCAUAACCUGACAAAACAAAAAUGAAAAACAGAGGAUUGGUAUAUUAUUCAUGGUAAGCCUCAAAUUAUAGUAGUAUGAGAAAGGAGAAAAAGAUUUUGGGAACUCCAAUCUGGAUAAUUCUCGUUUCUUCUCUUGAAUAAAAAUUUCACUUACCUAACUUCGUUUGGAGAAAUGGCAUAUUUUAAUUUUGUACGUCAUUGCUAAUAAAUGGAGCAAUUUAGCAUGUUUUGUGACUGAAACUGCAAAUGUCCAAUUGGCAUUUCUUCAUUUCCCACUUAGGAUCUGAUCUUGUAGACCAUAUAACGAUAUGUAUCUGUGCAAGCAUUGAAAACUAAUGUGAACUAUGAGGAGUUACAAGCCACUGGACUGUAGAGCGAGUGCCAAGAUUUAAAUCUUCAGGCUCUAUCUGGGUAAGGGGAGGAUAGCGACCUAACCUUUUACCAAAGGCUUAGAAUUUAGACUUUUGGAAAAAAAUUUCUCAUGUUUUGGCUGGAUUUCUUGUGCUUGGCGCAAAAAGGAGAUGGCCUCAAGAAAUAGCAGACUCACUUUUGUUUUCAGCCCUUAAUAAUUCUCCACUGCUUUCCAUAACUACAUGGGUUAUACAUGCAGUCUGCUGCAAUAUUCCAGUUAUAUUUAUUAUUUCAAAGAGGGUGAAUGACUUCACAUGCAAUAUGUUGCAGUAACAACCCAAAUUUUGGCACACCAUCUUAAGAAUAGAAAAGUAUAAUAAAAGAAAUCAAUCAGAGAAUCACUUUGCAUGCAGUUCAUAGAGUUCGCCCAAAAUGGAGCCACAUGUACGGACAACCCCACAAUAGACAAUCUUCUCUAUACAGUAAUAAAAUACAGAAAUGGUUAAUGAAGCUCUGUAUUUCCUUAUCAUAUAUGACCGGUUGAAAACUCAGCAAGUCUUCCUCAAUCACAGACAGUUGGAGUUGCUUCAUCAAAAUCAUGCCUUCAUUACUGGCUUCAUUUUGGUUUCAAUGUCUGUUCUACCCUUAAAUUGGGUCUCUGCUUACUACCGGGAUAUCCUUUAGCGUCCUGCAAUUCUACUAGAUUAAAGAGAAUGACUUAAUUCUGCAUUCUGCCGUCCCUAGUCCAAGUGGUACUAGAAUUGAUGUUUCCUUUAGUGUCCUUUCUUCAUACUUUCAGGUUCUUCCCUUGUUUCAAUAAUGCUGUUUUCCUUCAUGUUUAACCUCUGUUGAACCACUUAAAACAACACAAUUUGCACACCAAUGUUUCUUUACAGAAAAGACUGUUUGCAAAAAUGCACAUGUUAUAAGGUUAAUGGAAGAAUUAAUUUGGGGAUAAGGGACUAGGAUUGGGCCAAUGAAGUUUGGUGUUAAAUUUUGAUUAUGAUUGCUUUUCAUUAUCAGGUACCUUAUAUUUGCUGAUGCUAUCUGGAACUAAAUUCAAAUCAGACAUUAUCCGAUUACUAACAGGACAUAUCAUGUCCCUCUGCAGAGUUUCUAAACUAACAUGUAUCGAAAUGUGGCCCCAAAAGGAAGGCUAGGAAGAUGGAGGAUUUUGUAGGAAUCGACCAGAAUCAGAUGGAAGAGAGAUAGUCCUGUUGACUUUAAUGGUUGUGAUAGGAACAUGCAUCAUUAUAUGAGAAGUUGCAUGAAUUUAUGUAUCCUGUUAUCGUUCCUUGACGAUUUCCCAAUGCAAUUUCACUGUCCACAAGACUAACCUCUCCAUGCAGUCAAAUGAAUUGUAAUUUCUCUAUUGGUACCAGUAGUACAUUUCAUACCAAACAUAUAGUAAAUAUAAAAUAUAAAUAGAUCAAGGAAAUCUGAAUUGUAGAUAGCACUGCAAGUAACACUCAAUAUUCUCUAUAUAUAAUAAAAUAAACAGUGUCACAAUACUCAUCACCCAGUGGCAAGGGAGAAAAACCUACAAUGAGUACUCAAAUCACCAUUCUCAAACAGAAACAUAGCAGUGACUGAUACAUAGAACCUAUAUGCUCACAGGGAAAGAAUAAGAUGACCAGUGCACAGCGGGCAGCAGCUCUUAUUUUACGUACAACUCAAAUCCCAAACUAACCAAAGUCGCUCAGUUGGGAUGGGUGGGAGAUGGUGGUUUGUGGGAUGGCUUCUGGGUAGGAGCUGGUGGCUUCUGUCCCUUUGGUGGUUUGCCUAAUGAGCUUGGUGGCUUGUGCUCCGGGAGUUGUUUCUCUCCCUCGAGUAGGUUUCGAGUCUUGUCAGAUGGCUUGUGUUCUGGUGGUGGCUUCUCUCCCUGGGGUGGUUUGCCGAAUGGGCUUGGUGGCUUGUGUUCGGGGAGUGGCUUCUCUCCCUGGAGAAGGUUACGAGUUUUGUCAUAUGGCUUUUGUUCUGGUGGUGGCUUCUCUCCCUGGGGUGGUUUGCCGAAUGGGCUUGGUGGCUUGUGUUCGGGGAGUGGCUUCUCUCCCUGGAGAAGGUUACGAGUUUUGUCAGAUGGCUUGUGUUCUGGUGGUGGCUUCUCUCCCUGGGGUGGUUUGCCGAAUGGGCUUGGUGGCUUGUGUUCGGGGAGUGGCUUCUCUCCCUGGAGAAGGUUACGAGUUUUGUCAGAUGGCUUUUGUUCUGGUGGCGGCUUCUCUCCCUGGGGUGGUUUGCCAAAUGGGCUUGGUGGCUUGUGUUCGGGAACUGGCUUCUCUCCCUUGGGAGGUUCAGUUGGUGGCUGCUGUUCCGUAGGUGGUUUCUUCACCGGCGGCUUGUGCUCCGGAAGCGGCUUCUCUACCUGGAGAAGCUUACGAGUUUUGUCCGAUGGCUUGUGUUGUGGUGGUGGCUUCUCUCCCUGGGGUGGUUUGCCAAAUGGAGUUGGUGGCUUGUGUUCGGGGAGUGGCUUCUCUCCAUUGGGAGGUUUAGUUGGUGAUUGGUGUUCCGUAGGUGGUUUCUGAAGUGGGGGAUGCUUGGGGUAGUCAGCAAGAGACGAGGUAGUGAGAACCACCAGUCCCAGCAGCAACACUAGCAAGCAUGUGGAAGACAUCUUUGAGUUCAGGCUGAGAUCUGUGCAAGGAUAACAGAAUUAGGUGGCCUUUUAUAGAGGCCUGGACCCAACACCCAUAUGACACGUGUCAUGCACUCAUGGUGACACAUAAUUCUAUGGGACCAUUUGGGUCCUACAGAAGUUGCAAAGUUGGACUACUGAGGUGUGAUCACAACUUUUGUCCUUAUUGCUUUCUCUGCGGCCAUUGCACGAUUUCCUUUAGCAUCAUUUUCUUGGCUAAAUAAGCGUAUUAUAUUUGUGGCAGACCGUCCACGUGUCAUAAACAGAUAUAUUAUAAUAAUGUAGUAUGCUUUUCUCCAAUGGAACAUGACACUCUUCUAAGUCUUGUUUUAAAUAUUGUGCAGGAUUACUUUAUACGUUGCAGUUCCAAGUCAAAAUUGGUGGGCAAACGUUGGCCUUUUUUCAUUUCACCUAAGAUUAAUGCUCACCUGGGAUAGGCACUACAUGACUUAUCUGCUCUUUUACUGUAAAGUUGCUUUGUGUAUGAGAUACACCUCCCCUGCACACCCUCAACAUUCGUUGCUCUGUUUUCCUUGUGUCCAGACGAGGAUAUUAAUUGGAGGCUGACAAAACGACUGCUAGCCCAGGAUUUACAAGGUCCUGGUUUGAGGCUUCGGUGAAAGUAUUUUUGAAAAGACACACAUAGAGAUAGUGCGUUUGGUGCAAUGCAGCACUGUGAGCCAUUCUGACGCGUUCUUAAUUUCAAAACUAAUGAAUGCUUCAAAAUUUUAAGAAGUGACAUUUCCAAAUAUUUGAGUUCGUUUAAUUGAACAUUGGAUAACUAGUGAUCAUAGAUUAUUAUCUGUGCUUGGCACUAUAAGAGGGUAUAUGCUUCUUUUUCUGGCCCCUCCUUCAAGGGAGGAGGGACAAUGUGAUCUGUAACGUUAGAAGCUAUUCCAUGUCAUCUUUGGGCUCAGUUCAAAACUAAAAGAUAAUGGGGGGGGGGGGGGGGGGCAUAUCAUUUUAUAUUUCUUCUAGAAGGUUUGUUCUGGAAAUAUUUCACAGGAGCAUAUCUUUUUCUUCUAUUACGUCAUCCGCAGCCUCCAAUAGGUCGGUUAACAAGCCACCGAGUUGAAAAGUUGGAAAAAUGGGAACACAGCCCGCCUCUUGUAUUCAGUAGUUAAAUAAAAGGUCACUAGAAGUGAGAUCCCUUUUGGCGUCUUGAUUUUCAAUCCAGCACCUCUGUGACCUGACAAACCAAAAAAACUAAAAAAUAAAAAACAGUACGUGGGUUGGUGUUAAGCAUCAAGACAUGUUAAUGAAAGAAGGUAGAGAAUAGGAUAUUGAAAUCCCAAUCCUGAUAACAUGAUUUUCUUUGCUAACAACCAUAUUAUAUUUUAUCAAGAAAGAGUAAUGCAUGUGGCGUCCAUCAAGACCCAUUAGAGUUCCGCUAAAGCUAUAGUUCUGUCAACGUUAUCAUUUACGUUUCCUCUAGAUAAUGGCAUUUUCCUCUAAAGCUCUUGCACCAUUAGGCUUCAAGUCAAAAUUUCACAUGUGAACUUUGGAAAUUUUCUCCAUUUGCCCCUAAGGAUACAGUUAGAAUUGACUUAAAAUCCUGAUUGAUAUGUACUAUUAACCAAAGAAUAUUGUAUAUAAUAAUUGAAAUAUUGUUGAUUCAUCGUGGAAAUACAUUUUGUAAGGAAAGUUGUUGAGAAUUUAGUAUGCUAUAUGGAGAAAAAAGUCAUGACUUAAGGUUGUGUAUGUAUAUUCUAUAUCAAAUAUUAGGUAGGAAUGUGGGAAAGAGCAGAGUGUAAUGAUAAGAAACAAAGAAAUAUAAGAUAUUCUUGAAAGUGGAAAAUAUAAAAUGGCUAACGAGUCAAAUUUAUGAUGCGUAAGGGGGAUCAUGUCACAUAAGAAAACCAUGGCAUACUAAAGACGUACGUGUGGUAUGGAGUAAUAAUUUUGUUAAAAUAAGUUUCUUGUUGGAGUACAUUAGGUGACUAUUCAUAACGUAUCAAAUUAAAGAGUCAAGUGCAUCAAUGAAGGCAUAUGUAGAAAAUUUGUUUGUGACAUGUACCAUAAAGAUAAGAUUGACUUGAUAGAAUUUAGUCUAAGUAGGAGUUGUUAAAGGUGUCUUAAAUUUCUAAUUGAUGUAUAUUUUUUUCUAAAAAAAUAUUAUAUAGAUAUUUUAAUAAAUGAUUAAUUCUUUGUAAAAAUACUUACAUAAUAAAAAACAUCAUUAAAAAUAUCUUUAUAAAUAUUUUAAGUUACAAGAAGGAAAAAAACCACUGUGAGAUAAUGAUGAACAUGCAACACUGUACCAAGUAAAUAAAAAUGUGAUAAAAAAAAAAGAGAAACACUCGAUAAAGGAAGGCUCGUAUAUAAAGAGUAAUAUUUUUAAUCAUAUGAUAGAAUGAUUUUCUCUCAUUCAUGAAUAUAGGCAAGAUUGGGGAACCAUUAUAAAAUUUUGUACACCUCGUGUAAAUUGAUGUUUGUCUUCAUAUUUUACACCAACAAAUGACAUUGAAGUUGUCAUUGAUAAAAGGGAAAAGGCAUGCCUCCACACCAUGUGCUUGAUUCGAAUGGUUCAAGUUUGAAGAAUUUUCUCCGGAAGAUCUAAAACAUUUUCGCCUUUAAAUUUCAUUUGAUUAUUAAUAUCCGAAAAAAUAGUUAAAUACUCUUUCUAUUUUUGAGUUGUUGAAUUUUUUGAAAGUUUUUAUAUUUGUUAUCAAGAAUUUCUAUUUUAUUAAGGGUGAAUAUUUAUAAAUAAGAUAUUAUAUAAUAUUUGGAUAAGAGAGAAUGGUGGAAUAUAAUAAAGUUUUAAUCCUUCCCAAUUUUGAACCUUUUUUUUUUUUUUUGAUAUAAUCGCCUUUCUCUUGCAAUCCUAUUAUCAGGUACCUUAUAUUUGCUGAUGCUAUCUGGAACUAAAUUCCAAUCAGGCAUUGUCCAAUUACUAAUAGGACAGAUCAUAUCUCUCUGUUUCUAAACUAACAUGUAUCGUAAUGUGACCUCAUAAGGAAGGCUAGGAAGAUGGAGGAUUUUGUGGGAAGCGACCAGAAUCAGAUGGAAGAGAGAUAGCCCUGUUGACCUAAUGGCUGUAAUAGGAGAAGCGUGUGGUUUUAUGGGACUUAACUGAUACUAAACCUGUAUGAUGCUUGGAGUGGUGUUUCUUUCAUUUUGUUAAGAAAAUAUGGCAGCAUACAUGCUUUCAACUGAGUGCAUCAGAGCAUCCAUAACAGAUGGUCUGCAACCCUAGGUGCAUGCCACUUUCUGACUGAUAAUGAAAUUGUCAGGUACCUGGCCUUGACUAAGCUCAACAGCAUCACAUAAAGAGAAGCUUUCAUACUUAGAUUACUGUUUAAAGUUUUUGCUUAUUUGAUUUCUUAAUGCCAUUAUGACAUUAUUGAUUCAAUUCUGCUUCCGAUUUUCGAAGUUCUGGGCAUCUACUGAUUGCAUCAUUAUAUGAGAAGUUGCAUGAGUUUAUGUAUCCUGUUAUUGUUCCUUUGCGAUUUCACUGCUCACGGGACUAACCUCUCCAUUCAGUCGAAAUGAAUUGUAAUUUCUUUACUGGUAGCAGUAGUACUUUUCAUAGCAAAGAUAAUAGAAAAUAUGAAAUAUAAAUAGAAGGAAAUCUGGAUUGUAGAUAGCACCAUAAGUAACACUCAAUAUUCACUACAUAAUAAAUAGACAGUGUUACAUAGGUAGAGAAACCUACAAUGAGUACUCAUCACCAUUCUCAAACAGAAACAUAGCAGCGACUUAUACAUAGAACCUAUAGGCUCGCAGGGAAAGAGUAACAUGAUAAGUUCACAGCGGGUAGCAGCUCUUAUUUUACGUAUUACUCAAAAUCUCAAACUAACCAAAGUCACUCAGUUGGGAUGGGUAGGAGAUGGUGGUUUGUGGGGUGGCUUCUGGGUAGGAGCUGGUGGCUUCUUUGUUGGAGUUGAAGGAGGCAUAUUCUUCUGAGGUGGCUUGUAUGACUCUUCGGCACUCUCUGCAGGAGGGUGCCCAGGGUUGUGACCAGAAGGAGGUGGCUUCUGUCCCUUUGGUGGUUUGCCUAAUGGGCUUGGUGGCUUGUGCUCCGGGAGUUGUUUCUCUCCCUCGAGUAGGUUUCGAGUUUUGUCAGAUGGCUUGUGUUCUGGUGGUGGCUUCUCUCCCUGGGGUGGUUUGCCGAAUGGGCUUGGUGGCUUGUGUUCGGGGAGUGGCUUCUCUCCCUGGAGAAGGUUACGAGUUUUGUCAGAUGGCUUUUGUUCUGGUGGCGGCUUCUCUCCCUGGGGUGGUUUGCCAAAUGGGCUUGGUGGCUUGUGUUCGGGAACUGGCUUCUCUCCCUUGGGAGGUUCAUUUGGUGGCUGGUGUUCCGUAGGUGGUUCCUUCACCGGCGGCUUGUGCUCCGGAAGCGGCUUCUCUACCUGGAGAAGCUUACGAGUUUUGUCAGAUGGCUUGUGUUGUGGUGGUGGCUUCUCUCCCGGGGGUGGUUUGCCAAAUGGACUUGGUGGCUUGUGUUCGGGGAGUGGCUUCUCUCCAUGGGGAGGUUUAGUUGGUGGUUGGUGUUGCGUAGGUGGUUUCUGAAGUGGGGGAUGCUUGGGGUAGUCAGCAAUAGACGAGGUAGUGAGAACCACCAGUCCCAACAGCAACACUAGCAAGGAUGUUGAAGACAUCUUUGAGUUCAGGCUGAGAUCU